AAAAAAAACGGAAAUGAAUUGAAAAGGAUUGAUUGAUUACAACAGUAUAAUAAUAUAGAAAGUCAAUUUUUUUUUUUUUUUUUUUUUUGGCCUCCCCGAUGAACUGCUCUUUAUGAUUUGGCUCGACCAAAAACAGCUCGAGACAGACUUCCUGAACAUCCGCCAACACGACACCAGUCAAGCCAGAGGCCUAGCACACCUACAAUAACAAGACCGAGCCUUAUUCCGACGGACAGCCACAAAGUAGCUAUGCGCCAAAGACCUUUACAAAACGGGUUGAGGACAGCAACAUCUCCACAAAGGCACACCAGAACAUCAACACCAGCCGGAAGAACCCAUCCACUCGAAGACAGAACGCAAGCGACUAACUCCAGUGCUGGGAUGAUGAGUUCAAACCAAGAAAACCUGAGACACCACCUAAACCGAAGACCCCUCGGAGAGGAAGAGCGACUCAGACAAGUGGAGAGGAACCCAUCCACUCGAAGACAGACCCGGGUUCUGUCUCUCGUUUUAACUGUGGUUUAACCUCUUGCGGCAAGUGGUAAGUAUGGAAUGGUUGAAGCCGCUUGAUUUCGGUUUGGUUGGUUGUGUCUGUCCCUGCUAGACUAGAUCAAGUUGUUGUUUAGAUUUUGUUUAUUUUUCUAUUUUUUGUUGCCUCUGUACUUCUGUCAAAAAUUUGAAAAUUGGUAAUAAUAUCUUUACAUUUUACCCAAAAAAAAAAAAAAAAAAAAAAAAAAAUAUAGAAAGUCAAAUUCAGUUAAAUUCUUUGAUUAAUGUUUAUUCUGAUAUAUAUAUACUUGCUUUCUGAGAUAAGAUAUAUUAUCCCAUAUUAAAAUUGUUUCCAAUAAACAUUAAAGUGGAAUGUUAGAAAGUUUCAAUUAAGCGACUUAUUACAAUCUCUCUCCUCUCCUAGAGAGAGAGUUCUCUCUAGACAAUCUUUCCUCUCUUAUCAAAUUUCUAUCUUUUAGAGAGGCAAAGAUUUUUGAGAGUGAGAGAGAUCCACUUUUUGGUUCCGGUUUCGGUUUCAUCCGACCGGACUCUGUCUCCGGCGUUCUCGCCUUUUCCUCCGGCGAAGAUCGGCCGGCUUUUGUCUCCGCGUCGCAUAUACCUUUAUGUGACGGCGGCUUACUCCGGGUUUUUUCUCGUUUACGUCGAUCUACUCUUCUUCCGGCUAUCAACUUCAAAUCGUCUCUCUUUCUUUCCUAGUCGGAUUGUUCUUUCCCUUAGUUGGAAAGCCGGUGAUGGAUAGAUCGAUUGUAGAUGAUUGUUUUUUUUCUGAAGGAUAGAUCCGGUUGGCGAUUGGGUUUCUUUGAAGCUGGCUCUUGUAGCAACCGUUUCAUCGAUGAUCUCCGCUAGCGGCGGAGUUCUGAUGCGCCGCCUCCUUGCUUCCGGUGGACGACAGCGGACCUUCAUCUUGACACGUGUGCAUGCAUCGCCGGGCGAACGCACACGCGGUGGGUGACGUGUCCCUCUCUCCUCGACGGUUUACUCUAUGGGCUGACGGCCCAUAUUUGUUUUCUUUGGUUGGCCCAUCUGUUUGGGUUUUUCUCUUUGUUCCGUUGGCCCGUUUGCUGUUUGGGCUUUUUGUAAAGUUGUUGGGCUUAGUCUCUUGGGCUUUGUCCCGCUUAAUAAAUUCAGAUGACAAAAAAAAAAAAAAAAAGUUUCAAUUAAUUUAGAGAACUACACGUUAUAUAAUUUGUGUGAUUAUGCAACAUUCAUGAGUCAACGAAAAUAAUUGAAGUAAUUUUACCGUUAUAGUGUGUCACGAGAAUAAUAAAAGUGAAAAAUGGUUAUGGGAAAUGAAGACAAGGGGACCCAUGGAGAGACAAGACAUCAAAGUUAAUGAACAGUUGUCCUUGUGAGACGCACCCACGCGCUCCCUCUCUCUCUCUCUCUCUCUCUCUCUCUCUCUCUCUCUCUCUCUCUGUAAACCGUUUCUGGAAAAUUGAGGAAAGAAAGAAAGCUUUCACAUCCCCAAUCCUCUAACAACUAAAGAAGAACGUACACGUUGAAGAAGGAGAAGUAGAGUGUUCUGAGUAUCGAUUGAUUUAACUUUCCUGGAAACUGGAUCUAGAUUUCUUCGUUUCUGAGAAGCAAAACAGUAAGUGAUGAAUCUUUAUCCGAACCUGAGAAGAGGGAUACUACUCUCUGUGCUCUACGUCGUCGUUUUGCUGUGCAACGCCUCCACCUCCACUUCGUAUUCUUCAUCUGUAAGUUUUGUAUUAUAAACACUCGACUAUGUUUUCAUGAUUCCAGAAAUAGUAGUUUCAAACUUUCCCGUUGAAGAAAUUUCUCAAUUCGAAUCUAUUUAUAGAAAGUUUAAUAGACAGAGACACCAACGGGGUUUAUGUUAGUAUGUUUUUGAUUUAUUAUUGGGUUUAUUGAAUUUAAAGACUUGAAAUUUAAUUAGUCUGGGACCUGAGGAAUCAAUAACUCAAGACUUGUUUAGUUUCAUGUCUUGAUGGAACUAAACCAUUGUUCUUUUUGCAGGAAGCGAUCACAAUAAAGCCAAGACACUUAUCUUUGCUUAAGAGUGCUUUACAACGGGUAAGAAUGAGAGAUUCCUUUAAAAUGAUUUUCAGAAAAUAAAUGAGCUGAUGAGACUUGUUUUUUUGUUUUUUUUUUUAAAUUAAUUUCAGCCAAGUGGGGAGCAGUCUGAUCUAUGGAAGCCAAUGACUGACCAAGGAUGGAGUCCAUGCAUCGAUCUCGAAGAUCCCCCUUGUAAGUACUACUAUUAAACAACAUUUCUCAUUUAGUUUUUACAUUAAUCUCUCUCUAAUCUUUGGAAUAGCAGCAUUACCGGAUAAGACCAAAAGCUAUAUCCAAGUGUUUCUCGACGGAGGACUUAACCAGCAACGAAUGGGUAUAUGCGACGCAGUCGCAGUCGCUAAGAUCCUAAACGCAACGCUCGUGAUCCCGUUUCUUGAAAUCAAUCCCGUUUGGCAAGACUCGAGCUCUUUUGUUGACAUCUUCGACGUGGAUCACUUUAUCGAUGCGUUAAAAGAUGACGUAAGAGUAGUUAAAGAGCUUCCUGAGGACUACUCUUGGAGCACGAGAGAGUACUACGCUGCGGCGGUUCGUGAAACACGUGUCAAAACCGCUCCUGUUCACGCUUCUGCGCAAUGGUAUAUUGAGAAUGUUUCACCGCUUCUUCACAGGUAUAUUUAACGUUAAUCUGACAGUUUUGAAAACGUUACAAGAGUCUUAAAAGUUUGGAGAUUUUUUUUUUUUUUUUUGGUAGCUAUGGGAUUGCUGCGAUCUCUCCGUUCUCUCACCGUCUGUCGUUUGAUCACUUACCUGGUGAGAUUCAACGGCUGAGAUGCAAAGUGAACUUCCAAGCGUUGAGGUUUGUUCCUCACAUUACAUCGCUUGGUGAUGCUCUUGUGAGCCGUCUUAGAAACCCGUUGUGGAGAAGCGAAAAGGACAGAAAGAGUGUGGAUCAUUUGGGAGACAUGACGAAUCCGAACAGUAGACAUGAACCAGGGAAGUUCGCUGUUCUUCAUCUUCGCUUUGACAAGGUAAUGUUCACUCUCAGUUCAUUACACUUUUUUAGGCAGUUUCAGUUCGGUAUCGGUACCGGCUUUUCGUUCUAGAAAUUUAGGAACUGUUCCGUGUGCUUACAAAAGUAGGUUCGGUUUCUGUAGCAAAGUUGGAAACCAGCUGAUAUUUAGAAAGGGGUCCAAAUUUGCUCCGGUUUAGUUCUUUUUGGUUUUUCGGGUGAUUUUGGAUAAUAUGGCUAAAAUAUUAUAUAAUUCGGGUUUUCAGUUUAAAUAUUAGGUAAUUCGGGUAGUUUAGAUAAAAGUAUUGGGUAGUGCGGAUAAUUUGGACUAAAAAGAUUAGAGUGAUUUGGUUUUUCAGAUAAUUCACUUUUAUAAAUAGUAUUUUAAGAUAUUUGGUUAUUUAGAAACUAAAUAUAACUAAUAUUUUAAAGAUAUAAUAUGUAUUUUAAAAAUUCGGGGUACCCAUUCGGUCACGGUUCGGUUUCAGUUUUUUAGAGAUAUAGGAUCUGAGUUCGGUUUUGGUAUGGUUCCUCGGUUCCGGAUAAAUGUACAUAUGCCUAACAUUUUUGGUGAUGUCUUUUUGAGUUGUUUGGUAAUAAGAAGUUUGUUCUGUAUAUAGGACAUGGCUGCACAUUCGGCGUGUGACUUUGGUGGAGGCAAAGCAGAGAAACUUGCAUUGGCGAAGUACCGACAAAUGAUUUGGCAAGGAAGAGUGUUGAACUCUCAGUUCACAGACGAAGAGCUAAGAAGUCAAGGACGUUGUCCUCUAACACCUGAAGAGAUGGGACUUCUCUUAGCCGCUUUCGGUUUCGACAACAACACUCGUCUCUAUCUCGCUUCCCACAAGGUCAGACUCAGACUCUUCACUUAUAUUUCUUCUCUAACCUCUUCUUAUGUUCUGUUUCCUUUUAUGCUUUCUAGGUAUAUGGAGGAGAAGCUAGGAUCUCAGCACUAAGACAAGUCUUCCCAAGGAUGGAAGACAAGAGAAGCCUAGCUUCUUCUGAAGAACGAGCUCGUAUCAAAGGCAAAGCUUCUUUACUAGCUGCACUUGAUUACUACGUGAGCAUGCACAGCGACGUGUUCAUCUCUGCGUCGCCUGGAAACAUGCACAACGCUCUCGUUGGUCAUAGGACGUUCGAGAAUCUCAAGACGAUUAGACCGAACAUGGCGUUGAUAGGACAGCUUUUCUUGAACAAGAGCAUUACUUGGGUGGAUUUUCAACAGGCGAUUGGUGAAGGACAUGUGAAUAGACAAGGACAGAUCCGGUUAAGGAAACCGAAACAGUCUAUUUAUACUUAUCCGGCUCCUGAUUGUAUGUGCCAUGUUUGACGAUGAGGAUAUAAUAAAAUAGUUUUACAUUUUGCUUAGAAAUUAAGUUGUAUAACCUUUUUAUCUAUUAUAUGGAAACUUUUUUCUAAUUAACCAAACAAACUAUUCACUAUUCACGUAAAUUUUGAGAAAAUUUCAAAAAUAUAACAAUACUAUUUUAAUGCAUAAUUGCAUCCUAUACUAACAUAUGAUGAUGUUGAAAGAGGUUUGGAGUCCUUGUUGUAUCUCUUUUACAAGAAAAUAACGAUUUUAUAGUGGUUAUUCCACCGAUUUAUGAAUUAUUAUGAAGUUUUACUAAAUUAAUUGAUAAAAAUUAUAACGAUUCUCAUAUACCAUAAAAGAAAAAUUAACAUACAUUAAUACAAAUGUAAAAUGUGGUUGAAAAUUCUAAAACAAUACUAAAAAGUUUAGGCUUCAGUAUAUAGAGCAUUUAACGUAAAACUCAAUAUUUUCUUAGAUUUUGAGAAAAAAUCAAAAAUAUAACAAUAUUGCUUUAAUGCAUAGUUGCCUUCUGUAGAAAUAUAUGAUAAUGGUUGAAAAGAUUUGGAGCAUUUGUUGUCUCUAUUUCUCUAGAAAAUAACGAUUUUAUUAGUCCACUACUUAAGGAGUAUAUGAAAUUUUACUAAAUUAAUUUAAAAACAAAUUGAACGAUGCUCAUGUACAAUGAAAGAGAGUUUAACAUAAAUUAAUACAAAUGUAGAAUAUGGUUAGAAAUUUUGAUACAACACUAAAGAUUAUAGGCUUCAGUAUAUAAAACAUUUACCAAAAUUCAAUGUUUUUGUAGAGGGUUACACAUAGAUUUUGAGAAAAUUUCAAAAAUAUGCCAAUAUUGUUUUAAUGCAUAGUUUCAUCCUACACUAAUAUAUGAUGAUGUUGAAAGAGGUUUGAAGCCUUUGUUGUCUCCGUUUUUCAAGAAAAUAGCGAUUUUAUAGUUGUUUUUCCGCCGAUUUAGGGAGUAUUAUGAAGUUUUACUAAUUAAUUGAUAAAAAAUUAGAACGAUUCUCAUAUACCAUGGAAGAGAGUUUAACAUACAUUAAUACAAAUUUAGAAUGUCGUUAGAAAAUUUAUAACAACACUACAAAGUUUAGGCUUCAGUAUAUAGAGCGCUUAACAUAAAACUCAAUAUUUUCGUAGUAACACAUAGAUUUUGAGAAAAAUUCAAAAAAUAUAACAAUAUUAAUUUAAUGCAUAGUUACCUUCUGUACUAAUAUAUGGUGAUAGUAAAAGAGGUUUAAAACCUUUGUUGUCUCCGUUUCUCUAGAGAAUAGCGAUUUUAUAAUGGUUAGUCUACUAAUUUAGGGAGUAUAUGAAAUUUUAUUAAAUUAGUUUAUAAAAAAAAUUAAAUGAGGCUCAUGUACCAUGAAAAAGAUUUUAGCAUACAUUUAUAGAAAUGUUGAAUGUGGUUAGAAAUUUUAAAAUAAUACUAAAGAUUAUAGGGUUCAAAAUAUAAAUUAAUUUAUUGAAAUUCAAUAUUUUUGUAGGGGUUAACACAUAUAUUUUGAGAAAAUUUCAAAAAAUAUGACAGUAUUGUUUCAAUGCAUAGUUGCAUCAUGCACUAACAUAUGAUGAUGUUGAAACAAGUUUGGAGCCUUUGUUGUCUACGUUUUCCAAGAAAAUAACCAUUUUAUAGUGGUUAUUCCACCGAUUUAGGGAGUAUUAUGAAAUUUUCUAAAUUAAUUCAUUAAAAAUUAUAACUAUUUCCAUAUACCGUGAGAGAGUUUAACAUACAUUAAUAUAAAUGUAAAAUGUGGUUAGAAAUUUUAAAAUAACACUAAAAAUUUAGGCUUCAGUAUAUAUAGAGCAUCUAAAGUAAAACACAAUAUUUUGGGUUAACACAUAGAUUUGAAGAAAAAUUCAAAAAAUAUAACAAUAUUGCUUUAAUGCAUAUUUUCCUUCUUUACUAAUAAAUUGUGAUGAUCAAAGAUGUUUGAAACCUUUGUUGUCUCCAUUUCUCUAGAGAAUAGCUAUUUUAUAAUGGUUAAUCCACUAAUUUAAAAACCAUAUGAAAUUUUACUAAAUUAAUUUAUAAGAAAAAUUAAACGAGGCUCAUGUACCAUGAAAGAGAGAUCAGCAUACAUUAAUACAAAUUUAGAAUGUAGUUAGAAAUUUUAUAACAACACUAAAAAUUAUAGGUUUCAGUACAUAAAUUAAUUUAAUGAAUUUCAAUAUUUUUGUAGGGAUUAACACACAGAUUUUGAGAAAAAUUCAAAAAAUAUAACAAUAUUGCUUUAAUGUAUAAUUGCCUUCUGUAGUAAUAUAUGGUGAUGGUAAAAUAGGUUGGAACAUUUGUUGUCUCCAUUUCUCUAGAGAAUAGUGGUUUUAUAAUGGUUAGUCCACUAAUUUAGGGAGUAUGAAAUUUUACAAAAUUAAUUUUAAAAAGAUUGAACGAUGCUCAAGUACCAUGAAAGAGAGUUCAUCAUACAUUAAUACAAAUGUAGAAUAUGGUUAGAAAUUUUAAAACCACACUAAAAAUUAUAGGCUUCAGUAUAUAAAACAUUUACCAAAAUUCAAUAUUUUAGUAAGGGUUAUAACACAUAGAUUUUGAGAAAAUUUCAAAAAUAUGCCAAUAUUGUUUUAAUGCAUAUUUGCAUCAUGCACUAACAUAUGAUGAUGUUGAAAGAGGUUUGAAGCCUUUGUUGUCUCCGCUUUUUCAAGAAAAUAGCGAUUUUAUAGUGUUAUUCCAUUGAUUUAGGGACUAUUAUGAAGUUUUACUAUGUUAAUUGAUUAAAAAAUUAUAACGAUUUCCAUAUACUAUGAAAGAGAGUUUAACAUACAUUAAUACAAAUGCAGAAUGUGGUUAGAAAUUUUAAAACCACACUAAAGAUUAUAGGCUUCAGUAUAUAAAGCGUUUUUCGAAAUUCAAUAUUUUUGUAGGGGUUAACACAUAGAUUUUGAAAAAAAUUCAAAAAAUAUGACAACAUUGUUUUAAUGCAUAUUUGCAUCAUGCACUAACAUAUGAUGAAGUUGAAAGAGGUUUGGAGCUUUUGUUAUCUCCGUUUUUUAAGAAAAUAGCGAUUUUAUAGUGGUUAUUCUACUGAUUUAGGGAGUAUUAUAAAGUUUUACUAAAUUAAUUGAUAAAAAAAUAUUAAGAUUUCCAUAUACCAUAAAAGAGAGUUUAACAUACAAUAAUACAAAUGGAGAAUGUGGUUAGAAAUUUUAAAACAACACUAAAAAGUUUAGGCUUCAGUAUAUACAAUGUUUAACAUAAAACUUAAUUUUUCCGUAGGGGUUAAACACAUAGAUUUUAAGAAAAAUUCAAUAAAUAUAACAAUAUUUUUAAUGCGUAUUUUCCUUCUGUACUAAUAUAUGGUGAUGGUCAAAGAGGUUUGAAACCUUUGUUGUCUCCAUUUCUCUAGAGAAUAGCGAUUUUAUAAUGGAUAAAGAAGUGGAUAAACUAAACUGAUGUUUAACUUGAAAAUCUUGAAUUUAUCUGAUUUUUUAAUCUGAAUUAACCUAAAACCAAGAACUAAAAUAGAAUAUUGAGGUUCUAUAUCCUCAUCAACUAAUAAUCCUUUUUUUUGUUGGUUAACUGGUAGGAAUCAGGUGUUGUGAAGUCUAGGGUAGAAGCGCACAGAAACAGUUGCUAUUAAACCAAAUAAACCGCUAAUAACCGUCGGAUCAAUCUUUAAUUGGUUAAGCCCGACAAAAGCGGGGGGAAAGAAACCAGAACAGAGACUAGUAUAUAUAAAUGAAGAAACAGAGCAGAAGAGGAGAUCAUAUGUGAGCUUCUUCUUCUUCUUCUUCUUCUCCACAAGUCACAGAAAAGUCAAACAGACGCCGGAAACGACGCGAUUCUAGAGUUUCCUUCCAUCGUCGAUCUGAUCUUCUCUCGGUAAUCUACGCUUCGGAUAUUUUUAGCAUUUAUAUCCGCCGAAUAUUCCGGCGAAUCAUUGACGGACAUCGAGGCUUCAUUCGAUCGCUUUCGCUUUUCUGUUUUUUUUCUUAUUAUUUUAAAAUUGAAACACCGAUCUGGAGGAUAAUUAAUAUGAAGAAUCCACUUUGAUCAUUGUGAUGAUGAUGAUGUAAUUAAAUGGAUAGGAGAUUUUCUCUCUUUUUGGUUUUAAUGAAUUUGCUUUAGUGUUGGUUAGUGACAAUGAUUUUUAAAAAAAAGUUGAGAUAUUUAAUUAUUUGGUGACAGGUUGAAGAAGAAGAGGAUAAAGAAGCAUAGGUCCAUGGCUGAAUGAUAACAGUUUUAUCUCCGGAGAUUCGGAGUUUUUUUUUUCUUUUAGGAAUCUAAUAAAGAAGAAGAUGGCAGUCUCUUUCCCUCGUCUCCCCAGGUGGUUGUGUGGUGGUGGUGGUGGUAGCACUAAGAAAGACUCAAAAGGAUCAUCUCCUUCACUGAAGAAGACUAUUAAGACUGGAUCUUCUUCUUCGGUGAAGAAGAUGAAAAGAGGAUGGGUUGAUAGAGGAGAGGAGGAGGGUAAGAUGGGGAAUGUGCUGUUCCCUGAACCAGAUGAUCCUGAGUGGUCCAUUGGUUGGGUUGAACCACAUGGACCUGGGUUUAAAAGUGAGGAUGAUACUGGUGGUGGGUUUGUGGUUCUUGUUCCUUGUUACAAGAAAGUGAUAGAUGGUUCAGGGAAUCAGAUUCCAACUGGUUUCCUCUCUCCUGCUUCUGGUAAUGCUUGUUUCCAUUUUCAUAAAUCAUUAAUAGCAAUUAUUUGACUUAUAUGUGUAUGUUUAGGUUGAUCUCAGUGAUUAAGUUUGUAGCUUGGAGCUUUUCUUGAUUACCGAGUUAGAAGUGAAUUUAUUACCAUAAUUUAUUGUUUAGACAUUGAGGAUUCUGAACUGAAUAGUGUGUGGUUCUGUUUUGAAUUAAAAUCUGCAGAUAAGAAGAAUAUGGAACAGUGGCUGUCGUCUAUGGGGAAGCUUUAAUAAGCUUUUGGAGGAUUUGUGAAGAUCAAGACUGUUUCCCACAUUGUGUUUUUAAGUAUUCAAAAAUUAAAAAUAAAAAAAAAACCAGAAAAAAAAUUUGUGGAUAGGUUUUCUGGAGACUUCUUUUGGUUCUCUGUUUCAAGUGAGUGACAACAAAACAUCAAGUCAUCCCUCUCAAGAAUCUACUACUAAUGGACAAAUGUGAUGGUGAUGGAGGCUUGGCAGCCUAAAAUGAAUGAAGAAUGAUGGAUUGAUAUGCUAUGAAUAUGAUAUAUGAUUUGAGUACUGGAUAUUUUUCAUGUGGGUGUUUGGAGUGAAGACGUUUUCUGCUUCUGUGGUCGAGAUUAUUGUGAACAAACAAAGAAAAAAGAUUUUUCUUUUUGUUCUUUUGUGAUUGAUGAUGUGUAAUGGUGUACAUACAUGUACAUAAGUUUCUCUUAUAUGUCUUCUUUCUUGGAUCACAUGCCUUGUGCUUACUUUCGACAACACGAGAGCCCCUGACGCUGUGCACGUUUAUAAUCAUUAGAAACUUAGCAGAAUCAUCGAUUUCAUAAACAAAGUACACUCAAACAUGUUGAACACGCUUUUGGUCAGACAAAACUUACAUUUCACUAUUUCCCAUGAGGCCGAGUAGAUUGAAAGCAGGACCAGGAUGUCCUUGUUGUGAAGAGUAGGACGCAAGUAGGUUUUAAACAAGGUUGAAAUCUGCAUCAGUUGGUGUAAAUUCCUCCUCUGAAAUCUUGGAUGAUUCCUGCAGAUCAGCGCCGGCUCUGGACGUGUGCGGACGGUGCUUUGGCACAGGGUCUCACCAUUUUUUUUGUAAUUUUUUGGUAUAUUUAGGGUCAUACAGUUUUAAUUUUAUACAUGAAAAGGUCAUUUUUGUUUUUUUGAACACACAAAAAGGGCCCUAAAUUUUUUUGAUUUGUAUAAGAAAGGGCCCUAAAAAUUUGUUUGUGCACAUGGCCUAAAUAUAUUCUGAGCCGGGCCUGCUGCAGAUGCAGAUAAAAUAUCAUUAAAACAAAAACUCAACCUCAUAAACUCAUAACAACCUACAUAACAAAAUGGCUUCAAGAUGGAUAUGGAAUAAUUACCCCGUCUUACUUAGAAGAGUGUUGUUGAUUGAAAUGUUCAAAGCUCUUGUCAAGAGUUGAGUUCUUAUGUUCCUCACUCAUUGCUCCAGAGUAUGAUUCCAUAAAGCUUUCCUUCUCAUCCUCGUUAGACUCUCUUCUCCUUCGCUAUCAUCUUCAAAGUCAUUAAAAUCCAUCUCCAUCUGCCUCUCUUGAAGAACAGGUUUUAACUCAUCUUCACCAACGUACAGCCUAGAAUCAUUGUCAGAAACAGGAACGCCCUUGGCAAAAAAACGCAGAUGUGAAUCAAAAUAAAAAGUUACAAAACUUUUGGGUUGAGUUUAAAAAGAAACUAGCUAGGAGGAAGCGUGUGGUACUCAUUUGUUAUGCCAGUCUUGAAUGAGAGCACGAAGAGUUUGGUUUGGUGUGAGAAGUUGAUAGUCUACUACUCUCAUAUUUUUUCAUAGGAGAUGUGUCAUGUCCCAUGCUUAGCCAUUCCCCUAUAGCGUCAAGCUCAUAGGAAAACACGUCCGCUGCAACAGGUGUAUUCUUCAUCAGCUAUCUAAGAUACAUAUAAUCCAAUUGUAAUUGGCUUUUGAAGUUUUUUUGGAUCUUUCUAGUUGAUAUCAUGUAUAUUACGCUGUAAUAUGAAACUACAUAUGUGUCCGGUGUCCCCAUGCAUGGCCAUCUAUUCAUGCACGCGUGAAUAAUGAUUUGCUUAACGAAUACGUUACACGUACCUAAUUAACAAAAGUACUAUUAAGUCAUGAAGACUACGUGGACGAAUUGAUAAUUUUUGAAGCAUAAAAAAUGGUAAUGUGAGCUUUUUUUUGUUGCAUUUUGGAAAACAUAUUAUGAAAUAUCUCCCAAACGGCCAACUCCAUCAAGAACUUUUCCUACAAGGAAGUCACUGUGGACUAUUCUAUUCAAAACAUUAAUGGCCAUGAAUGUUUAUCGUUUUCUAAAUGCUUUUCUUUUUGGCUAAUUGUUUUUUUUCAUAAUAGUUUUCCAGUUUUCUAGUUUUUUUUUAUUUUUGACUAUAAUUUUAAAAUUGACUUUUAAGAUUUGUUUGUAUGUAUGUCUUCACCUUUAUUUUCUUGUUUGCUAAAGUUGAAAUUACUAACAUAAAAUAUCUAAGUAUUUAAUUUAAAAAAAAAUUGAAAAAUAAUAAUAACUCUUUUUAAUGAGUUAAACAAAUUAUGAGUUAUAAAUAUUAUCAAAGAAACAAAAACAAAGUCUUAGGAAGAAAACAUGCUUUAGGUGAAAGCCAAGUAAUAUAGCUUUGUAUUCUUCAUUAAGAAUUGGCGAAAACCUUAAAAACUACAUUUCAUAAUUUUUUAGAAGAAGAAAAAAAUACUUCUAUUAGAAUCUUGAACGGGUCAUAAAAAUUAGUUUUUGACCCCUCAAACACUCUAAAAUAAUAUCAUUCGAGGCUUAUAUUAAUACUGUUCUUCCUUCUCAUUUACAAGUAUGAGUGAGUUCUUCAGUUUGCGUCAUUUUAGUUUUCAAAGCAAAGUUUUUUUUUGUGUGUAUGUAGAUGGGUUGGUGGAAGAAGAAGAAGUCACGAGCCGUUGUUAAAGAACAGACGUGGGACAGAGACCAAUGGAGAGGAGAGAAAAUUCUAGAAGCGCUAAUCCAAUGCUGUGAUGGCAAACCAAAUUCCAUCAAAUUCUUCACUGCUGAUCAAAUCCUCAAAGCCACUCAAAAACAUUUUUGCAAGUGUAACAUCCUUGAAAGACGUCAAAACAUCUGCGAGUGUAGUCGUGUUUCCGAAUUAUAUUUUCAUGGGAAAUGGUAUUCAGGUACGCUCGAUAACCAUCGCAUGAUUCUACUUAGGAAAAUGAAGGGAAGAAGUCCACAUCCCCCUAGAGACAUCUGCACUGGACCUCCUAAGGACGUAGCGAUAUCUUCGAUGGUGAGUGAUCACAAAAAUUUCAUGAAGUUGGUUGGGUGCUGUUUUGAGUUUGAAUAUCCAGUCAUAGUUUAUUAUGGUGGAGAGAGACAAUACUCACCUGUAGAUUUGAAUAAGAUAGUGUCAUGGAGAAGGAGAAUGAAGAUAGCAGAGGAAGUUGCAACUGCUUUAGCUUAUCUUCACGUUGCGUUCCCAAGACCCUUUGUGUAUAGGAACAUGGGGUUGAAAAAUAUAUUAUUAGAUAAAAAUGGCGUAGCGAAGUUGAAUGAUUUAUCUUAUUGUGUCUCGAUUCCAAAAGGAGAAACACAUGUCAAGCUUACUUGGGCUGGUAAAGACUACGAUUACAUGGACAAUGAUUAUAUUUUCAACCGCGUAGUGUCGGAGAAAACUGAUGUUUUCGGGUUUGGUGUUUUCAUGCAAAAGCUUUUGACCGGAGAAAAAAUUUUGAGGAGCUUUGUGGUUGGAAGAAUUGGAGAGAGAAGAACAAGUUUCCGAAGUGGUUGUCCUCGUACAUGGGAGAAGGAAGAAUGGGUGAGAUCGUAGAUCCAAAGAUGAGUUUGGUUUUAGAAGUAGAAGAGCGUUGUCUAAUGGAAGCUUUUCUUGUCCUCUCAGAAAGAUGUAUUGGUCUUAGAGGGGAAGUUCCAAAAAUGGUGGAAGUGGCUAAGGAACUAAGGAGGUCAUUAAAACAAGGGGAAUAGAGAAAAUCACGAGAGAUGUUGGAGAGGCGUAGAAGUGAUGAUAGGUUCUGUUUAUUAUGUGGUGACUGACUUUCAAAGUUUUGAUCUUAUUUUCGGGUAUUUUUGCUAUAAGAAAAAGAAUUUUGAGUCAAUGAAUAAGGAAAAAGAAAGAAGAAAUAUGUGAUUUGAAUCAUUAUUUAGUCUUUUUUUUUUUUUUUUGAUAAAAGGACGUUAUAUUUUUGUAUCAAGGGGAAGAAAAUUUUGCCGACAUGUUAGCGUGUAACAUCAAGAGCAUGCAUCGCUGUCCAAUGUGGGUCGAGGUUGCUUAGCUAUUCAAGAACCUCGUAUUUAUGUUCUCACUAGUUAUUUAAAAAUAAAUAAUAAUUCCCAAAUUUAGUUUGUCUUAUGAAGGUUUUAUAUUCAUGUUUGUUAGUUUUGAUAAUUUUAGUUUACGUAUGAAACUAAUGCAGCUAAAGAAAUGAUCACAUGCAUGGUCGGCUUUGGUGAGAGAUGUCUUUGCGAGUGAUUGAUGAGAUUGGGAUAUCGUAGUGGUGCUUUCAGCCUCGCAAGGAGGCAAGAGGCUUGGAUUAGCUGACGCUGGGUUUGGAGUGUGGCUCGGUGUUUGGUUCGGAACUUGGUUAGGCCUUGUUGAGACAGAUACUUGAUGAUUUCUUGAAUGAUUUCUGAUGACUAAACAAGUGACUAUAUAUUCUAUUUCCAUAAUUUUCUAAUAGUUUUACCUAUUCAUAUUACAAAGUUGCGAGAUUUUUCGAUUAAUCAUUCGGAUUUCAAAAGUGACUACAGCUUUCACAUGAACAAAGGUUGAAGACACAAGCAUAAGCUGAGACUAGAGGCCAAUUAUACAUACAAUCUUUCCUUUCUUUUAGAGAUUUUUACAAUGGAGAAUAUGGAGUAAAAUCACAUGCAAGAAAGACAAGGUAAUACUUUUAUUGUUGUUGUUGGAUUGGUUGCUUCACUCCAUUAAGAGUUGUCUAUGCCGAAUGAGACCGUCAAGGUACGAGGAAGAGGUAUGAUCUUGUAGGUCACACCCGUCGAGACUCACUGUUCUUGCUCCGCCGUGCGGCUCAGCUAACCGGUCAUUCCCACGCAAUAGCUGCACCAACUACAUCCAAAACCAACCCAAUUCAUAAGUUGCUUAUUAUUAGAUCAAACACUAAUGGGACUAGUUUGGCUUUGGAAAUGGAACAUACCCGGUUCAUAUCAGGACGCAUAGUGGCUACAUGGUGUAUGCACAUUGAAGCUGUUUGCAUCACCCUUCUCAUCUCAGUUUCAUCAAAGUCAUUUCCUAGCUUAGGAUCAACUAUUUCCUCCAAGCUGCUCUUCUCCAGAAGUGGUUUCACCUUGAAAAAUAAGCAUUUCAAACUGUCUUAAUUGUUGUAAAAUGCGUACAAAGAGAAGAAGAAGAGCAGUUUCAGAUCAUUACCCACAUCACAAUGCUUUGCCUGCUAUCUGUAUCAACCGCUCGACGACCAGUUAUGAUCUCUAGAAGCAACACCCCAAAAGCAAACACAUCCGUCUUCUCAUCAACAACCCCAUGCAUAAAGUACUCUGGAGCUAGAUACCUGUAAGAGAAACAAAGAACCAAACCUGGUUAAGAUUUAAACAUCAAGAAGAGAUUGUGUAGCCGUGGAAAUCUGUGUCUGACCCGAAUGUGCCUUCGAUAGGGAAAACAAUAUGUUGAGGACAAUUCUCUGGGAGCCACUUAGCAAGUCCAAAAUCAGAUAUCUACCAAAAAAAAAAAAUUCAUAUCAGAUUCAGCUAAAACUGAUUAGUUUUUGAUUGUUGAAUUAAUCAAUCAAUAAAAAUACCUGAGCUUCAUAAUCUUGACUUAGCAAAAUGUUGGAAGCUUUGAUGUCACGGUGAAUAAUCCGUCUAGGACAAUCAUUAUGAAGAUAUCUCAAACCAUCAGCUACACCCAAAGCCACUUUAUACCGUUUCUUCCAAUCCAAACACUCCUCCUCAGACCCUACAAAGGUUUAAAAGAAACAUAAACACAAUUAAUAAUGUUUUAAAAGCAUUUUUAUUGCAAUGGAGAGUGUACCGAAGAGUAGAGAAGCGAGACUGCCGUGCGGAGCGUACUCGAGCACGAAAUGCAAACCGCGGUCGCUACUGAAACCGCGAAGCCUUGCUGCGUUUGGGUGGUUAACGUGUGCGAUCAUCCCUAGUUCAGAUAAGAAGUCGCUGACUCUUUCUUCUUCUUCCAUGGCGUGUCUCAUCAGCUUCUUGAUGGCCACCGUCUCUCCGUCAGGUAAAACUCCUCUGUACACCUCCGCAUGUCCUCCCUUCCCAAUCAUAUUCUCUAACAAAAACACGUACAACACAUCAAGAUCCAUGCUAGCCACUAGGAGACACAAGAACAUAACCAGGACCGGAUCUUGACACAUUCCAGGGAAACAUUGGUCUUAUCCCGCAAUUUUUUAUUUAAAAAAACAUUUAUAUAGAUACAGAGCAUUCUAAUUAUUUUAAAAACUUUAUUAAAAUUCUUAAUAAAAAUCUAUAGAUCUCAAAAAAAUCUCAGGACCGGCCAUGUACCGAACCUUACCGGGAUUAAAACUGUUUAUGAUUCUUAAAAUCUUUAAAAUUUUAGGACUGGCCAUGAACAUAACCUUACCGAACCUUACCGGGAUUAAAACUGUUUAUGAUUCUUAAAAUCUUUAAAAUUUCAGGACUGGCCAUGAACAUAACCUUACCAAACCUUACCGGGAUUAAAACUGUCGGUGGCGGCAACAAGCUCUUCGUACGUGAAGUUCCGCCACGAGGGUUUAGCUACGAGGAUUUGGUCGCAGUCAACAGGAGAAGGAGAUAGCUUAGGCUGUUUCCGCCGCAUGUUUUUCCUCGUGAGCUCGUAGCUGGCGAGGAGAGGAAUGACAGAGAAUCUCCUUAUGGACUUCUUCUUGAUAGAGUCUAUCAUCUUGUUCCAUUGAAGACCGUGGUGCUGAAGAGACGAGACGUUCGGAGGAGUUGUAGAUAACGGCGACGAUGACUUAUCAGGCGAGCACGAGCUGCAGCUGCUGCUGUUGUCGGAGUCCGAACUCGUUAAUGGGAUUUCAAGAACGCAUCUCGGCGAUGGAUCGUCGAUAGAUAAUGAGUCGCUGUUCUCCGUCUCCGUCUUUUCAUUGCUUCCUUUGUUCUUCUUCUUUUUCUUCUUCUCCAUCUCUGCACAUAACAUGUUUGAGUAGAUUUUUUCAUUAGAAGACAAGGCAUAAACAUAAUGUCGUAACAUUGACUAUAUAGCCUUACCUUCAACAGCCAUGGCCUUCGUCCUCUUGGAUUCUCUGUGAGAAGAAGCUUUGAAUGAUAAUAUUAAAAAAAAAACUCAAAGCUUCAUGAAAGUUUCUCCGAAGAGUAACAUCUCCGUGAGGAGAAGGAAGAGAGUCCGGAGAAACAGGAAAGCAGAGGUUUGUCUUCUCUUCUAAUGUGUGGUUUCUGAACCGUUGUUUUUUUUUCUUUUGCUUCUUGUCUUUGUUAGAGAGUUUUAUCUUUAGAAAUGUUUAUUCUUAGAAGAUUUUUAGAAAGCUUCAAAGUGGAAGAAGAAGAAGAUGAAAGACCAGGUUUAUUAUGACUGGUAAUGGAUUGGAAUCUAUGCUAUAUUUAUACAAAAUCCACCACAUGCAUGCAAGUCGAGAGUUCUGUUUCACUUUUUUACAAAAGAUAAGAGUUCCGUAACUAACGCUAUCCAACGAACGAACACGCCGACGGUUGACAUAUAUUAUCUGGAGCUGGUCAAUGGCAUUUUCCGUAAUUACAGUGGAUGAGAAGACAAGACAUCCUCUGUGUUUUAAAAUAUAGUUAUGACUUGUUGUGAGGCCACUAACAUUGUUUUUAUUCUUUGUUGGGUCUCUUCAAGCUAUUUUUUAUUAUUAAUGCAACCUUUAAAAGCAGCAUAAGCGAAUUUAAAUGGCGGACUGUGUGAUCCCCCCUCCCCCAAAGAAAUAUGAUACUCAUUCCGUUUUAAUAUAGAUGAUGUUUUAGAAAAAUUAUUUUGUUUCAAUUUAUAUGAAGUUUUGAGAUUAUAUGAUUAAUUUUAACUUUAUUAGAAACUGAUCAACUAAUUAGAUUUUACCAUCUUUUUUAUAAUUAGUUAACUGAUUUUAAAAUUAUAUUUUUAAAAUAUUUAAAAAAUAAUAAUUUUCUUAAUCUUUAUGCACUAAGGCAAAACAUCAAGUAUUAUGAGCGGGAAAGAAUAUCUUGUUUUCAGUUAUCGUGUGGCACCACCAUAGAGACUAGUAUGAAACACAAAGGCAAUUAAGCUUUAACCACCCUAGACCUUAUUUUAAAAAUAUAUUUAACUUUCUUAUAUAAUAAACUGGUCAAUAUCAAGAUAGACAACAUUCAUGAGAGUGUUCUGGUUGACGACACGACCGUCACGAGUCAUCAUGGAGCUUAGUUAAAAGACGUUUAUUCGAAACACAUCAGGCGCGACAUCAUUGGACCCACCAUCUCAAGCUCUAACUUAAGUGCAUAAAAUAGAAAAAUCUAACGACGAAAAUGAAAAGAAUAGGCAUGUGUCAAACUUUCUACAUGUGUGGGUUAAGUACAUAUCAUCGGAGAAACAAAUUCAUAAUCUAGAUAAGCACAUAUUAAAAUAAUAAGUGAAGUUGUUGCGGGAAAAUGAUUUUUUUAUAUGUAUCUUUCGUGAAAUGCGAAUUUGUUAAGGCAAUAACUACAUUCUAAAUAAAGUUACUAGUUAAUUGGUAAUUUCAGUGUGAAGGUGUAUCAUGCAGAGUGGGUGAACCAAACCUCUUAAUAAGUAGACUCUCCCAAUCUAAUCUAAUUUGCUUUAUCUUUCUCCAUUGGGCCCCAAAUUCCAAAUCAUAAUAGCCACCAAACUCACCAAUGUCAAGUUCUGUCUGAGAAGUCAGUCUAACCAAUCUCGUUCUCACUUGAGCACUCUUUUGCUUCAAUCCAAAAGUCAGCUAGUUUUUUUUUUUUGUGAAUUCUGGUUUGACGUUUUUUUAAAAUGUACUAUAAGUCUAUAACUAAUAAAUACUAGUAACUAAAUCAAAGUAAAACCAAGCCGACAAGCGUUAAUCCUAUUUUUUCCAAAUAGGAAAGUGAUAUAUAAGCUUAUAUUUUUAAAUAUGCCCGACUGCUUAGAGAUAAUCACUUAACCCAACAAGAGAUUAGAGAAAAGUGUACUAAGUAAAAUGUUUACAUGUCAAUAUGUCAUAUACUAUCUAACCGAACCACAUAGAUAGUGGAUGUGACAUAGAAUCUUUACGUCUCCGUGGAAAAUAGUUAAAUUCAUCAACGCAAAAGCCUAACAAGAUCUUCGGCCUUCUGCUUACGAAACAAAGCUCUAUCCACUGAGCUAUAAACGCUAAGUUAGGACUAACUAAACAAUGUUAUUACCAACAGUUUGUAGCUUAAAAGUAGUUCCAAAAAAAAUUAGUCCUAACAUACACCUUCUCUUCAUGUAAAAAGGCAAUUAAGAAAAACAACUUUCACUUGCUAUGCCAUCUAAAGAAGCUAGUGACCUUUCACCAUACCAUCACUCCCGAGUUGUAUCGAAGAUUCUCUGAUGAUGCAAAAACAGAGAAUUAGAAGGAAAAAAUAUUUCAGAACGGUUUGUGUCACUUUCAGGUGCUAUGAAAGCAUAAAAAUCUCUUAAUAGGCCUUGUCCAGUUUAAAAGAUUAUUGGGGCUAAAAUGCUCUCAAGUGGGUCAACUAGUGCCUAAAUGGGCCUUGUGGCAUUUUCAAAUAUUCCGACAGCUGACCGACAUACUCUAAGGUAUUGGUCGGAGGAAAAAUGCAUCGGCGAUGAAUUGAAAUUGUCACGGGGGAGUGAUCGCCUUCUCUAGAAUUUCAAGCUUAUUUGGUACAAGCGACAGUUCAUCGGUUGCACACAAAAAAAAGACAGUUCAUCGAACCCUAUUUUAAUAUUCAAUCUAGGCUUCUCUGCAUCACGAGUAACUUCUUAACAUGGCCAUUUCAUAUUGAGUCAUUGACAAUGGAAAUGAGGCCACCGUUUUUUUUUUUUGUAUUUGGUUGUUACUCUUGUGCAUAUGAAUGAAAUAAUGACAAUGUUACAGUUUUACAAAAAUAGAAAAGGGUAAACUGUUUUUAUGAUGAAAACGUAGUUUAUUAUUAUUAUUCUCAGAAAAAGUAACAAAUGAUUCAUUGUUCAUUUUGAGCAUUUCAAAGGAAAAUGAAGCUUUUAGUUGUUAAUUUCUCAGUUGGCGAUACUUAACUCAAAUCGAAAUAUUUAUAUAUAGACCUUUAAAUCUAGUAGUUUGGAGUUUAUUGCGUUACUAUAUAUACAAAGUAAAAGUAAUGACGUGACAAAAAAAAACAUGUAACUUGUUUUCUGUUGGAAGCUUUCUCUUCUUUCUUUCUUUCUCGUCAUUAUCAAAAGACGUUAUGUUGUGAUGAGGUUAUGACAAAUUUCAUAUUUGUGCUUAGGUUCGACGAACGGCCUCACACAUGUACAAACUUCAUAUUAUCUCCUCCUCGCAAUUGGUUUAUAUUUGAUUCUUGUAGCAAAGCCGUGAAAUAGCGACAUAUUAAAUUUACUCAUAUUGCAUGAUAUAACUAGGCAGUUACAUCACUUGUAUUCACAUUCAUCAUGCUCCUUCACUACCUAUCCGUUUCAUUAAAUUAUCACAAAAUACUUCAACAUGUUGUAUAUAAAAGUUAUUUAUUUUUUAUAAAUUACAUUACACUUUAAGCUUAUUAUUUGGCUAGUUAAUGUGGUGUCUCGACCAAAAGCAAGAAAAGGUUUAUUCUUGAUUUAUAUUACCUUUUUAUGAUGAUUUAACAGAGGAAAACUAAAAGUUAAGAUAUCCGAAAGACAAUGAUCUUCUAAAGCAAACUUACUAAGAGCAGCAUUAACCCUUCACGGGUUCUUAGUCGAAUUUUUUUUUUAAAUUUUUUUUUUUUUAAUUUUUUUUUCUAAAAAAAAAAUUAACUAAUUGUGGGCCACCACGUGUCAGUGGGGCCCGCAAACAGUGCUAAAACUAAGUAAGAGGCACCUCUUGCAGAAGAGUAUUAAGAGGUGCUUUUUAUCAAAACUGUGGGACCCACCUCUUAAGAACCAAGCUAAGAGGUGGGGUUAAUGCUGCUCUAAUGAUCAAUAAAAAAAAGCUUAUUAGAAGGAGAAUGUAGUAUUGAAAAGUGCCAACAUCGCCUUUUUGUUUUGGGAGUAACCAACAUCACCUUUUAAGUGACCGGAACCUAUAAACAUUAAUUCUUGCAGAUGUGUGUGUGUAUUCGUACAGAUAAAUGAUAUAGUUAUCUAUCAAAAUAAUUGGAAUAACAAAAUUACUCUUGUGAUUUUAAAAAACAUAGCUUUGUCUCUAUAACGUUUAUGAGUGAGCUUAUAAAUACAAUUAUAGUCAUGACUAAAUUCUAACUUUUGUUAGUUAAACUAAAUCGUAAUAAAAUUAUUUAUAAGAAUAAUUUUUUAGACAUUUAUAUUUCGUUUAUUUGUAGUGAUUUUGACAGAAUUUAAAACAUAUACAUUAUAUGUGUUCAUGCGUACAUAUAUAAAAACCUCAUGUGUAGAGAGACUGCAAAAGAAGGCUAAGGCCUGCUCUCUGUGUUCACGUAGACUCGACAUAGUUCAGUGACUUCUAAGAUGCUAUAUGCUUGUAUGUACAUUAAUUAGACCACACUUCACUGACAAAGUUUUCAUGUAACAUCAGUCUAUAUUUUCUACUUACAGCACAACUAUCGAUGUUGUAACGAAUAUUACACUGUCUGGAAUUAUUGAGAUUUCAUUAUUCACUAGGGCACAGUUCAAUUGAUGUGGAUGGCAAAUUUCAAUUUUGGGUAUAAUUAGGCUCAGUUAAACUUAUUAAAUCAAGUAAAAUGAAUUGAUUGGUAUUAUAACUAAUCUCAAGGAGACAUAAUCUGUUUACUGAGAAUCACAUUUGAAGAUUUAUUUUUAAUUAGUAUUCCGUCCAUUCCUAAAUACAAGAUGUCUUAGAUAAAACACAUUUAUUAAAAAACUUGUUUUUAUCUAAAAAAUAUAAUUGAAAUUUAAAAUUUAAAAUUACUCAACCAAUUAUAAAAUAGAAUUAUUAAAUUUGGUUGGUUCCACAAUAUUUGAUAAAGUUCAAGGUACUUAAAAAUAUGAGAAUAUCUUAUAUAUUAGAACAUAAAGAUUAUUCUAAACAUCUUAUAUUUCAAAACAAAGGUGAACCAAUUAGUUUUUUUUUUUUCUGAAACACCAACCAGGCAACCACCAAUUAGUUAGUUGAGAAUUUCACCACUAAGCUCAAGUCCAAGAGCCUUUCAAUAAUUAAGCUUUAAGCACAGUAAAUCCUGUUUUGAAUUCGCCCAAUAUUAAAAAAAAACAAACUAAUGAAAAAGUUAGAGAAUCUAAUACAGUAUAUAUCUAUCAAUUCUUGAAUUUUGGUUUUUGUUUACAAAUUGAAACUUAUAAUACAACAAUAGUAACCCAAACAACAACAACAAAAGCUUACUACAAAGAACACCCAAAUAAAACAAAACUACAAACAUAAAUAUUUUUGGAAGUGACAUCACAAACACACAUAGUUUUAAAUCUUGAUCAUAUAAAUAUAGUUUAUCUUAAACUUACCAAGAAUCAUGGCAAAGCAUUAAUUAUAAUGAUUAAGAUCAGUCCAAGCUUGAAGUCCAUUGUUCCAUUGAUCGCUUCCUCCUGUGUUAUUAUUUUCAUUGUUAUUAAUCACCCUUUCGUUGUCGUUAUUAUUACCAAAGUACCACUCUGUCUGAUUCUCUCCUUUCUUAGUUGUCGGCGACGGCGAUGAGUUAACGAUCUCGAGAUUCCGGUAAAGAAGCGGCUGUGGCCUCUCCACAACAACAGUCUCUUCUUUAGAGUUGCCAAAAAACAUAGCCAUCCUCUGUUGCUGAAGCCUCCAGUGUAAAUCUUGGUUUAAACAACUCAAAGUUUCUAUCGACGUAGCUAAGUUUCCAUCGGUUGUGAAAGUCGCCGGUGAAUGGUUGUUGUUGUUGCUGUUGUAAUCUCCGAAACCCAUUAGGGUUAAACCUGAUCCGACAUCAACAGGUGUUGUUUCGACCUGCUCCAUGGUCGUCCUAAGGCCAAGAACUUCUUGAUUAUUCAUAAGUUGAAGAUCGUUUAUUUUGUUGAGAGAUAAUCCAGCGAGCUGAAAAUCCAUUGCUGUUGGAGGAGUGAAGAAUUUAGAUGCUUCUUCCAUGGUUGAAGAGAAAAAUCUCUGAGAUGAAGAAGAAGAAGGAGCUAUAAUGUUAGGUUUUAUUGAUUUUUUGGUUUUCCGACAACCGCCACCGAUGGGGACGUUUCUUAAGGAACCGCCACGUGUCCAGUAACGGCGGCAAGAUUUGCAGAAGUGACGAGGCUGAGAGAGGCUGUAGUUGUUGUAGUAACAAAACUUUGUGUUUGAGGAGUUGCAACGAGGGCAUUUUAGGGUUUGUUGGUCUUGAGAAGCGGUGGAAGACGGUGGUUUUUUGGUAUGGGACGCACCGGUGAUACGGUGAUCCGGUUUAGGAGAGUGGAGAUUGGUAUGGGAGGACAUGAUAAUGAUGGGACGAGAGAAAUAAAGGAACAAGAAAAGUAUGAUGAGAGCGAGAGAGAUUGAGGAACAGUUGGUAAAAAGGGUUUCGUCUGGUGUGAAUUUAUAUAUAAAAUGAUUCUGCAUGUAUGUGAGCUUGUGUAUGUUUUAGAAACGUUUGUUUGGCUUAAUUAUUUAUAGAUAUUGAGUAAACAAAAAGUGGCUUUGUCUUCAAAAAGUUGGAGACGUAAAUAGUUAUUUUGUUUAUGAGACUUAAAUCACUUUAGUUUUCUUUUCUUGUCGAGUUAAUUAUUUGAAUGUUUUUGCUUUUGUAGCAAAAAAAAUUGUCUUUGUAUUUAUUAAUAUUAAAAGAGUGUGUUUAUCAAAAUGAAACUUUAAUAUCCAGAGUUUUAUCAUUCAUUUUAAGAUAUUAAAUGCAAAAAAGAAAAAUCUUAACGAAUUACAAAAAGCGAAUGGUACAAAUUAAUAUGAGCAUAUAGAUUUGUUAACAUGUAUAUAAAAUUCAAUAUUUAUGUAUUAACAACUAAAACUAGAAUUACGAUGUUGCAUGUAGAACAUGUUAUAAUUCUCUUGCAUAAUAAUUACCUCGACAAUACUCAAUCUUUUCGCUAAAAAGUAGAUUUCGAACAUGUUUAAACAUUUUUUUUUACUUUGUGGACUAUGUAUUUAAACAUGUUAUAUAUACUAUGUUGGUAAUACUCUUGUGUAAUCUUAAACCGCCAUUGUAGUAGACUUGUAUACUCAUAAACCGCCAUUUUGUCAAAAAUGUACAUUUUAUUACAUUCGAUAUAUGAAUUUCUUUGCAGGUAUAGUCUUUGUAUACGUAGAGAGAUGAGUGAGGGAUAAUAGAGACAAAAGGAGAAGAUGAGAGAGAGGCAUGAAGUGGCAGAAAAGACAGAAGAACAUAUAUAACUGUGCAAUUGAUCGGAACAAAUCGGAUAGAAUUUGUUAUCUGUCGUGUUAUGUUGUUGCGGUAACGUUUUUUCAAUGUGUGAAGUGUGCACUGCACCGGUCUUUAUACGUAAACUAUAUAUUUUAUACAUAUAUUCAUUUGUGUUACAAAAAAAAAAAAUACAUAUAUUCAUGCAGCCAGUUAUACUUAUUAUAGUUGUCAGCAGUAUGCAACUCUACUAAGGAAACCAUAACUAUUUGAACAAUUUAUUUAUAUAUCCUUUAAGUUAUUGUUGCCAAGAAACUGAGAAUACAUAUACUAACUUGUCGAUUUCAAAUUUAUAUAGUAGACAUAAAUUUGAUUCGUAUGAGUUCACGUUUAAACAUUUAAGCACGUUUUUAAAAGUUUAACGAGUAGGGUUUGUUACAUUAGUUAACUUUCUCUCACAUCUUUGUAAAGUUUUCCUAAUAUAAUUUUGACCAUUAACUCCAAAAACUUCUCUUGACACCUUUUAUCACCCCCUUUUUUAUUUUUAUUUUGUAACGGUAAUAUAUAAUAUGAUUAAAUUAUCAACUAAAACUUGCAAUAUUUGACGUUUGUGAAGUGAAAUUGCAUCAUAAUCAGAUUCCAUAGGGUUUUAGUAUACGUAUUAAUUCCAAUUACACAGUUAGUGAGGCCAUGUUCUCAAUAAUAUGCAUAUAUCAAUAAAUAAUACAUCCAAAAAUAGAAAAAGAGAAGAUUGUGUUUCGAUGAUUGAUCAAGCGUCUCCAUCUGUGAAGAAACACGAGAGAACGGAGAAGAAGAAAUAGGAAACAUGUGAGAGCUUCAAGAAUGGAUCUCUCGUGAAACUGAACCGAUCAUCCUCUCUGAUACAUACAGCUUACACCCACUUUUGUUUUGAACUGAUAAUAAAUCCAAAACCAUACCGCAAUUGCAAAUGAGAUUCAUACACGCCCGGUUUAACUUUUAAACUAUUCUUCAUAUGUAUCUCCAUUAGCCUUUUUUCAUAAUAUCAAAUUACUAUUGAAACUUGAAGAAUAUUUACAAAAAAAAAAAAAAAUUACUACUGAAAUUAAUCUACAAGGAGCAAAAUAAGUAGAUAUUUGCAUCGGUGAUAUUAUUAGAUGUUCUAACCCCAACAAUUUAUACUACUCCGAUCCAUAUAAAUCCAAACCUGAUAUACUUGGCCAAAAGCACAUUUGUAUCACAAAAUAAAAUAAAAUAUAUGUUUGUUCUUUUAUUUAUUUUGUAUCAGAGGUUUGGGUCUUUGGCCUAUAUUGAUACAAAACAAGUUCUUAACAAACUAAUAUUCUCCCCAAAAAGAAACUUUGUACCUUUUUAACAUCUGGUUUUCCUUUAUUUGAUAUCAAUAAAUAUUGUGAGAGAUAUAUAUAAAAAUAUAUUAAAUUAGUGUAAAGACGCAGUUUCAACAAGGAUUGGUCAAAUGCAGUUCAAAUGUUAUAUCGUUAUCAAACGUUGUAGAAGCAUAUACCACCUGAUAUACCCGGUCUGUUCCCAUUUAUUCCAGCCGUAAUCUGAUCCUCCUUUUCAUUGAUUGUUUUACAUUUAUUUAUAUGAGUUCGGUCCGAGUUUAAUGCUCUACUGGGAUCUUGAAACAGGAAAAGAAAAACAAGAAUUAAUAUUGAAAAUUGUGAAGCUAAUCACGAGAAACGUACGGAACGAGAGAAGGGCUGAUUCGUGGAGGCCCAUUAGUUUUAAACCAACCAUUGUGCUUACAAGCUUGAACGUACCUGUAUUGUCGGAUUUUUAGAUUAUUUCGUCUAACAAAUAAUUACGAUGUGUAUGGGAACUUAUGGACUUGUAGCCCAUUAUUAAAAAAGGACAAAAUGCACUAUGGCUAAAAAACGCUAGAAGGAGGAUUCGAACCUCCGACCUUGUGGUUAACAGCCACACGCUCUAACCAACUGAGCUAUUCCAGCUUUUGUUUAAGCAAUUAAGAACGUAUUAACAUAAUUCGUCUUUUUCUAACAAACUAUUAAAACAUAAAUUUUAAAGUACGAGAUACAUUUAAAUCUACCAUCCAUCCCCAUUGGAGAUGCUCUAAGUUCGUGAAUAAUUUUGUAAGCAGAUAACUCAUUUCUCUGUCUAGAGAGAGACUACACAUUUAAAAAUAAUCAAAUGGGAAUUACCCAUUUAGUAUACAAGAGCAAACAAAAAUAAUAUUAACAAUUCUAAUCACAUUGACUUUAGUAAUGUGAAAGCUGGCACUAGAGAUGUAAGAAGAUACGAACUAAUUGUUAACUUGAUUUGCAGCGUACAAUGAUUCAAUGAAUAGUUUUGGACAUGUGAAUAAAAGAUGAGAUGUGACUUUGAUUAUGAUUACUUCAGAAACUGUGAUGGAAAACAAAAUAAAUUCAUAAUAUAUUCAUAAACAGGCAUAAUUAACUGAAUCUGGCUCGUGUUCUCGUAAAGCUCUCUCCUAUGCUGUAAUAGUUGAGUGACCCUUGUCUUAUUUUUUACCUGUUCGUUCCAUUGUUUUUUAUUUUACAAGUCGUUUCCUAAGGUAAUGUACGACAGAGAUCGUGUCGAAUAAGAUUUAUAUGUCUCAUAAAAUAAAAUAAAAAUUCAGAACUUUUGACUAAUUUGAGUUUUCGAAUAUGCUGUCCUACAUUAUCGCUAAGCAAAUAGCUUCGGUUUUGUUUUAACUGUGGAUUUAAAAGGCUUUAUGAAGAAACCAAAACGUUGAUUUGAAAAAUCGAGCUUCCCUUCUAGCUUAAAUCUACACAUAACCACUUUGGGGAGUUAAUCAGUGAUUAACGAAACGUAAAGAUUAGGUUGAUGGUGUGGACUCUGGAGAGCAUAGACGAUGUCUACAGACUCUACACGGUGUGUAUGCAAUGUGAUAAAUACAUUAUGUCUAUCCAACACGGUAACACCAUACUGUUCAUAAAUCAAAAGAGUUGUAAGUCUAACUUUUCACAGUAUUUGCUGUCGAUAAUUAUUUGAUUUGGAAUGGUUAAACAGUUAGUAUAGGAAAUGAAGCUAAGCAUAUUUGUACUUUUAAAACCGGUAGAAGAAUUUUUCUUUUUUUUUUCAAAAUGAAACUAUUGAUUAUUCUUAUUUCUUACAACUAGAAAAUGCAAUUUAUUUACUGUAUUGUUUAUAGAUCAUGUUAUUUAUUUAUUUAUUUUUUACAGCGAAAAAUUAUUUUACUACUCAAGUUUGAAGUGGUAUGGAUAUCCAGACCAGAAUAGAAUAACCAACAAAAUGAAACUCUCUAUGAAAAAGAAUAGACCAUGUUAUUCAUCAAUAGUAUAUCAUACUCUAUAUAUAUUAUUCAUGUAUAAAAAUACGAACCAUUUGAUUCGUUUUUAUUUUCUCUUAAGUUUUAAUUAUAAAACUGUAGUGAGGAUUAAAACAAUUUUAAAUCAUAAGACUAUACAUUUAAUCGCCUGAAAUUGCUUAUAUAUAACAUUUGCUUGAAUGUUGAUUUUCGCUUAUUAAAUGUCUUUUUCAUAGCUCUACAAAUAUCUUUAAAAUAAUACAAAAUAUAGGCUUCCCAAAUUUGACAAUCAAGCGCAUAUUGUCUGGAGCUGCAAGUAACUCUGAUAUAAAAUCCAACAAUUGUAAGAGUAGGUCUAACAACAAAAAAUCGUUUACUUCAUGAAAAACCUUUAUACAUUUUCAUAUUUCAUUGAAAACUUUUGAGUUUUAUCCAGCAUCUAAAUUUGACUCUAUCGAAUCCGUGUAGAACAUCCUUGUUUUAAAUUUCUAAUAUAUGUUUGCUCAAAAAAAAAAUCCAGCAUCUAAUUAAGUGGUCUGAAUAUUAUAUGCUUUUUUAUAUUUUUGUAUAUCGAUGAUAACUGAAACAUGCAUGCAGCCGCCAAUUUGAUAUUCGCAUAGGUAGCAUUUUCACUAAGUUGUGACUCGAAGAUUUAGAAUAUACGAUACAGGUAUAUGAUCUUUUGCCCCUCUUUUCACGCAAAGUGCAAAAUUUUAUAACUGUACAAAAUUCCGAAACAGUUUAGUUCGCACGAAUAUAUGACAUCAGUAGAGAGGAGGGGAGAUUAAACCGAGGGACCAGAGAUCGUGUGUAUGUGUGAGUCUACGCUAAAAUCUAAAAUUAUGAUGCGACACUAUGUUCUGAUGAAUUUUUAUAUUAUAGAGGGGAUAUGAUAUAUGAUGGGACCAACCAGGAUUUAGGAGUCGUUAAUAAAAUGCCAUAAGAGGUAGCUUGAUUGUAAUUAUGAAUGAAAAUGAUGUGUGUAACAUGAUGACCAUACGCGAGCUCCUACUUUAACGUACACUUUAUAUGGAACGGAGACUAUGACGUUGUCAUUUAACUUCUUGUUAAUCAUACGCAGGCUCGUUACUUUAUCUACUAUAUAUUAAUGAUCAGUAAAUGAAAUUAUGUUAAGCAAAAUUACAAUUACGUGGAAAAUUAAGGUUUAGGUUACGCUCUAAAUAGUUUACAUAGUGUUAGGAUCAACCAGCUCGCAAUACGUUCGAAUGCUUUCAAUCUCACGAUCUUUCUCUCUCUCGAUGAAUCAUAAACAGAACAAUGACACAAGAAGAAGUUAUACGAGUUCAGGCCCUCAAGAUAGAGUAAUAGCCCUACGUCUCGACUGGUAAAUCACCAGUGUUUCACUAUGAAUCAAGAACUCGAAUAAUCCCUCUCUUGCUCACCUUUGAAUGUAGCUCACAAGAGAGAGGGGAUAAUCCACAUACGCCCUUUAUAUAUCAGGGACUAAUCACUCACAUUAAGCUGACUAACACACGUCAUAAACCAUAAGCUAAACUCCUAAUUGAACCGGCCAAACCACCUUUUCCAAUCUUCAGCUUAUUGACAUUCCUUGUCUUGGUUUAAGCUUAACCGGAUUGAUCUUCCAUCACCAAAGCUCUACAAAACCCCACCUUGAUGACAUCAAUCUGAGUAAGCUCCUUAAUGCGGCAAACGUAUGAACUCCCAAGCCUUACGGCUUAUCAUCAGUGACUUGCUACUCCGAGAAAGCUCAACGCCUUCUCAAACUUCUCAACUGGAAGAACCUUUGUCAACAUAUCAGCAGGGUUCUUCUCUGUAGCAAUCUUCAGCACUCUUACAUCACCAAGCGCUAUAAUGUCUCUGAUGAAAUGCAUCUUCCUACUUAUGUGUUUCGUUCUUUCAUGAUGAACAUUGUUCUUCGCUAGGCAGAGGGCACUUUGCGAAUCACACCACACAUCAAUACUCCUCUGUUUAUAGCCAAACUCUUCAGUUAAUCCUUUAAGCCAGACGCCUUCUUUUACAGCUUCCACCAUAGCCAUAUAUUCCGCUUCAGUCGUGGAUAGAGCCACCACAUAUUGUAACCCUGAUCGCCAACUGAUAGCACUUCCUCCUGCCGUAAACACAUAACCUGAAAUUGACCUUCUCCUACCAAGAUCAGAUGAGAAGUCUGAGUCGCAGAAACCUUCGACUUUGAACUCCUUUUGCUUUCUGAACACUAGCUUCAGACUCUCUGUCUUCUUCAAGUACCUCAGUACCCAUUUCACUGCUAACCAAUGCUCAGAACUUGGAUUGCUCAUAAACCGACUGAUCAAUCCUACUGCAUAGGCAACAUCACAUCUAGUUCCCAGCAUUGCAUACAUCACACUCCUUAUAGCAUUAGAGUAUGGAACAUCGUCACCGACUGGUUCUUGUCCAUCAUCAUCCUUAAUCGCAGAUAAUCUGAACUGAGCUCCAAUAGGUGUAGUAACCAACUUUGCUUCAUCCAUGUUGAAAGCUUGAAGUACCUUCUUGAUGUAUCCAGACUGAGAUAGAGUAAGUACCCCACCUUCUCGGUUUCUUACUAUAUCCAUACCCAGUAUCCUCCUUGCUGGACCGAGAUCUUUCAUCUCAAACCUACUUGCCAACAGCUUCUUAACUGAAGAAACUUCUUCUUUAUCCUUUGAUGCUAGUAGCAUGUCAUCCACGUAAAGAAGCAAGUAGAUUCUAACUCCUUUCUUAGACUCUUUUAUGUAGACGCAAUGAUCAAACUCACUCCUCCUAAACCCUUGGUCAACAACGAACUGAUCGAAGCACUUGUUCCACUGUCUAGGUGCUUGCUUAAGUCCGUAUAAAGCCUUUUCAAGUUUGCAUACAAGGCUUUCUUUUCUUUUAACAACAUACCCCUCUGGUUGUUCCAUGAAGAUCUCCUCUUCAAUAACUCCAUGACGAAAUGCAGUCUUGACGUCAAGCUGCUCUAACUCUAGAUCUUCAUUCACCGUAAUUGCAAGGAGUAAUCUUAUCGAGACAUGUUUAACUACAGGUGAGAAUACUUCUUGAUAGUCUAUUCCCUCCUUCUGUGAGUAACCUUUUGCAACAAGUCUUGACUUGUGGCGAGGCUUCUCUACUCCUGGUAUUCCUGGUUUCUUCCUAUACACCCAUUUACAGCAAAUCACUUUCCUGUCUUUAGGUCUUUCAACUAACUUCCAUGUUUUAUUUGCCUCAAGAGAACUCAUUUCCUCAUCCAUUCCUUCGUUCCAGAGCUCCUUAUCUCUGCUUCUUAUUGCUUCUUGAUAAUCCCUUGGCUCAUCUUGACUAACUUCAAUAGCCGCAAUCAAAGCAAAUGCAGCUAAGUCAUAAUCACCAUACCUAGCUGGAGGUAUUAUCUCUCUUCUUGGUCUGUCUCUGGCUAUGUUAUAGUCUCCAUGAGUGUCUGUAGUCGUUCCACUACUAUCACCUUCCUCACUGUCAGACUCCACCUCUUGAUCUUCUGGAGAUACAAUCAACUUUGAAACUUCUCCUUUAUCUCCAGCUUCCGUGUCCACUAAUACAGAGCUUCUAGUUCCCAUAGCUUUAGGAAACUCUUUUUCACUAGACAGCUUUACUUCAUCCUUGUAAACUUUGUCUUCCACAAAGAUUACGUUUCUACUAAUCACACAUUUCUUUUCUUCUAGAAGCCACACUUUAUAUCCUUUAACUCCAACAGGAUAGCUCAGAAAAACUCCUUUUACUGAUCUUGGCUUCAACUUCCCUUGAUCCGUGUGUACAUACGCUAAUGAACCAAAACUCCUCAUGUGCUUGUAGCCUGGCUUCUUCCCUAGCCAAAGCUCCUCUGGAAUAUUGUAAUCAAUUGCUGAUGAAGGGCUUCUGUUGAUUUGAUAGACAGCUAUAGAGACUGCUUCGGCCCAGAAUUCUUCUUCAAGUCCAGACUCAUUCAACAGGCAUCUCACUUUUUCCAUUAUGGUUCGGUUCAUGCGUUCUGCAACGCCGUUUUGUUGUGGCGUGUAGGCGCAUGUCCGAUGCCUUUCAAUACCUUGUCCUCUGCAGAAGCUAUCAAAAUCUUUGUUACAGAACUCAAGCCCGUUGUCUGUCCUUAGGCACUUCACUUUCUUGUUCACUUGAUUUUCUACGAGCUUCUUCCACUCACAGAAACUCACAAACGCAUCGCUCUUUGCUGCUAGAAAAUAAACCCAAGUCUUCCGUGUAUAGUCGUCUAUGAUGGAGAGAAAAUACUGCUUCUUUGAUAUGCUUGGCGUGACAUUUUGUGAGCCCCAGAGAUCGGCAUGUAUAUACUUGAGAGCCUCUCCAGUGUUGUGUUUCCCAAUCUGAAAGCUUAACUUCUUGUGCUUCCCCAUUACACAAUUCUCACAGAAGCUCAUCUCACUGAUCUUCCUUUUGUCUAAAAUUCCUUUCCUUGCGAGAAUUUGCAGAUUCUUCAGGCUCAUGUGACCCAAACGUCUGUGCCACAGGUCAGUUUCAUCACUUGACUUCUUAACCUGCACAUUAUUACUCUCCCCUGCAACAACAGUUUCACCAUCCAACAAAUACAACGAUCCAGAAAGCGUUCCUUGUAACGCUAAUUUCCCAUCUUUAUAGAAUCUUGUUUUUCCUUUACCACCAGCAUGAUCAAAACCUAACCUAUCUAAAGUUCCAGUCGAGAGUAGAUUCCUUUUGAGUUUAGGAACGUACCUGACAUUGUUCAAGACUUUCACUGUUCCUCCAUAGGCUUUGAUCUUUACUGAUCCAACUCCUUGCACAUCCACUGUGGAAUCAUCUCCUAGCGCAACUCGUCCUGAGGUUACUUCUUCAAACGUAUCAAACCAGUCUCGUCUUGAGGUCAUAUGAUACGAGCACCCCGAGUCAAUAACCCAUUUCUCUUGGUGCCAUGAGUCAGAAACCGUCAACGCAUCAAUAACCACAGCUGCUUCCGCAUUUUCUUCUCCUUCCAGUUUCUUCUUACGUGCAUAACAGUCAGCCUUCUUGUGACCUUCUUUCUUGCAAUACCAACACGUAAUCCUUGAUCCAGAACCGGAUCUUGAUCUGCCUUUCCACUUCUUGUUGCCAGAUUCUCUUUUCUCAGGUCUUCCUCUUGCCACAAGAGCAUCUCCACUCUUUGCUGAUGCAUUGAGUUCUUGCUUCUCUCCCAACUCUAGCUCUUUUGACUUUGCAGCAUUCAUGACACUCUCAAUAGUAAGAGUGUCUCUCCCAUACUUCAAUGUCUCCUUGAGAGAGUUAUACUGCGCCGGCAACGAGUUUAGCAACAAGAUUGCUUGAACUUCCUCCGUGACCUCUACACUCAAGCUACUCAAUCCAGAUACAAGCUUUAAGAAAUCGUCAAUGUUCUGAUCCACAGACUUUGAUUCCACCAUCUUAAACGUAUAGAACUUGUGUUGCAAAUGGAUUCGAUUCGGAAGAGUCUUUUGAUUGUAUAACCUUUCAAGAGCAGUCCAUAUCGCAGCGGCGGUUGUACAAUCAUCGAGCUUCCGUAGAACAUGAUCUCCGAGAUUCAAGAUCAGCAUGUUCAUAGCCUUCUCAGCUCGCUCAAGCCGUUUGACUUCAUCUUCCUUUAGUCUUUCUUGAUAGACAUCUGGAUCUUCUUCUUUCUUCAUCGGUUUGGGAUCUGGAAUCGAUUCUUCGAGCGAAUCCUUCAAUCCCAAGAUCGACAGGUGAGCUAACAUUCGUUUCUUCCACAUUGAGAAGUCGCCUUGUCCGUCAAAGAUCGCAACCUUGACCUUCGCCAUCGAAUCGCCCAUCGAGCUUCAACGCGGCUCUGAUACCACUUUGUUAGGAUCAACCAGCUCGCAAUACGUUCGAAUGCUCUCAAUCUCACGAUCUUUCUCUCUCUCGAUGAAUCAUAAACAGAACAAUGACACAAGAAGAAGUUAUACGAGUUCAGGCCCUCAAGAUAGAGUAAUAGCCCUACGUCUCGACUGGUAAAUCACCAGUGUUUCACUAUGAAUCAAGAACUCGAAUAAUCCCUCUCUUGCUCACCUUUGAAUGUAGCUCACAAGAGAGAGGGGAUAAUCCACAUACGCCCUUUAUAUAUCAGGGACUAAUCACUCACAUUAAGCUGACUAACACACGUCAUAAACCAUAAGCUAAACUCCUAAUUGAACCGGCCAAACCACCUUUUCCAAUCUUCAGCUUAUUGACAUUCAUUGUCUUGGUUUAAGCUUAACCGGAUUGAUCUUCCAUCACCAAAGCUCUACACAUAGUAGUUCGGAAACGUCGAUCCGAAUAUUUUAUAUUAGUUGGAAGGCAUUCAAUAUUUGGAUUAAGAUUAGACAAUAUAACAAUCAAUCCAUUCUGCACCAUUAAAUAUAUUUUUUAUAAGUGACUGGACCAGUCAAUAGAGCAAAUGUUUUUUUUUUUAAUAAGUAAACGGUGUUAGAAUUGAUAUGAAACUCGGUUGGUCGUUUUAUCGUAUAUAUGUAUAAGUUUUCAAUAAUAUAUCCCUUACUUUUACGUAGAAAAAGUGUUAAAGAUUAUAUCAUCGCUUAUGUCUACGCUAAUAAUAACAACAUAAACUAUAAUUUUUUACUAUACCUGCAAUUUUUUUAAAGAAGUAUACUGCAAUUAAAUAUCUACUGGCCAUGUUUCAGGUUUUAACCAUAUGUACGAUUUCAUUAUCUUUUUUUUUACCACAUUUCAUUAUCUAAACAGGGAUUUUCAGUUUCCCUAAACUUAUUUUUAUAACACUCAAUAUAUGUUUGGCUAGUACUUUUAACAAAAUUUAUGAAAGGUAUUGUCUUUUAUGUCCUUUGAUAAAAGCAUUAUUGAUUUCUUUUCGUUCCUCAUAUAUGUUGUAUACUUGUAUUAGUCAGUCGUUUAACCUAAAUAUUUUCUUUGUUAAAAUGUUUAAUCUAAAUCUAAUAUUUUAUAUUGUAAAAUCAAGAAUUAAAAUGUGUAUACAGGACGAGCUGGCUCAAGAAAUUCCUAGUUUGAAUAUACUUAACAAUCUGGAGAGAGAAUUUAGCAACCGGCUUUUAUCUCUGACUCUGAAAUAAUUAAUCAGACCAUAAGGUCUGGAUUAUCUUCUGAUCUUUAAAACAAAUUAAAAUGUAAUUUAGGAGCCACAAACGGCCCCCAAAGGAAGAAUUAUGUGUCUUUCUUUGUUUACAAAAAAAAUAGUGAACAAUGCAAAAGAGAAAGCGGUUUUGAUAAGAGAAUGUGGCUAAACUAUGGGCUGUCCACCGAAUUCAUGCAAUGCAAACAAAAUCUCCCUACGUACGUUUUUUUUUAAAUACUAUUUUUGCAAAAACAUUAGAUUCUCAAUCAAGUAAACUAUAUAUUUUAUCUACAGAUUCUCAACUCCAGCCAAGAAAAAUAAUUAAACAUUUUCGUGUUAGAUUAAAUAUUUAAUAGCUGCUCUGUUCUUCUUCCAUACGACCAUACCUCUUAAAUAAUUAGUUUUGGAAUAAACACGGAAAAUUCCUACAAUCAUUUAACGGUUCUUUUCGGUAUGUCGAUAUUCAUUAUCAUAUAAAGAAAAACAGUUAUUUUUAUUAAUUUGGGGGUAUGUUAAUCCACAAAAGUAGGUACAGUACACUGAUAGAUCCUAUUUUCGAAUAUGCAAAUAUACCGUAAGUAAAAUCACAUAUCCGUGUAGAUAUCCAGAACAAUAUGACUUAGUUUCAUACAACAGGUGGAUCGAACGUAAAACGUGUUGGCAUUCCAAAUCCCUUUCUUUAUCAAAUGACCACAAACCCCAAACAAAUAGUUGUUCAUUUUUUUUAUUAACCUGAGAAAAUAAUAUAUUGUGCAGUACCUUCGUUAAUAUUUUAAUAUAAUACUAAAUUUUGAUCUGUUUUCUAGAAUUAUUUUUGGCUGAAAUAUUUUUUAUGAUGAAAAUUGGAUAUACAUUUUUUAUGUAAUCUAUAUUUAAGUUUGUAGGUAUGAUUUAUUUUAGUUAUUUCUCUUAGGUGAACUAAUCAAAUCAAAAAUUAUGAUGGUACAUUUAUUUAACCUGUUUAUUUAACAUGUUUUGAAUUGAUUUUAUUUUUAAUAUUUUUUUAAAAAAUAAGAUAAUCAACUUUUUAACCAUUUUUUAUUAAUUAAUUUUAGUGUUUCAUAAUACAAAUAUGUUAAUAUGUUUGUUCAACCCUUUAUACUUUUUUUUUGGAACAUUUCAACCCGUUAUAUUUGAUACAUAUUAAUAUUGAAAUCAUGUUCAUUAUGCCAUCAUAUGUUUGUUCGAUGCAAAAAUUUCUAUGAAAUGGCUUUGGUUACUAUUGACAUCUUCUAGACCAUACAUGCAUUUACUAUCUAUACUAAUACUUAUACAUAAAAUAUGAAUUGUUCUAGAAAAUGAUAAAUAUAUGUGAUUGACUACGGAUGUAGACCUCCUAAAAAAAUCUUGAGACUAACAAUGAGGAAAUAUUUAUAAAUAAUUAGUCUAUAAUCGAUGAGGAUAUCUCUAUGAAAAUGUUAACAAAAUCAUGGGUAGACUAAAUUGAUUAACCAUCGCUAAAAAAAUGACAAAAUUGGUUAAUUAACCAUUUAUAUAGGAUAGUUGCACACGAUUUUGUUAGUCUUAAAUUGCACUUUCACUUUACCCUUUAUGAGUAACUAAUUUUUAGGCAAAUUCAUGAUGGCACAAAAUAUAAUAUCCAAAAAAAAAGACAAAGUUGCACACGAUUUUGUUGAUCUUAAAUUGCACUCUCACUUUAUCCUUAAUGAGAAACUAAUUUUUAGGCCACAAAAUAUAAUAUCUCAAAGAAAGCCAAGAGAAAAUCUAAAAAAUGAUAAUGUUUUAAUUGUAUUGACUAGAUUAUGAACUGAGUAUAUAAAACGCGAGAAUAUUUUUUUAACAAAAUGUAUAAAAAUCAGUAUGUUUUCACAUUUUUUAUUUUAUUAUAUUUUAAUACUAUAUAAUUAUAUUAUUUUGUAUUCAUAUUAAAUAUGAAACUGUAUUAUAUAUUACUGAAUUUUGUUUUUCAAUUAUUUCAACCCCGUUUCAUUAUUAGUUUUUAAUAAAAUAUCUGUAAUUUUUUUUUAAAAUUGUGUGAUAGAUAUUUUGAUAUAUAUAAAUAAAUAUUCUAUUAAUUUAAUUUAUUUCAUAUCAAAUAAAAUUAUUUUGUAGUAUCUAAACCUAUUUAACAUAGUUGUACUUGUUUUUAAUAUUUUCAUAAAUUAUUUGAGUGUUUUAGUCAAUUAUUUGAUUUAACAAAUAAUUUAAAAAAAUAUUAAUAAAAAUUUAUUAAAAAUGUAAGACGUAACGUUUUAUAUUGUCUGGAUACAAAAUCAAUUAUUGUGUUAGAAAAAUAUUUAGUAGCAUAAUAUAAAUUAUCCUUAAUAACAAUCUAAUGUUUUUAUUAAUUAAUAGUGACAUUCAAUUUAAUAUAGUGUAUAACUAAAAGUUAAAUCCAAAUAAAUGUUUUUAUUUUAAUAAGAGAGAUUUUAGAGGGAAAAAAGGAAGAAAAUAGUAUGCUUUCUUGUGAAAGUCAAAAUAGCUAUUCCCCGAAAUUAAAAUAAACUGUGUUCAAGGAAACCAAAAUAAACAAACAUUGUGCGCGUCUGCAUCGCAUCCCUCCGAUUUAAGCUCUUAACUAGAUUUUGACCCGCGCUUAAAAGCGCGGAUUAUUUUUUGGUUGAUAAAAAUAUUUGAUAGGAAUUAGUAUUUUUUUUUUACAUUAUUAUGUUACAAAGUCAUAUUUUAUCAAAAGAUAAUUUUUUAAUUUGGUUAUUUAAUGUAAUUAUAUUUUCAAUUGCUUUUAUUAAUUAUUUUUUAAAAUUUUAUAUGGUGUGAUCAAACUCAGCAUGCCUAUUUUUUAAAUUAGAUAAGAAAAAAAUUUAUAUCAAGUUCAGACCAACGGUCAAACCGGUAAACAAUAACUUGUACAUAAGUUGGUUGGGAUUUAAGGAAAACUCGUUAAUUUAAAGCAUGCAAACUUUAAAAAACUCGCAAUCAAGUGUGAUCUGCGCUUAUAAACAAAAAUCUCGUUAAUUUAAACCGGUAAACCAAUUUUUGAAUUGUAUACAGUGAAAUUAACAAUAAACUCAAUAAUAGUUUUAUUUAAAUUCUAUCAUCAAUUUUCAUUGAACAUAAUUGGUUUUACAUGAUAUUAAUUUGUAGCUGGUAAAAAGUUGAUGAACACAAAUUUAUUGAUGAAAUACUUGUAUGCAUGUAUGGUAAUAGUGUAGUUUGAAGGCAUUUAAUUUUGACUUCUAAAUUUAAAAAAAAAAUUGUAUGGAGUAAUUGAUAUCCAAAUAUAUGUAAAGAUAAUAAAUGAUGAAAUGCAUUUAUAUAAGAACUAAUCGUUGGAGGGCUUAGCAAAUAAUAAAAUAUAUGUAAAGAUAAUAAAUGAUGAAAUGCAUAUAUAUAGGAACUAAUUGUUGGAAGGCUUAGCAAAUAAUAAGGGAACCUAAUAACAAAUUUUGUAUAUAUAUAUGUUUAAGUUUCUAAUGAAUAGGUUCAACAAACUUUUGUAAGUAGAUUUUUUAUGAUUUCUUUCCUUUUAAUAGUAUUGAUGACACACUAUAUAUUAUUAAAAUAAUUGUUAUUCAUAAACUUUUUUUUUGUCCAAAAAACAAAAUUCAUAAGUUGUAAAAUUACUAACAGUUACUUUUUGUCAGUAACAAUUUUUUUGUCAGUAACAAUAACAACUACUAUUAUACAAGAGCAUUUUGUUUAGUUUCUUCGCAUUUUGUUAUUUUUGGCGCAUACGGAAAAGAUGCGUGGUCGCUUGGCAUUGUUAACUCGAACACGUGUGCGCUUCAAAGAAAGGCUAUGUAUGAAAAUUGCUUGGAGAAUUCACGUGGUCUUGGCCCCUUUUCUUUGUCACACAUUCACCUUGAGGAACAGCCCAUAGUUUAAUAUCUAAAUGUUAUGCCUUUUUAUAAGUAAUUCUAAAUGGUAUGUUAUAUAUCAAAUAAAUUAUAUGUUAUAUAUAUCAAAAGAUAUCUGGUUAUCUUAUAGAACACUAAGUCAUCUAUAAUUUGCUAAUUGUUUUGAUUAAACUGUUGGAACAUUGUCUAUUUAGCAUUAGUUUAUACAUCACCACCAUCGGUUUAUUGUCUAGCCCCUAACAAUAAGCAUUUUCUUACUAACUUUAAAAAUAAUUAUAAUGUUACAAACUAUGAAAACAGAAGGUUGUGGCAUGUUUAAACUACAACUUUUCUUUCUGAUAAUCUAACAUUUUAAAAUAAUGAAGCCAACUACUUGACUUAAGUGAUGAGAUUAGGGCUUAUACAACAAAUAACCAGCACUCGUUAUUAACUGGCAGUAUGUAGAUGUAGUAUUAUAUACUUUAACUAUCGUCUCUAGUUUUAACAUCUAGAAGUUAAUCACGUUUCUCAAAAAAAAUCUAGAAGUAAAUUAUUUCCUUUACGUAGAUGAAUAAAUAUUAAAAAUAAUCAUUAAAAUUUGUCGAACUAUCCCAAUCGUCGAAAUUUCUUAGAUAAGCAAGGGGGUUGACUUAUGAUUAUAGUCCAAAAAUAAGUUAGUGGAAAUGACGAGUAUGUACAUGCAGAAGAUGAAGACGAACUUAUAAUUAAUGUUUUUGACGAGCAUCUUUUUGGUUAGUUGAGUCAUGUGAAGAGGAGGAAGACGAAGAUAAUAGAGGAGUUCAUUAAUUAGGGACAGGGUCACGAUAGAUAACAGUUCACUGAAUGUGCCCCAACAAAUUCUCACGCAUAUCACAGCUUCCGAAUACAAACAAGCCUCGAUCCAUUCCACAGCCUUGUCCGUCUCUUCUUCUUCACAACAUUCAUCGUUUCUGAUAAAUAUAAACACCUAUCCUAUUAUACGUAUUAGAAGUGUAUCAAUAUUAUUAAAAGGGAAGGAGUCUAAAAAAAUCUACCUAUGAAAGUUAUUUGGACUCUUUCAUUUAACUCAUUAUUUUUUGGUCUUACCUUAAAUUUAAACUAACAAUAUGUUACCAUAUAUUUCUCUAACAAUAUUUUAUUCAAUUCUUUUAUUUAUUUAAAUCUCACUCCUAAAUCCUAAUCAUUACUAUAUUUACCAUUUUGAUUUUUAAUCGUAAAAGCAUUGAAACUAAUGUUUUAUAAUAUCACUUUUAUUAUAUAAUAUAUGAUUUAAAGCAAGAUAAAUUGCAAGACAUAUAUGUGUACAUUCUAACUUUCUCUUUCGUUUAUAAUAAAGUAAUCAUAUAAUAUAUAAACUUUCUCACUAAAAUCUCAUAUCAUAUAUUAAACUUUCAACCGUCUAUAGUUUGAUAAUAUUUUCAUAUUUAAAAAUAUUUUUUUCUGAAUAUUCAUGUUACCUUCAAAAAAAUGAAGAAAUUCAUUGAUUCUAUUAAAGCUAACCCGACUUCACGAUAACAGUAUUGAUUAUUCAAAAUUUUAAAAAUUAUUGGUUUAGAUAUUAUACUUUUAUAUACUUUUCACUUAAAACGAAUCAAUACUAUUAAAAGGGAAAGAGUUUUAAAAAAUCUAAUAUAAAAGAAAUUGUUGGAGUUAUGUAUAACUAUUUAUUAUUUUUCUGAUAAUACAUUAAUCAUUCUAAACAUACAAUAUUUUAAAUAUUUUUAAUAGCUCUUAUAUUAUUUCUUAUGAUACCUUUACUCAGAAAAAUAUUUCAUCAACCAUGUUUUUGUACAAUAACGUUAAAAAUCUAUAUCAAAAGGUUGUUGGACCUGAUAUGGACGUAAUAGGUCCACAUCUGUUCGAGUAUUUAGGAUCCUAAAAGAAUUCGAAAUAUCUAAAAAAUCUGAAAAAUAUCCGAAACGCGAAAAGUAUUUGAAACUCCAAACAAAUACCAAAAAAAUUCAAAUACCUAAAAAUUUAAAAUCUUAUUCAAACGAUGAACUGAAAAAUACUCAAAAUUUUAUCCAAAUACGCAAUUUUUUUUUUAAUUUGAAAAAUUUACCUGAAAUCAAAACUCUAAUCGUAAACCAAAAACUUAAAAACAAUAUCCAUAAUACCAGAAACAUAUUCGAAAUGUCCAAAUAUACCUAAUAAACACAUAUUUAUGAUCGGGUCUAGGUAGGAUCCGGACUCAAACAAAGACCUGCGGAUUCAAAAAACCCAAUAGGUUAUCUUCUCUGGACCUGAACCAAACCUAUAAUUUUGGGUCGGUUCGGUUUGUUUUUUUAUCUGGAUAUAAUUCUCAUAUCGAAAAAAACUUACAUAAAAGUGUACAUAUAAAAUCUCAAAUAAACUAAUUUGUAAAUUAUAUAGCUGUUAAAAAUUAUGUUUUUCGAUAUAAUAAGACUUUGUAUAUUAUAAUAUAAUCCAACAACUCCGCGCUUUUCAAGCGCGGGUCAAAAUCUAGUAUAUACUUAUAAGUUACAUUCAUUUGUUUUAUUGUUUAUGUGUGCCAGAACCGGUUCUAGAAAAUAUUAGACCUGCAAUUCAAACUUUGGUUGGAAGCAAAAAAAAGUUAAAACCCUUAAAAUUUUACCACUAGACCAAAAGAAAGUUUUGGAAUUUUAUGGCCGAAAUUGUUCUUAUAAUUAAGUGGCUAAAAGCAGUGGCUUAUUCGGCUUGGUCCAAGGACCGGCUCUAUGUGUGCCUAUAAAUACAUUUUGCAGUAUCUUUAUGUUCUUAGUAAGUUUUUAUCAAGCAACUUGUUUUCAGUAUGUAUUGAUAAUAGACUGACUGUUUUAUGUUGAAACAUAAACAACAUGUUUGUUUGAUACUUAAAAUUCUACUUUUCAUCAAAAAAUAAUAAUUGUUAAUGCAGACGACAUAUUAUGCAGUAUAUAAUAAUAUUUUAAGCACAGAACAUAAUUCUUUUUUUUUUAACACAGCACAGAACAUAAUUCUAAACAUAUAUAAUAUCACAUUAUUACUUACGUUUUAAUUAAUGUGGCAAUCUUCUACAAUAUAUAUAUAUAUAUAUGGCAGCCUAUCAGGCACCAGCAAAUGUAUUUUUAUCACAGGCGUAUACUUUUUGCUUUAUUAUAAAUGAUGUUUAAAGUUUUUUUUAAUACGCAUGUCAAAAAUUUGUUACUUGUACUAUAAUACCCGGUCUUAUUUAAAUUCAAAAUUCAAUUAAAUAUGAAAUGAUAAAAUAAAAAUAAUCACAAAAUAAUUUUGUAUUAAAAUUAUAAAUAUAUUUAAAUAACACAAUAAAUUUUGUCUAAAAUAUCCAAAAUAUGAUAAAGAGGAAAUAAUACUAAACAAAUUGACAAGCAACUGAGCUAACAAUAUCCAAACAGAUAAACUAGCUUGUGUUUUCUCUUUCACAAUUAGAAAUACUUUUCUUUGAUCUAACUAAUUAUAUAUAGAAGAAUUUUUGAACUUAUAAAUUUCAGAAAUUCCAAAACUUUACUCAUAAACUCUUGCGGUAUCUAUAUAUAGUCAACCAUUGAUAGUGUUACAAAAAAAAGUGUUACAAAAAAAAAAGUCAACCACUGAUAAUAUCAUAUUCAAAAUGUAAAUCAUUUUUUCUUAAAUUGAAUUGAAAUAGUGAUCGUCACCAUCUUGAAAACUUUCAAGUAUCACAAGAUCACCAUCCAUAUUUUGGUUAGAGAAUUUUGAAAUACAUUAUAUACAUAUAUAUAUGUAAAAAUACUCACACCUGUACCAUAGAAAUGUGAAUGUAUAUAUAUGGGUUUAUUAUAGAUUGAAAGUGAGUGAACUGAAAGGACGGGAGAGGCCUUAGACAGCUUGUUUGUUUUCGUGAACAUGGAGCUUCGCUUUGCCAUGUGCUCUCUCUUCUUAUAUUCUUUUAUUUAUUCUUAUGUUUUAUACACAACUAGACAUUGAUUCGCGGGUAUUUAUUUUAUGUUUUUAGUUUUUUUUUGUUUAUAUUAAAUGAUGCAUUUGUAAUAUUAAAACAUAAAUUUAUAUUGAAAAUUAAUUUUUGCAGUUAUAAUAAAAAUUAAAAUUAAAAGUUUAAUAAAAUAUUCUGAUAUAAAUUUUAAAUUUCCUAAUUAAAAUAAUAUAGAGGUGGUCAAAUUUUUUUCCAAUUUAAAAAUCUAAGUUUCCUUAAAGACAAAGAAAAUAAAUUUAUAAAUAUAUAAAAUAUAUAAACAUAUUUGGAACUAUAAUUUCUAUUAAAAUAAAUUUGUUAAAGAAAAAUAAUCUUGCUAUUGUUAUUUUUUCUAGAACUUGAUCUGUGACCGUAUAAAUAUAUAUAUAUAUAUAUAUAUAUGUAAAUUAAAAUGUAUUACACAAUUGUUAAUAUAACAUUUUUAAACAUGACAACUUUAUUUAUUACUUUGAAUAAUUAUAUUUUGUGAUUUUAAUCGUCUAUUAUAUCACAAUGUAUAAUAUAAACAAAUCUAAUAUUUAUAACUAAUUGGACUUAUAUUAUGAAAUCAUUAUACUAAUAUAUGAAUAAAAUAUUUUAUAUUUUAUUUAUAUGUUAUAUAAAUUGAUUAUGAUGUGUGAUUUUUUAUUUUUUUAUUUAUUACUUGUAAAUAUUAAAAAUAUUGAAUAUGUUAAUAUGAAAUAUAUUAGGAAAUUUAGUUUGGCUAUGAUUUGAUAAAGAAAAUCUAUUAUUUAAAUUUUAAAAAGACAUUAAAUGCUUAAAUCUAUUAUUUAAAUUAGGAAAAGACAAGCAUUCUUAAAUAUAGGUUCAAUAAAUAUCUCAAUGAUAUUUUAAUGUAAAUAAAUGGUAAAAUUAAAAGGUAUUUCUAUUUUAUAUUUCUCUUUUAAUAAUAUAGAUAAGAAUGACACUGAAGAUGGAGCAUGAAGUGUACAUGCAAACAUAGAAAUUAAUAGAAAAUGAGAAAGCUACAUUCUAGGCAUAUAUGCGUGAUUGUCCACGGAUUUGUUUCGUAUAUAAAAUACCACCCAUAUGCUUAGCAGUCAAGUAGCUAGAUUUGCUUCUAUAAGUGUGUUUCUAAAUUAACCCUUAACUUUCAUAUUUGCUAAACUACAUCCCUAAUAGUGCCCUAGUUAAUAGCAAACCAAAGUUCCAAUUUGUUGGGUGAUUAGUUUAUAAUAAUUGCAGCUUACAGUCCAUCUGAAUUAUGAAAACAUGACUUUAAAAGCGUACAAUUAAAAGAUAAACGUCCAUAUCAAAUGUACGUGAGACAAAUGUGAACAUAUACAAUAAGGCAAUUAUUUCUAUAGCCUAUGUUCCAAUCAUUUAAAAAAGGUUGGGAUUACUAUUGACAAAAGAUACCUUGAUUUAAGGGUCGAAUAGUAACUAAAACCAAAACUGAGGCUAAUUAUCGAAUUUAGGGUAAGAUCGACGCAAUUUAGUUAUUUGCGUAUACACAAGAAUAGACAACUACGUACCCUGUGUGACCAGAUAAUAGUAAUUUCCUCUGAAGACACUAGUUCAACAUUAGUUUGUAAAUAUAAAAAUAUGUCAGACAAAAUAAAUAAACAUAUACAUAAAGAGUAUAAAUAAAGCAAGAGGGAGUCGACAAUGUUGAUGAUCCGUUUUCGUCGAGACAGAAAAUUUGUGGGAUCAAAGCUUUCCUGUAUGGAAAGGGAUUAAUCAAACGUAUACUCUCUCUCCUUUCUUGUUGUUUGUCAUUUACGUAUAACUAAUUAUUAGACUUUAGAUAAUUACAUUUUCAUUUGUUGAUAUAAGUCUGAAUUUGGGUCUUUUUUUCUUCUUCAAAACAACUUAAAUCCUCCUUUUUAUUGAAAGAGAUAUUAAUUUAACAUCAUGUUAUGUAACCACUAUUAUUACAGAAUUUCGUGAUAAACAAAUCUCCAAUUGUAAACCAUAUAACCAACGUACACAACUGAAGUUUACUAAUUCCGCAAUCGUACGUAUGAUACUAUUUAAAUAUAUGGAUAUGCGUGUAUGAAUCAUACAUAAAAGAAAAAUCAAUAUAUAAAACACUUUAUAUGUUGGAUUCUAUAGUGGUAUAGUGGUUCAAAUCAAAAGUGUUAAGAUUUUUAAGGAUCCCUACAAUUUCAGCAAUAAUUAACACCAAAUGUAAUAAGAAACGAUCACAUGUAUGAUGUAUAUAAUGAAUGAAAAAAAACAAAUUAAGAAUGGCGAAAGAUUUCACGUUUUAAUGGGGGAAUAGAUAGUGUAAACCUAUAGAUCUUCCAUCUUCGUUUAGACAUCUUAACGUUGCAUCGUAUUUAUAUAUAUCGACAUAGAACCUCUAGAAAUUAGAAACCGCACAUACUGCAAUAAUAUAAAUCAUCAAAACUAAUCUCUUAUAGAAUUCAACUAUGGCUUCCUCCUAACUUUCUACAAACUAUCGAGUAUCCAUUUAAAAAACAAAGACUUAUGCGUUCUAUUAUAUGAUUUUUGAGUAAAACUCGAUUAACAUUCGCAUCUUUAUUUUUGCAUAGGCACUCGGCAAAAUAAAAAUUACAUCGAUUUAUGUCAAGUCUUGUACCAAUAUAAAUAGCUCAUCUACUCAUCAUAGCUAGACAGAGGUAGAGCCUAGAGCUAACGAAAAUGUUUUUUAUUAGAGCAAAUUAGCUCAAUACACUAAAAAGAGUGAGAUACCAUUGAAUUAAGGGAAAAUAGUAGUGAUGGGGGGAAAAAUUGAAGAAAAAUAGUGUAUGGAGUGCAAAUAGAGAGGAAGUUGUGUGUAGGGAGUACAAAUACUCUUUUUAUUAUUCGUCACGAGAAAUAAUUAUAAAAUGUGUUAAUCAAACCAAACAAAGCCACACAUUAUAUAAAGCCCAAAUUAAGACGAGUCUUUAAUUUAAUCAAUAGAUUUCUCUCUCACUGAAACAUCUCUCUGGAUUUUAUUUAUAAAUACGCUUACGCUUCAUCUUCUUUAAUCCACAAAACUCUUUAUCUCUCACACACAUACACACUGUAUUCUCUUCCCCUUAUUACAGAAAAAUGGAACUGUCGACUCAGAUAAAUGUGUUCGAAGAGCUUCUUGUUCCGACAAAGCAAGAAACCACCGACAACUACAACUACAAUACCAGCAUCAACAACCUGAGCUUUAAUGGCGGAUUUGAUCAUCAUCAGUUAUUCUCAAAUGGAUGGAACAUUGAUUACCUCUGUUUCGACAAUGAAGAAGAAGACGAAAAUACUCUUCUGUACUCAUCUUCUUUCAUGGACCUAAUCUCUCAACCUCCACCGUUGCUUCUUCACCAAACACCACCUUUACCACCACCCUCAUCUUCAUCUCCGCCGUUAAUCUCCUCCACGGCCUCAACAUUCGAUGACCCUUUUCUUGAGGCCCUACAAGAGAUUAUAGACUCUUCUUCCUCUUCACCACCAGUGAUGCUUCCAACUUCCCAAGAAGAGAGCUUCAUUAAUCACUCGUCGUAUCCAUCUCCACUGGUGGAGUCUGAUCAGAGCAAAAGCUUCAGUGUUGGAUACUGUGGAGGAGUAGUAGAGACAACAAACAAGAAGAAGAGCAAAAAACUUGAAGGCCAACCUUCAAAGAAUCUCAUGGCGGAGAGGCGUCGAAGAAAACGGCUUAACGAUCGUCUCUCUAUGCUCAGAUCCAUUGUUCCAAAUAUCAGUAAGGUAAAAUAAUAAUUCUAACGUUUUAUGAUUUAACCUUUUUGAAUAAUUAUAAUCAUAAUGGUCAAAAUCAAGAAAAGAUUCUUCCCCUAUUUUUUUUAAUUAAUGGGAGUAAUGUAUUUUUUUCUAUUAUUAUAGGGGCCAAUAAACUGAUAAAGAGAUCAGUCUUUUUAAUCAUUAUGUUCGAACUUAGUUAAAUCUCAAAAUUUAAACCCUAGCUAACUGUAGUAUUUGUUUUAUUUGAAGAUUUAACGUUUGGUUCAAAAGAUUCGUCCUUUAUACAUCUUAUAUAUUAAAACAGAAGUCACAACCGUGAUUCAUGUGUAAUUUAAAAAAAAAAAAAUUUAAUGGACAUAUUCCUAAAAAGUCAUAUUAUAUUUAAUCUCUAAUUUUAUCAUUUAAAUUUUGAGUCUACCAGAAAUUUUUAUUGGGCUAUCAAUAAUUGAAUUUAAACAAUAGAUCCAUUGGAUUUAUAGAUAAUAUAAAUUAAAUAGAUAUAAUUUAAUGUUGUAAUAUUAUAUCUUCAUAUAUUAAUUAUUUAAAUAUUUAUCGAUGUUAAAUUUUAAAAUUAUGAAGAUUUUUUUUUAAUAACAAAAAUCAUAUUAUCUAACAAUGAUUAAUCUUUACUACCUUAAACCAAUGAAAACAAAUUUUAAACUAUAUAGUUUAUUUUAAAAAUUAAACAAAAACUAAAUGUUUAAUUAUUUACUCAAUAAUAUAAAUCUGUCAAGUAAAGUUUAAUUUUUAAAAAACUUUUUAAAUUUGUUAAAUGUUACAAUAUUUUUGAAUAUGACAAUAAAAUAAUAUUUUACUAAUCUUUAUAUAGUUACGAUUUUAAUAAUGAAAUAAUAAUCCAAAAAAAUAUAUAUAUAGAAGAAGGUAACAAUACAUGUGAAGGUUUGAAACAAUUUAUUCAAUGAAAAAAAAACCGUAAAUUUAUUAUGUUUUAAAAAUUGAUAGACACAUAUAUAUUAUAAUAUAUACCAACUUAGAAUUGAAAGCAAAAUGUUUAUAUACAAAUAAAUGAAAACAAAAACACGUGUGGUUGCGUGGAUCGAGAUCUAGUUAAUAUAUUAAAAGUGUUUUCAUGAAAAUAGCGUUUUCUAUGUUUUCAACAUUAUAUGUUUGUUUUUCUUGUUUGAACCUUUUUUAAGACUUGUUUAAUUAUCGUGUUCUUACUUUUAUGGGAAUCUACAGAACCUGUUGAAAAGUAGAUAUAUAAAUGUUUAAUAAUUUAAAAGUUUUUAAGAUAAUGAUUAUUGUUUUCUUCAAAAUUAGAUGGACAGGACAUCGAUACUAGGGGAUGCCAUAGAUUACAUGAAGGAGCUUUUAGACAAAAUCAACAAGUUACAAGACGAGGAACAAGAACUCGUAGUUAGCAACAGUUCACAUCAUUCUAAGCUCUUCGGUGAUAUCAAGGAUCUUAAUACAAACGAACCUCUGGUCAGAAACUCACCAAAGGUAUAGCAAGAAUGAAUUUUUUUUUCUUUUCAUGUCAGUAAUCUUGAUUUUUGUAGUUUUACUUGUGAACUGUUACUAGAAAUACCCUCGAAGUUUCACAAAAUCACCAGUGGAUGAAGACUGAUUUUGUUAAUUUCGUUAUGUUUUGGAUAGUUUGAAGUGGACCGGAGAGACCAAGAUACUCGGGUUGAGAUACUUUGCUCACCCAAACCGGGAUUGCUUCUAUCAACUGUUAAUACACUAGAGACUCUAGGCUUGGAGAUUGAACAAUGUGUUAUUAGCUGCUUUAGUGAUUUCUCUUUGCAUGCUUCUUGUUCCGAGGUAGUAAGAAUAUAUCAAGAUAAUAUAUGAAUACGAUAUCCAAAUAAUAUAUCUGCAAGGGUAAGAUUGAUGAGUUUGUUUGUGUUGUGUGUCUGUCUUUAUAGGUAGCUCAGCAGAGAGAUUUCAUCAACUCCGAAGAUAUUAAGCAAGCAUUGUUUAGAAACGCAGGUUAUGGAGGAAAAUGCUUGUAAGGAGUUAUUAUGACGAAAUUAAUGAACCAACAUACUAUUUAUUUAAUGCUUUCAAAAAAUUAGAAGUUUGGUGUCUAUUUCCAUUGCGAGCUUGAAUUUUCUAGGGGGAAAACAUUAUGAGUUGUUAAAAGAAGGAAAGAAAAAGAUAUUUUCUUGGAGAUUAGAUUUGUAGAUGGAGGUUAUAAUCUUAAUUAAAAGUUCAAGAUCGAAAAGUGUAAUGAUGUAUCAAUGAAUAAAAUAUUGAUUAAUAAAAGGUAAAAGUUUAUACUGAAUUCAAUAAUUGAAAUUAGGGUUUGUAGAUGACAGUGCAGAUGUCUCCGAUCAGAAAGAUACGUAUAAUAAACAGCGUAUUAAUCACAAAGUUUUAAUGGCUAAUGAUGGGAGUGAUUAUAAUGUUAAUCCCUGUGCCGUCAGGCCCACCAUCACACGCAUUCAUCAUUACAUGGUACUGUAUCAGUGUAUCAACAUUUAAUCUUACCGAUUUUUCAUAAUUAGGAAAGAAAAAGUUAAUUCACAGAAGCCUAAGGCGUAAGCAAAUAAACUGGACAGGCCCAUAGUUAUAAUGCUGUAUCAUUUGGGCCUUGGAAGGAAUAGAUAUUGUUUUUGACUGUCGAGAUCUUGCAUGGUUUUUGGAAGUAGAGAAUAGUUUCUCUCGAUUUAUUUAAUGAAACAAACGGAAACUAUAAUAAUUGGACUAAGAAUCAUCGCAUAUUUGGAAUGAAGUUAAACUCCCAAGAAAAGGAAAAUACUCACACACAAAACAUUAGUUUUUAGUUGAGAAAUGACUCCACUUGGGCACUAUGAAACAACUUGUCACAAUAACGCUCACUACCACAAUGAAAAGAAGGCUACCCACAAUCCGGAAACAAAAGACCAUAAAAUAUGUUCAUCUCGUUUUCUUAGUUAGAUAAUUAUACUUGAUCAGGCAAUGAUUAGAAAACUGAGAAAACACAAAUCAAAAUCUCCUGUAAAAAUACAAUAAGACUGGUUUAAAGUAGCAAAUAUCAUCAAUGCUAUAUUAGUAAAGUCUAAUUACGAAUCUUAGUUAUGCAACUUGCACAAGUAUAGAUAUUAAGCGUGAACUGUAUAACAUUUGUCCACAUCCCUGUUUCAACAUCAUCAACAUCUUGGUACUAAUGAUGAAACUUUUUUGAAUUGUGGUUUAUCCCCACAAGUUGUGUAGCAGCCCUUUUACAAUCAUGCUUGACAGAUAGUAUUACAGAAACAAUAAAGUCAAAAGAGAAAUAAUAGAACAUAUAUGAAUUGAUGGUUACUUUAGAUUUUUAACUAUGAUAAAAAUCUAAUAAAUUAGAAAGCAUCAUAUAAUACUUUCAAAUUAAUUUUGCUUGUAGAUAACAAUAUUGUCGAAAAUACAAGAAACUAUCAAUAACACGUGAAUAAUCUAAUUUAAUGAUCUUUACAUGGAAAUGAAAGAAUCUGGAGUUGGUUACUUUAGAUUUUUAACUAUGAUAAAAAUCUAAUAAAUUAGAAAGCAUCAUAUAAUACUUUCAAAUUAAUUUUGCUUGUAGAUAACAAUAUUGUCGAAAAUACAAGAAACUAUCAAUAACACGUGAAUAAUCUAAUUUAUGAUGGAUAAUAACCUCCAAGAGGUUAUAGUCCACAAACUACAUUAACUGGCAUUAUUUAACAUCUGAAUGCUUUAUAAUUAUUUGGCCAAUCCCAUGUUUCUAAGCAAAUUGUGUGUGUAACACCAAAAGAAAACAGGGGUUGGUAUUAAUCCAUGUUUAGUUUUAAGAUCGUAUUUAGAGAAAAUACACAAUCUUUUUGUUUUAUGUUCGAAAGUGAAAUGAACGAUGUAUUUAAUAUCAUUGUAGCUUCCUGCUAAUAUAUAACAAAGAGAGAGAAAAAAGAGAAUAAGAAGAAUGAAGAAAAAUGAAAAAGGUGGCGUCAGAAAUAAGGGAGCGAUAAGAAAUGUUUCCCCAUGUGAUUUGAUAUUCUUCAAUCUCCGGCCCGCGCUUGUCUUGCUUAUCAUCCGUACGUUUUACAUUAUACUCCGCUUUUUUUUUUUUGAAGAUAAUUAUACUCCGCUUUUCAUCCAUUUAAAUUCAUUUUCUUCUAGUUUAAUUUAAAUUAUUUCAAUGACUUAAAAAUUUUCAUUUGACUAUUUAUUGUUGAGUUAUUUGGAAGGUUUUGUAUUUUCGAAUAGUGAUAACUAAUUCUUUUUUCGUGAAAAAAUGAAAACGUUCAUGAAAAUGCAUGUUUUCUUAUUUAUUAAUCAUAUUAUUCAAUAUUCUCUGCAAUUAUAGCUCUAAAAACAAAUAAAGAAAUGAAAUGGCAUGAUCCCUAGGUUUCAGCGGUGAUUGCGGUGCCCUCACAUGCUUUCAUAUGACUACACAGUAUAAUAAAUUUGUUUUUCAUGAUAAUAUAGUAUUUUCAACAGGAAUAUAUAGAAUAAAAUCUACUCUCUCUUUUUUUUUUACAACUCUAGUCAAUUAAUUAUACGAGUUUUCCUCCAUCUGUUACACAAACAAAAUAAUUCGUAAGGCACGAAAUAAAGAAACAUCGUUUUAAAAAGGUAGCUUAAAUGAUCCAUAUUCCUUUUUCUUAACUAAUUGAGCAAUAUUCUUUUUGUUUUAUAAUAGGUUUAAUUCAUAAAACAUCACAUAUAACCAUUUGUAUAGAAUAAAACUUGAGAUCAGAUAUACUGAAACAAGAUGCUUUCAUGGGAUUGUAAGCAAAAUAUUUAAUUUUGUUUUAGUUUAAUUUAGCUAAUUAAUUAAUUUUAAAUAUAAAUUUGAAUACUCAUAAAAUAAUAUGGGAUAUGAAAGUUUCUUUAUAAAAAAAAAUAUCUUAGCUGAAAAAUUCUAUUUACUCUAUUCUUCAAUUUUUUUAAUUUAUUUUUGGUGACUUCAUAAUCACUUUGAUUUCUUAGCGCGUAAUGUAUAUAACAAAUAUUUAAUACCAAAGCUUUGUUAAUUGAUAUUUAUAAAUUUAUUUGCCAAAUAACAAAAAAAAAGAUUAAUUUUUUAAUAAAAGAUUAGAGAGAGAUAAGAAAAUAAAUAAAAAGAGAGAUGAUGUUUUUGGUUAGAUAUCGAAUUUAUGUUUUUUUUCAUGGUUAUAAGAUGCAAAUUCUUUAUUAAUGGGCUUAUUGAAUACCAACACAAUAAAAUACCCGUAAACAACAACAAUUUACAAAAAUAAAAUAAAACGGUUGUUGAAGAACCGCGAAGCAUAGAUAACGUCAUCAAAGGAACCAAUCCCAGUUUUGUACUUUGCAGUAUGACUUACUUGACACAAGCACUGAUUACUUUGCAUUUUUCGUUUUUUCUAAAAAUAUACUAUAUGGAACUCUCCAAGCAUUUUUUUUCUUUUUAUCACGAUGACUCUCUGCAAGCAUUUAAUAACUCAUUCGAGAGUGAAUUUAGUUAGUUCUAACAUUUUCUGGUACUAUUAUUUAUGUCGUUUGAUGGGUCAGAAAUUUGAAACUUGAUAUGAUAAAAAAAGAGCUUUGAUUCGAACUUUCGACCUGACCUAAUUUAUUUAACAUUUGGUGUUCUCUUUUUUGUUGUUGUAUAAUUGAUAAUUAGUGGACUUGAGCAAAAGGUAAAUCUCUAUCGAUCAGAUUCGGAAGUAUUUGGGUUAGAAUAUUAGGAUAAACCAAUGCAUUAUAAAACUGAUAUUCAAUUUAAAAUGACAAAUCAGCAAAGUAUAAGAAUAAUAUGUAUAUGUAUAACAGUGAAUUUAGGUCAUGAAGUGGAUUGUUAAAUUGGAGGGGUCAGUGGUGGGGAUGUGUUUUGAGCACUUGGUUAAGAAACUUGCUAGUGACGUCAAUUUUGGAUUCAUAACUUUAGUGCCAAAUUUAUGAAGUUUUUAUAUUUUGAGUGACUCGAACUUUUUUUCUUUCUUUUUUUGUGUAAAAGUGACUCGAACUUUAUUAAAACAAAAUGGUUAUGACCGAAAUAAGGGUCGUAAUUAACGGAGAGCUAUAUUGUUAUCUUCGUCCGUCCAUACUGUAAAUGUAAUAAUUAAUUAGCUCUUAUAGAAUGUUUACUAUGUUCAAUGAUUAAUCAUGAGGUUUCUUGUUAUGACGCACAAGCUUUGCAAUUUAAUUGAUAUGCCUGUUUUCCAUUUAAAGUAUCAAACGUGGUUACAGAAAACACCUUUUUAAAAUUGGACUACUAAUAAAGAACGGAAAUGUGAAUAUAAAUACAAUCUGCGCUAUUUCUGGUACAAUUCAAACAAAUCUCGAGAUAUCCUAAAUUAGUAGUAAUCUAUAGUAUUAUUUUGGUAAAAACAACAGUAUUACAAUAAAAAUAUAAUAGUUUUUUUCGGUUAACGUCUAUUUCAUACAGUAAGUAUUUGUAAUUUUGUAUAGCCAAAGGAAAUAUAAUUGAAUCAGGACAUCGACAUCGAAAAUAUCGUCCGACGAAACGUGCCAUGUGUUUUGUUGUUGCAUACAGCAUUCAUAGAUAAAUAAUAGCUCAAAUCGAUGAAUAAUAUUCACCAUUAAAAACAAAAUAACCAUGUAGUUUUACCUCAGUUUUAAGUGUGCGAGUUUAUAAUUUUUUUUAACCAAUCAAACAAUCAUGUUUUAAAAGAAUAACAUCUAACUACAUCAUUAGUUGAUUAAUAUAAGUGUCAUUCUCUAUAAAAAUUUCACACAAUCAAACCACUUCAUAAUGUUGCCAACUGAAUACAUAAAUAAUAAAUCAGAGAACAAAAUUAAAUUUAUAAUAGUUUCAAAAAAAAUUUAUGAUUUACAUGUACAUCAAAACGAGAUAUUUCGACAUUUUUCCUCCUUUGUGUUAUCUUUUAGCUAAAUUAAAUCUAACAAAGAGGAAUGGGAAAACGCGGCGGCUUAACAGGUGGUGAGAACGGUGGACUUUGGACAUCAACGGUGAGGUUCUCUGGCCGAGGUGGUGCACACGGACACGGCAAUGCUAUAAAUUUAGGCGUAUUAUCUCCAGGCAUCACCACCGUUAUGCUUAGAUCCUGGGGUUUCUUCACAUCCUGUUCACAAUAGUUAUUUUUAGUUCAUAAUCAACUCACUAGAUUUAUAUUUAUAUUUUAUUUUUUACUUUCUACUUACUAACUAAAUUUUCAAAAUUCAACUUCUGGUCCUUAAUAAAUUACAAUUUCAUCAAGAUAGUAAUGUAUUCCAUAUGCUUUCACUUACUUUUCGAUUUCUAAAAUAUUUAUAAGAAACCCUAUUUUGUAUUUACUCGAAAAAAACGUGAACUUUUUUUAUUAAAUUUAAUAGUAACUAAAAUCCUUCAAACAUACGAGUUUUAAAUCCUCGAUGAGAAAUGGAAAUAAAAUGUUGUGGCAAAUAUGUUUUCCCUUUUUUUUUUGUUGGUAAAAUCGAAAUUUAUAAUAAUUUCAGAAAAUGGGAGAGGAGACUAUACCGGAAAAAAGGGUCUAGGUUUGAACGGAGAGGACUCUAUGUCGGCGGAGGGAUGACCAGAGGCAUUGGCCAAAGAACGGCGGAGCGAGCGAUGUUUGUCCCAAUGGUAACAGCAAGAGAAUAUCCCGGAAAGGCUGAAAAUGAUUAUGAGAAGCAGAGCUGUGCCGAGAGGGAAUCCUAGUGACGGCCGAGAAGCGUCCAUGUGAGGCGGCGAGGAUCCUUGAGUGUUCUCCAUCUAAGCUGGCGAUAUAACCGAAGACUGAGAUUGUGAGAUGAGUUUGUUCUCUCAUGCGUUAGAGAGAUAAACAGAGAGAAGAGAGAGGGAACUUGUGUGAGUUUGGAGAAGACAGGGGACGGGGAAGGAGAGGAGAUAUUGAGCGCUUAUUUAUAAAAGAAAAUUUUCACUUUUAAUUUAAUUUAUCUUACUACUAUUAUAAAUUUAUGGCCUCAGUAGAAAAAAAAAAGCAAAAAUGCUGUACAAUAAAGUUGUCACUUAUCUUUUUCCAUUGAAAAUUUUAUUCCCGUUAGCUAUUAUAUUAUUAAAGGAUGAAUUUCUUAAAAAAAUGCAUAAGGAUUUUAUAUGUUUCUUGACUUUGCUGAACCAUUUCUAUUUUAUAAUUUGUGAUGUUGCGGUAGAUAUUAUAAAUGAACUUAUACUGAAAAAAUAAGUUUCACUGUCUGAGCUAGAAUUAUUUUUUAAGUGAAAUAUCAUUAUUCUAAUAUGUUAAGUUAGCAAAAAAUUUAUUCGUUAGAAAUGUUGAUAGGCAUAAUAUUUGAGAUAUUUACACAAAACAAAAUUUUGGAAGUAAACUUUUGGUAUCAUUAUUCAUGUUUACUUUUCCGAUUUAUAAACAAUUAUUUAAAUAAAUAAUUAAAAGAAUUUCAUUUUUCGAGUUAUACAUUUUUUAAAUUUGAAAUUUUUCAUACAAAAUUAUUUUUAUUCGAAUUUUCUUAAGAAACUAUUUUUAAAAUUUCAUUUAUUUAUUAAAACCCUAAACUUCAGCCUCUAAAAUCACAGCUCUCAAGUUUAAACAAAAGUCUAGAUUAUUUAACAUUAGAGUUAUAAAUGUUUAUUUAUCUGUUUAAAACUAAAGAUAAAUGUAGUUAAAGCAAACAUGAAAAGUGAUACUAAGAAUAUGCUAAUUUAAGCAAUUUCUAAAUUUUUAAGUAUAAAAAAACAAACCAACAUGAGAUUAAUAAUAUUAUAAAUAAUAUAAUAAGAUGAAAGAAUUUAGUUAACAAUCAUUUUUUAACUGGCUUUCUAUAUUUUUUUGUGUUUUUAUCAAUACACCCUUAUGUUUUCUUAAAAGGAUAUAACAACAUAUAUUGUGACCUGAAACAACAUAUAAGAGUAUCUCCAACUAUUUAUAUAUCAUAAAGUAGAUUUAUUGAAAUAUAUGAUUCUAUAAUAAUUUGUUUUUAUUUAUAUGAGUAAAUGUAGAAAAUGUUAUUUUACCUCUAUAUAUAAUAAUUGAAAUAGCUUUUUCUUUAUUUUCUUUAUAAAUAAUGAGACUCUAUUUUAAAUAUAUACAUUUCUAUAGAUGGAUUGAAGAGAAUUUACCUAAUAAUGAAAUUAUGUUUUUGGAUAGUCUUUGAAUGUACAUGGAAAGAGGAGAGAGGGAGGCUGCCUGUACGGAGAAGACGUGGACUUAAAGCUCCACCAUGUUAACGUUUUUUGCCUUUGUUACCUGACCUAAUCUUCGUUAAUUACCCUAAUCAUACUAUUAUCUGCGCUAGCUACUCCUACAAAAUAUAAUAGCUUAAAUUUCCGUUGUAUCUGUUUUAUAAGUAAUUAUUUACACUUCCAGAAAAUUCAAUUUCAUGUUCUCUUGUGUAUGAAACCCACACUGAAAAAAUUCUUCACAUCUAUGCAAUGCGCUCUCACGUGUUUUUGCGGUUUAGAUACACAUCAAGUCGGACUAGAAAGAGUUCAUAACAUAAUUCUAUUAUUCUUUUUAAAGUUAAAGACGAAGAAAAAUCGCUAUAGUUUUUGUUUUUUGUUUUAUGCAAGCAAUAACGAAUAGCGUUAGCUCGUUGAUGAGUUUAUACAUUUUAUAAUACUCUUUGGCGUUUUUAAAUACGAUGAAAAGCAUAUGCUGGGUACGGGUACUAUUAUGCUACCAAACCAAAACAAUUAUCACAUGGUUUGUCUCUAUUGAGAUCGAUUAUUUUCAACGAUUACAAUAAUUCUGAUAGAGAUUCGUACAUCACUUAAUAUAAUAUGUAUCCUGACGUGAUAAAUAUAUAAUUAUUUUAUUCACAAUGUUAUGGCCGAGAUUUUAAAAGCCUUUAACAUUUUUAGACUAGGUUUAACAUAGAGAAAUUUCAAUAAUUAAACGUCAUAUUACUUAUGAUAUUUAAAAAAAAUUGGAGGGCGUUGACAAAAAAAAAAUUGGAGGGCAAGACAAAUAUUUCAUCGGAUGUGUUCAGAUCUGCUCUUGAUAAUGUAAAUGCCAUAAGCAAAUCCUAACGACAAUUUGGCCUAGACAUGUUAGUGUGAUAUAGGCAUAUAGCUAAACUUCUACUCUAUAUGAAAACAAAUUAAUACCAUUUUAUGGUCCUGUGCAUUAAUUUGUGUGGGCGCGUGCUAACAGGCACACCCAAGUUGAAACGAUUGGAAGAGAAGUUGAGUACGAGUUCCUUGAUCAUACGAACGUCCUUUCGUUUUUGUAUUCGUUGUUUGUAAAAGAAAAAUAUACAAAUCAAAAUGAAAAAGGUGCUCUUUUUUUUUUAAGAAAACAAACAAUAAGUUGUGGUAAUUCUGUUUAUAGUAUAAAUUGCUGAACUUCAAAACCGAUAGUGUGGAAUUGUCGAAUUAUGUUUGGUUCCUACACCGCCCAAGACAAACCAGUCCCCACUUGGUAUAUUGAACCAACUGAAAAAGAAAUUCCGGAUGACUAUGAAAUAACUUAACUUACGUCAAAUGUUUGGGACUUUUGCCGGCACUGAGUCUCACCCUCUUCUUCCUUUUACUUUGUCAGUUUGAUUAUUUUUAUUAUUAUUAUUAGAAUAUAGAUUUGACAUUUUUAUAAGAAAUGAAUAAAAAUGUUGUCUAAUGAAGAAAACCCUUGCUACUCAAAACUACCACUGAAAUUACGAGAAUGGACCUGACCGUUUUUGUGGUUGGUCCUUUGGCCUUUUGAGUUCCUAAGGGUCAAAUAUCAGUCCAUGGAUUUUAAACGACUCAACAACUGAAAGUACAGAAAUCCAUGACAAGAUAUGAUCAUGGGAAUUGCUUGUUUGUAGUAUUUUAUUAUGUUUAUGAUAACAGUUGACGUGUAUGUCAUAGCAAUAUAUAAACGUAACAUGUAUGAUCGUUGAAUAUGCCUAGAAAUGAUAAAGAAAUGCAAUAUAACAGUAAUUAAAAUAUUUGACCACAUGGGACAGUGUCAGUAACCCAUAAAUACUAUUAAAGUCAAAUUUAAAUUGUAAAUUUUACGGCUGCUAUACAAAUCUAAUGAAAAAACAAAAGAGUAGCUGCCGUGUGGAACUUCUAUUUGACAAUACUCUUUACUUUUCUGACUUUUUUUUUAAUAGCUGUAUUUUUGUUUUUUUUGUGCAAAUCUGUAUUUUUGUUUUUGCAGUUUUAGUUGCAAAUAAUGCCAAAUUCAGCGAGUCUAAAUUUUACGAUUAAUAUUUUUUGCCUUUCAAGGUCUCACAAGUUUUGUAAUACAAAAAUAAAAGAUCUCCCAGUUUUUAUUUUUAUUUUUUAUUUACGUUUCCUUCAGGCUUAAAUAUUUCACAUUGACAUGAGAACUACACAAUUUCAUGCUGCCACCAAUCCUUUUCUUAUAAUGGUUAACAACAUUUAUUAAGUAAACUACCAUUGUUUCUUUGCAUUUUCACGCUGUUUGUCCUAAUCAUUAUCAUAUCUGGUAUAUAUUAUAAAACAAAAUAUUAUUAGUCUUACGAGAUUUACUUGAAAAAUUGAACUAGACUUGCUAUUUAUAUUUAUAUGCGUGUUUCUGUGUCUGAACUGUAAAUGGGUCUUGAACUGGUCACCGCCGUUACUUUUAAGGUCAAUGAGUGUGUUAUCCACUACACAAACCCAACUGACACUUUAAUAUUACAACUUGUGUCUUUGCUUUCUAUCAAGCUAAACUUCCAUAAAACGUUUCUUUUUAACUAUCGUAUUCAUAUGUAUGUUUUCAUAUAAUUCAAUGGACUCUGUAUCAUUUACCAAUUACGAUCUCAAUGGGUAUGCAACAUGCUGGACUUGUUUUGAGAGUGAUACCAGUCCUUUUCUACUCCAAUCUACUCAACGAUGCAUAUAGAUUUUCUGAUUCGGUGACAUCACUUAUAGAAACUAAGAUAUUUUCAUUUAGCAAACAAAAAUCCUAAGAUAUUUUCUUAUAUAGAAAAAAUAUUUAAUAUGCAUUUAUAUUUUUACAGGAAAAUCCAAACAUAUUGCACAAGUAAAACUAAGCUAUAUGGGACCAUGUUGACGUAGACCAAGACCCAUUGAGAUAGGUACUAAUGCUAAUACAGGUGUUAUUCAAUAUACAGAAGACGAAAAAAAUCCAAUUCAUAUACAGCUAGAUAUACCAACAAUUUUAUAUGUUAUCUUAUGUAAUAGUUUAUUACGAGGGAUGGAAUUAUAUGUUACGAGAGAUUUAUAUGUGAAAACUCGAAGGUGUAUCUGAUUUUGGCCAAGUAUCCUUGUAAACGCGCUUAGUGGCCCUGGCCCAUUAAUAAGAAAAUGAUCUAUGGGCCUAUAAUUAAAUCGGUGUAAUAUAGUACAAAAUAAGGCGUCAUGAUACUAAAUGUAAUUUGUAUGCUUGUACAAGUCUGGGCCCUGGUAAGAGUCUAACGUGUCUUGUCGUAAAUCUCCUUCUAAUUAUUACUCCCUCCGUUUUUUUAUAUAAGUCGUUUUACAGAUAUACACGUAGAUUAAGAAAACCAUUAAUUUCUUAUAUUUUCUAAACAAAAACAUCAUUAAUUAUUUACCUAACCACAAUUGAACCAAUAAAAAAAUAAAAGAUAUAUUACCAUUGGUCAUAUAACAUUAAUUACUAAUAAAUUUUACAUAAAAAACCGAAAACGACAUAUAAUUUGGAACAAAAAAAUUUCUCUACAACGACUUAUAUUAAAAAACGGAAGGAGUAGUAGUUAGUUUAAUUAAUUAUAGUGUAUGCAUCAUUAAUGAGGUAAUAAAAUAAGCGUGAAGGACAAAAGCACUACUGGACCCACUGUCUUGUCUAAACCAGCAUUAUUUGUACUCGCACUGCUAAUCUGAUCUACUACUGCUUUUUUUUUUUUUUUUUUAAACAAAUCUACUACUGUUUACUUUUGCAUUUGUGUAAUAAUUUUAUCAGUAUUGCUGUUGCAUAUUUUUACUAAUCACUAGUAUUUAAUUAGCCACACAUGUUUUAAGUACAUGUAAUAUUAAAUACUGAAAUAUAUAAACUCCGCUUUGCACUCUUCUUUUCUCACUCUCCCAGAAAUUCCGUUUUCUCCUGACUUAAAUAUUCGACAUAUAUAAAAUAUGAGGAACAAACUUUAUAAAGCUUGGGAAUGUUAAGAAAACUCGUAUACUUUUUGAAGGUGCAUAAACGUUCAUAUAAUUUAUUUUGGAGAUGUUUAUUACUCCAUGUUCUUUUUCGCAAAAGAAAAUUACUUUUUUUUUAAUAAGAGGGUAAAUAAUUAACGUGAGUUGUACGGAAGAGUGAUGAUUUCCGUCAGAGAACCUCAUGAUGGACGGACACAGGCCUCCUUCCAUAAUAUUCAACGGCCAGAUCUUUUGCUUCCCAUGCGUGUUCCAUUCCCAUUUUCACCGCCUGUUAUUAUUACUAGAGUUUUUAACCGCGCUACGCGCGGAUAAGAUAUUAUAUGUAUUUCUCAAUUCUAAAAAAAUAAUGUAUAAUAUUGUAUUACAUUAUUUAAAGAAUAUAAAAUAAGACUACAUAACAUAAAUAUUUUUUUUUUAAUUUUCUUUGUGAAAAUUAUUAUGUUGUUUGAUUGUUGUACUUGAUUUGCAUAUUUUGCAUAGAUAUAUGUGAUAGAUGAAUAACUUUAUUUUUAUUAUCAGUAAAUAAUAUAUAUUUAUUAUAUAAUAUAAGAAAAAUAAAAUUAUUUACUUUCUGAACAACCUUGUCUCAUGUUGGGAACUCGGUUAUAGACAUAUCAUAUUCGAAGAAGACAUUUUACAGUUAUCGAUCUUCUUAAAAGUCAAGAAACAAAUCUGAAUAUCAAAACAAUAUCUCAUACGAUCUCUUUGUGGAAUAACUACUCUAAAGUAAUUGAAUUUAGGCAUCAAAAAGGACUGGAAAUGGAUGUGCAUAUCUGUUAUCUAAGUCAGCAUUACAAAGUACUAUUCAUAGUUCAUAUAUCAUUUAUGUCCAUCCUAUUUUUUUUGUCCAUCAUUUCUUAAAAAUCUUGAAAUAAUUGAUGCUAAUUAAUAAUAAAAUUUUGGCUGGCAAAAAAAAUCAAAUUUGUCUAAUUAUCGCUAAAAUAUUUUAUUAAUAUUGUCUAAGAAGCUUUCAAGUGAUAUCAUAGUUUAAUUUUUGUUAGUUUUUUUUGUCAAUUUUUAGAGUUUUUUGUAUUUAAGAUUGUUUUCAUAUUAAGCUUCUAUUUCUUUCACUGAAUUGAUAUAUAUAUAUAUAUAUAUAUAUAUAUAUAUAUAUAUAUAUAUAUAUCAUAAAAAUUACCAUCAAAUCAUUUUUACUAAUUUAUUAUUUUGUUUUUAAUGAAAAUACACCUUUAAAUAAUUUAAUUUAAAAUAAAAUUAUAUAUUAAUUUGUUGUAUUCUAACAAUUUGAUUGAUUUAAUUAAUUUGCUUUGGUGGAUAACUUAAAAAGUUUUCAUAUGAAUCGGAGAAAGCAAUCUUAUGUUGUUAUAUUAUAUUUAUUUGUGUAUAUAGAAUCUAUAUAUAAUGCUAGUGUAAUAAAGAAAGAACAAUAUUUUUUGUAACUUCAAAAAGAUACAUUAUUAUAAUUUGAAAUUAAUUAAAAUUGAAUAAAAUGGUAAUUAAAUAUUUGUAAAUCUAAUUGUUUUUUUUUAUCUUGUUCAGUUCGAUUCUCAUGAAAAAAAAUCGAUAGGUUAAACAAAUGUUUCAAAAUUUGAAAUGUUUCAAAAUUUGUUGUGUUAUUGUUUUGUCUAUAAAUUACAAAAUUUAUUGAAUUGAUAUAUUUAACUAUUGCACCCUUAAAUAAUAUUUUAUUAAGACAUUAGAGAACUAUGUUUUGAGUUGUUUUGUCAAAAUUGUACAAAAAUCUAUGCUUUUUCAUAUUUGUCACGGAAAUUUAUAUGUUAAACUUACUUUUACAAAAUUCUUAACUUUGUCACGAAAACAAAAAUCUAUGAUUUUUCAUAUUUUUCAAUGUUCUCACACUUUCAAAGAAUAUAUUAGCUUAGUCACUUACUUAUUUUUUUUUACAAAACAAAGUAUCGGAGUCUUGAAUGUUGAAUUCAUAUUAUUGUAAUUGUACAUAAGAGUUUGUGAUUACAUACUUAGUGAUUCUUGUAUAUGUGUUCAAGAAAGUUUCAAUGGCUUAGUGGUAACUGUCCUAUAUUAAUGUCAUAAUAACCCGGGUUCGAUCCUUUCCUUCGCAUUGUUUUUCAUUUUUUACGAAAAAAUAAAUGAAAUGACGUGGCAAUUUCGGGCUCUCUGAUUGGUUGAUUUUUCUAUCCUACGUGGACACCCUCUCCAUUGCUUAUAUUUGCCUUUUAGUAUAGUAUAGAUGCUCCCUUCUCCAACCUAUUUUACUUAUUUUUUUGUAUUAAUUAUAACUUUAAACUCGAACGGUGAUUACAAGUUACAUAAACAAUUUGAGGUAACCACAAUUAACACCGUCAAAUCUCCAGACUUUGUGACCAAUGAAGUAAAAAUAAUGUAAUGAAAACAUUAUUGAAUGAAGCCUUUUCUAAGAAAAAUAUAAUUAAAUGCUAUAUUAUUCUCAUAAACUCGUCUAAAUUAUUGUAUACAAACUUAACAAUAACAAACUCAGAACUGCGAAUAGUUAAUCAUUUAUAUAUUAGACACAAAGUGUCCCACAUUGGAUGUUGGAAAAGAUCUUUAGUAAUAUAUAAGAUAGAUAGACCACUCUACUUAGCACCAAUUGAUUUUAGGUUAGAAGUCCAUCUAGCUUAACAUGGUAUCAGAGCAUGAUCCACACAGUCCAACCCGAUCCACAUCAAUCUGGCCUAAAGUUGACCCAUCGAUCUUUGCCCGAGCAUUCUCAGAUUGACGCUCAAAGAGCCAUCAUCUCGAGAGAGCGUAUUAUACACAGAGUGUCCCACAUCGGAUGUUGGAAAUGAUCUUUAUCGUAAUAUAUAAGAUAGAUAGACCAUUCCACUUAACACCAAUUGAUUUUAGGUUGAAAGCUCAUCUAGCUUAAAUAUAAUGAACCAAAAAGAACAAAAACAUAAGGUAAGUAAAAAAAAGAUAUUUGUAUACAAAAACGCAAAAUCAUUUUUAAAAAGGUUUAGGGGACUAACAUUUGUCUAUUGGACCCCAUCUAGUUGGGCCAAUCUAAGUAAAAAAUUAAAGCACGAUAAGGAAGUGCAAUAAUGAAAGUUAAAAAUAAAUUAGGAAGGUGGCGGAUUAACAUUAACUAGAUUUUGAUCCGCGCUUCUUAAGCACGGGUUUGAGGUUUUUAAUCUUUAAUAAAUUUUAAAUCUAGUAUAUUUUUUUUGUUUCACAUUAUAACUAUUAACUUUUAAUGUUUUUAUUAUUCAUUACUUUUUAUAGUAUGAGAUUUGUUUGAAAUAGAUUUAAAGAUGAUAUGUAUGUUUUUAGUAGUAAAGAUAUUCAUUAUUAAAAAUAUAUAUGUUAAUUAUUGAACUGUAUUAACUAAUGUUUUGAAAAUCUGAUCGGACCGUACGAUCGAACCAGUCGGAUCCUGACUCGCUCUUCUAACUGGUUCUGAGUUGUGCUAAAAACCGAAUUUGAGUUAAAUCGGACUUAGUUCAAUAUUAAAACCCAGUUUUCGCAAAUUCAAGUUAAAAAAUAAAAAAAAUUUGCAAAUUUUAAUAAGAUUUCAUCAAAAUUUAAUAUUGUUUUCUACUACAUAUAUAAAUAAAUUAGUUUUAAAAUGGGACAUUAAUAUUUAAAAAUAUGUACAUUAAUAUUAAUCUGUUUGUUAUGACUAUUUCCUUAAGUUAUUUUCUGUAUUAAGAAAAUAAUAAUAAAAUCUUUAGGUAAAAUAUUGUUGUUAGUUAAAAUAUCUCUUUUUGUACAUUAAGGAAAUUAUGAGUUGAUGUAUGAAAUAUUACUUUGACUUAAAAUAUGCUGAAUUAUAUGGUGUUAGUAACUAAUAGGUCCAAACAACCUUGUAUAAGUAGAUUUUUUAAGAAUGCUUUCCUUUUAAUAGUAUAGAUUAAAAUGAAAAAGGAAAGACUAUCAAAAAGAUUAAGAAGUUAAUUAAACAAAAAAAAAAGGAAAUUAGAUUAUGAGGAGGAGGAGGUUAGAUGUCCCAUUCACCACCCGGCAAACCGACUUGGAAUGCCGCUUUCUUGUCCCCUCUCACUCCUCUUUUUCUCGCCUCGUAAUUACCACUACACCCUUCACACUUCGCUUCUCCAAAUCCCCUCUACACUAGAUUUGGGCAAAAACAACCGGAACCAAAGAACCAAACUAGAACCGAACCGAAAUAUCCGAAACUAGAACAAGAUACUCGAACAGUUCUUAUAAUUUUAUAUCUGAAAUAGCCGAACUGAACUAAAAACCGAACAUGUACCCCAAUAUAUAAAAAUAUUAAUUAUAUAGACAUACAUAACUAUGUAUAUAUAUUUUUAAUUUAAAGUCUAUAUAUAUAUAUUUAAUUUAAAGUAUAUGAAAAUGGUUGAGGAUAACUAAAUUAUUAUAAAGUAUCUGAACUAUCCGAAACUACCCGGAUAAUUUUAUCUGAAAUAUCCAAAAUAUCCAAAAAAAUUGUCUAAUUCAUCCUAAUUAUUUGAUAUUUUACCCUAAAUAGCCGAUAUUAUAUCCAAAUUAUCCGAACUCUGAAUCCGAACCGGAUCCAAAUGAGAACCAAAAUUUUCCGAGCAUUUUCUGGUUCCUAGUUUUACUAUCCGUACCGAACCGAAUCUGAAACUAUCUGUACCGAACCGAAACUAUCCGAACCGAACCGAACUGAAAAUAGGUCAAGUAGUAAAUGAAUCUUCUAGCCCCCUACUCAAACUACCCGAAAUAUCUGAACCGAACCGAGCCCAGGCCUAGUUCACACUACGCUUCUCCAAUCCCCUUCACAAGGGUAAUAUCGUCAUCAAAGCAAAAGGGCAGGAUCGGAACCAUCCCCUUUCGGGAGGAGCAAGAAAGUGGUUUAAUUAAAAGAGGAUCCGACAAUAAAUCAACGGCUCAAACAACUCACCACAGAUCCUACAGUCCUCGUCUCUCCUCUCGAUUAAAUCUCAUCCGUCGGAUCAGAAUCCAUCAACGUCCCUCCACUUAUUUACAACCCUGCCACUUUCAUAAUUUUUUAAUCACUCUGCAGCAGCAACGAGUUUUCUGGGUGGAUGAUGAUAAUUAAGCUUUUUUUUUUGUAAAUGCUUUAAUGGAAGGACCUUGACUCCACACCUCUCUCUCUCUUUUCGAGGUAAAAACUUCUUAGCUUCUUCGGAAUCGAGCUUCGAUUCGUUGAUUGUUCGUGUGUUGGUUAGAGAAUCUCUAGAUCUACGAGCUUAAUCUUCGAUAUAUUAUCUCGAAUUGCGGUUUCUGUUAGCUGUUAUUUAGAUCGUAGAAGGUUGAAGAAGAACGUAUCUGAUUGGUUGGUAUGGUUUAGAUUCUGAAGCGUGAUUUAGGAGAAGAGUGAAUCCUCGCAUUUCUAUUUUAGGAAACCCUAAUUUUGAUAUGGUUUCUAUUUUAGGAAACCUUUUAAAGAAAUGUUACUGGAGAAAGAGCUGCAGAGUUCAUCACCAGCUAGCGUCUCGGGAGCAUAACUACCUGGGCCUCUCUGACUGUUCCUCUUCCUCUGUUGGAAGCUCGACUCUCUCUGGCCUUGAUGACAAAGCUGCUAUUAGCCUGAAAGCUACGGAGCUGACGCUUGGCCUUCCUGCCAGAGAGACCGAUGAGAAGCCUUUCUUUCCUUUGGUUCCUUCCAAAGAUGAGGUUUCCUUGAAGAAAAGAGGCUUCUCUGAUGCAAUGGAUAAGUCUAAAAGUUCGGUUUAUACUGAGAAAAACUGGAUGUUUCCUGAAGGGGUAGCAGCUAACCAAUGUGUAAUGAAGAAGGAGGCGACGCAGAACAUGCCCAAGGGACAGGUAAUGUAGCUUCUUUUGCUUGAGUUUUGAUAUGCAGAAGGGUAAGUUUUUGAUUUCUUUUCUUCAGGGCACAGAUUGUUGGUUGGCCUCCAGUGAGAUCCUACAGGAAGAAUACGUUGGCCACCACUUGUAAGAACAGUGAUGAAGUUGAUGGGAAGCCAGGUUCCGCGGCGGCCCUCUUCGUGAAGGUCAGCAUGGAUGGUGCUCCUUAUCUGAGGAAAGUUGACCUGAGGAGCUACACUAACUACAUGGAGCUUUCUUUAGCCUUGGAGAAGAUGUUCACCACUUUCACUCUUGGUGAGAUGUUUCUCUGUGAUUUUGAUAACUUUUCAUGGUAGAUCGAUUAGUGAGUGCAAUGGAUUAUUUUGUGUUUAGGUCAAUGUGGAGCUAACGGAGCUGCAGGGAAGGAUAAGCUCUGUGAGACCAAACUCAAGGAUCUUCUGAAUGGAAAAGACUAUGUGCUCACGUAUGAGGACAAGGAUGGAGACUGGAUGCUUGUUGGAGAUGUUCCAUGGGAGUAAGUUUUAUGCUUUUGGAAUAAAAUCGAAACAUGCAUUGGAAAGAUACUAAUUGGGAUUUGAUUAUUCUGAUAAAAAAACUACAGGAUGUUUAUUGAUGUCUGCAAGAAGCUGAAGAUAAUGAAAGGCUCUGAUGCCAUUGGUUUAGGUGAGUCUUUGUUUCCACUUGUUAACAUGUUUAAUGUGAUAAUCGCAAUGUCUUGUUAUAUGAUCGAUAUCGUGAUGUUUUUGCAGCUGCAGCUCCGAGAGCAAUGGAGAAAUCGAAGAUGAGAGCUUGAAAAUUAGAAGCUUUCAAGUUAUACAGAUUAUGUGCGGUUGAAAUAUCUCUUUUGGUGGUGUUUUAAAAAAUUUCAAAACAUCUUUAGCUUCUGAUUUUUUUUUCUAUUAUAAAAACUACGUUUGUAAGAAAUGAAGAAGAAUUGACUACGCUUUAGCCGAAACAGUAAAGUGGUCGCUGUUUCUACUUUCUAGAGUCUGGUCUAUGUUUGGUUUGAUUUGAUUUCGAUGUGUGGUUUGACUUUUCUAUUUUGGGAUAUUAAUGUAAUGUUAUUCUGCCUCUCCGCCUUCUUUAGUUAUCAGCUUCGUUUUGUUAUAAUUAUCCGGCUUUGUCGUAAACAGAGUUAUAUUUAAGUUCAAAAAUAACUUAAAUUAGAUAGGAUUAUUUUAAAUAUGAAACACCCAAUUAGAAUUUAUUCAAUUUGGUUCGGAUACACUACAUUUGGUUUCAGGUCAGAUUCUCAAUUAGUGAAACUAUUCAGGUGACACAAAAUUUCGGUUUAGUUUGUUUAUACGAUAGCAUUUUUUUCUUGUCCACCUCCAGUUACGAAUUAGGAUUGAUGCAGCAGACGACAUGUUAUUUUUGUCUGGUUUGAAAAGCUGAUUGUCAAGAAUGGAACCCGCAGGUUUUGUUUGCAUGCAUGCAUUCGCAAAAACAAUUUUGAAUAUCGAUCCCUACUUAAAUCGUGGAGGUGGGUUAUUAAAUUGUAAAACAUUUACAUGUGGAAGAGCGUUAAACCAAAAUGCAUACGUUAAACCAAAAGCAUAUAUAGGAUGGAAGGCAUCACCAAUGGAAAUCAAUUAGCUGUUCAAGUUAACUAUCCAGUUCUAAACUUCUAAUUGGUUUUCUCAAAUCUGCCACUAUAACUUUUGUGGAUAUCUACGUCUAUCUUAUUAUAUCAAGAAAAGAUGCAGAGAAAUUAAUGCCUAUAUCUUCUGGCAGUCGGUUUGAUAUGCUGCUAAAUUAUUGGCGCAAGUAGAUCCUUGAACCAACAUUAAUAAUCCUCCUCGAAGACCCAAAUGCUACGAGACAAAGGAAGAAAGGUUUGCGCAGGGAAGUGUUUGAUAUCGUGACUUAAAAAUUUAACUUUCCAUGAAACUCUUGACCAAACCUAAAAAACAAAACUUCAUGAGUGUUAAACUCGUGAAAGUUAAACUCUCCAAGAUGAAUAUAUCAUAGAUUUCAAAAGCGGUAUCAGUUUGAAAUUCAGUGAGUACAUUUUACCCAGAUUUUAAUAGUGCAUUGAACUCCAUCGUUUCACAAAAUAAUCAAAGAUACAUGAACAUAUUGAUGGGAUAUGGACUGUAUUAUAAUAAAUACUCUCUCAUCCUUCUCAAAUUAUUUUCUGUACCCAAAGAUGCGAACGUAGUGCGCAUUAGACUUUGGCAAUGGUGGUUUGCUUAUUAAUAAUUGUUUUAUAAACAAAUAUUUCCAUGAUCUCAUUUAUUGCCCAUUUUUAUAAUUUCCAUUAGCGUUGACAAAACAGCAUAUAGGUUAUAGUUUUAUCAUCCUUUGAAAUAAACCCUACCCCAAUGAUGGUUAUAUUCCAAGUACCAAAUUUCGAAGAUGCAUUAAUUAAUCAAUUCCAGCGCAUAAAUUCGAUCGAGAUAAUUAAAUACUCAUAUACUCUAAUAACAAAAGAAUCUACUGGUCGAAUUUAAAUCGUUCUUGUUACUUUUAUCCAAAGAAUUGGAUAGAUGUGUGAUUCUUAUAGCUUCAUGUGAAGCCUAGCAGUAUGCGCAUAAACAAAUAGUCAUUGCUUGUGAAUCUCAUUUAAUUCGAUUCGAUGCACUGACUUCGAAUGGGACGGACUAUAUAGUUUUAUAUAAGUUGAUCAACUAUAUAGUAUUACUGAACAUUUCUAAAAUUAAAUAUGACAAAGACUUAGGGAAUGACAUGUCAAAUUUGUCUCCAAAAAUAUGAAAUGAAGUAUGCUUCUAAACGAUGGAACGUGGCGUUACCUUUAACACUCAUUUAUAUUGGUUUCCAAACUAUCUCUAUGUACACAACUAUUUAUAUACAGAUGAAACCAACAAUCACAAAAUGCCAACUAAAAUGUUAAAAUGGUAACUUGUGAACAUAUUGUUUUGGUUGAUACUAGGAAUGUAUUCAAACCUUGUAGCAGUAAAAGGGUAAACUCAGACAUAUCAAUGUCAUUAUCAGGUGUUUAAAAAAAAUUAUAGUACAUUAGAUUUAUCAAUCAAUCUCACAUGAAUCUAAUAAUACAUAUACAUACGAACAUAUAAAUCAACACAGAUAAACUAUAUACAAACGAACAAAUUGUUUACACCUUUUCCCCACGUAAGCGGUACAAAUCGCGUUCUCUCACCUUGGCUCUUCUCAUUUGAUAAUAAUAUAUAUGUAUGGUUAGCACUAGGCGUUCCAUUAACCACCCAAUAUGUUUGACCCAAAGUUUAGAACAUAACAGUUCAAACGCACACUGUUGGAUUCAAGUUCUAGAAAAACAUAUUAACUUUGUAUUCGCUCUGGGAUGAACCUAGUGCUAAUAAGUGCGUAUAAAUCAUAUAAAUGAAUUUUCAUAAAUGCAUAUACGAUCAACAGAAUGAGUGUUUUUAUUUGGUAGACCUUCGACAACCCACCGAAUUGAUGGUAUCCAUGUAUUUCUUAUCAGCUAUCAAUCAUGGGAGGUCGUGAUCUAUUUAUUUAUGGACAAAAUAGUAUCAGCAUUAUUAUUGUUCAAUUUUUCUUUUUCGUUUUGGAAGGUUUGAUUAUCAACUUUGUCCGGAUAGUAACCAAAGUGUGUAUACUUGUGAUGUGUAGCGCAUUAAAAGAUCUCAUUCAAUUUUAUAAAACCUAGUUAAGUUAUUUACGAAGUAAUAUUUUCGUUUUCUAAUGGAUAGUCAAUAAUUCCAUGGCGUGCACGCAUGAAGUCAUGUGAUGUUCAUACAAGGGUAGCAACUUAACCUACCAAGCAAUUUACAAAUCCUUACUUAGUAUUUUAAUUUAGCCAUAACUAGUUAGUUUUAAUCCGUAUUGUUUCCUUCAUUCAUUCAUGUGGCUCAUCUGCAAAAUUCCAAAAUACUCAAAGCCACAAACUUUAAUAAUGUAUGCUUUGGAGUUUAUACCACUGAUCUAGUAAUAUGGAGUUAGUUUAGGCACUGAUCAUCAGCCAGUAGAUCUAAUGGGUAUUCGAAAAGAUUUUAAAAGGGAUAGUUAGAACUUAGAACUAUCCCAGUCAAAGGAAACCACCAUUUUUGCCAUAGCAAGAAUUCAAAAGUUUGCUGGACCAGUCUAAUCUUUAUGUCAUAUCAUUAGCUCUUGUCGUCACCAUAUAAUUUAUUAUUAUUUGGAGCAUUCGAAAUGUGGACAAAUUUAAAUUAUUUUGUUUGUAAUAAUAAAUGCACUUCUACCUUUCUCCUUCAAACAUACAAAAUUUUCACAUAUAGUCCAAAACCAAAAACGUUAAUUAAGUUAAUCUGUUCAGUCCGUAUAUAGAUGCUAUAUAAUAUAGUUAAAGUUAGAUAAGCUAAACUCAAAUGGAAGUAAAACAGUAGAAGUGAAUGUGGAAAGAUACUUGACUUUGAUAGAGGGUACAGACACAGUCAGAAAAAUAAAUGCCUCUAGACCUACAGAACUCUGGUCAUCUGCUAAUUACGACGCAGUUCUGAAAAAUCUCUCUGCAAUCUUCAUUUUUAUUUAUAUAUUCUUUUGUAAUUUUUAGAACAUGCUUCACCGUUUGUUGCUCAGAUUCUAUUUCUAACAUCACGUGCCACAUGAACAAUGUUUGACUUCUCUUUUUUCGGCAAAACAAAAUAUCAGAACAACUAGACAAAGUCGAGAAAGUAAGGUUUAGUUUCUUCUACACUGAACCACAUUGGAAGGUAAAUAUGAAUCCAAAUACGCCAGGUUAUAAUUGUUUAGUGUUGAGAUAUAAUAAUCAAUUCAUCAAGUUAAAUUUGGUUAUCAAAAAAAUAAGUGAAAAUUUUACAAGCAAAUGGAACAAAGAUUUACAUGCAUGCAAUUUUUUUUUCCAUGCAAAUGGAACAAAGAUCGCCGGGUCUUUAGUCAAAUGAAAAUCCCAUAUGCAUAUGGUCGGUUCCAUCGUUGACCUUUUUUUAUUUUAUCGUCCAUCCCAAUGAAAACCAUUUGAAAGAUCAAACCCAAAUAUAAAAGUAUGUAAUAUGACCUUCAUAAACAAAGAUUAUAGUUUAAAAAAUAGGAAGGGGACGUAACAAAUCAGUGAUUAUUUUUCUUCGAGGCAAGAAACUAUGAAAGAUUUACAUGCAAAAUGCAAACAAAAGCCAUUUCAGACGCAUGAAGUCAUAAUUUUCACCUUUUAAUAUUGCUUACAAUAAAAAAUAAUUAAAUGUUUCUAAACGUCAGUAAAGAAGAAAUAUCUUUCUCUCUCUCGUCUUUAUCUUAUUUAAUAUCUCCAUCUUCCUUAUGAUCAAUAAUGCCCAAAGCUCCCUUCAUCUUCUAUAUAAUCACUUAGAGAAAAAAAGAGUGGAAGAUAGAAAGAACUUUUUUUCUUCAUUUGUUUAGCUGAAAAUGGUGUUUGGUUGGAGAAAAGCGUUCUGCACAUCCUUUCCUAGUAAUCAAGACAAAUCUCAUCAAUCAUCAUCAGACCUUCUCCACACUGAUCCACCUAUUCCCACACCAAGACUCCGAUCAAAGUUCGGUUUUUUCUCAAACCCAUCAACUCCCCGCCUCCGAUCUCGCGGCGGAGGUGGUGGAAACGGAUGCCGCUCCGUCGCUUCAACCGCAGCCGCUACUCCAUCUCUUCCCACUAGUCCCAGACUCCAAUGCAGGACUACAAGCAAUGCUACUCCGAGGACAAGUAACCCCUCGACUCCUAAGUUUCUCUCUAACCCUUCUUCUCCCAAAUCAUCAUCUCCUUCCUCCCACGCCGGCGUCUCUCUCCUCCGUGCCACACUUCUUCUCAACCAGGUAAGAAGCAUUAUUAAUUUUUUUUAAAAAAAAUUUCUAAUUAGUUUUAUUUUCGUUUUAAUUUUAGAGUCUUCAGCAUACUAAUCUAAAUCUCUGUUUUGUAAUAAGUAUACUAAUCUAAAUCUCUGUUCUGUAAUAACUAUGCUAAAUAAAGGCUGUUUAGUAAUAAGUAUAUUAAUCUAAAAGUACUAAUCUAAAGUUCUUUGUUUGGGAUGCAGAGCAAUAGCAACAGAUGUGGGAUAUGUCUACAGAGAGUUCACUCCGACCAAAUCAAUUCGACGGCGAUUUUCACGGCGGAGUGUUCACAUUCGUUCCACCUCUCUUGCGCCGUUAGAUUACAAGACAAGCGCUGUCCUUUCUGUUCCACCGCGUGGAGUCACGCUCCGAGGAAAGAUCCCCCGACUGCGAAUUUCGGAUCCGACCCGAUUAGAAAACCCGGGAUCCGAGAAAUCAAAACCGGGAAGUCGCUGAGAGUGUACAACGACGACGAGCCGUUAGCUUACUCGCCCGUCUCUCUCGCUCGGUUCAACACUAUACUAGAAUCAGACGAAAACGACGACGUAGAGGAAGACGACGAGUUCCCCGGAUUCUUCCCCGAUUCUUCGAUCACGCCGGCGGCUUCGAUCUCCGGGAACCUCGAGGUUCAAUUGCUGCCGGAAUCCGCCGUGGUGGAGACCGGGAAAAGGAUCGAGACGCACGCCGUCGUCAUGAAAGUGAAGGCCUCGCCGAUGAGGGACGCCGUUAGAGCGCGGCGGCCGUCGAUCGAUCUGGUGACGGUUCUCGAUCUGAGCGGCGGCGGAGCGAAUUUGCCGACGGUUAAGCACGCGAUGAGGCUGGUGAUCUCUCUCCUCCGGGAGAUGGAUCGGCUCUCGAUCGUCGUGUUCUCGGCGGGGUCGAAACGGUUGAUGCCGUUACGGCGGAUGACGGCGAAGGGACGGGGGUCGGCGAGGAGGAUCGUGGACUCGCUCGGCGGAGUUGAAGCCACCGGCGGCGGAGGGAUGAGCGUUAGCGACGCGUUGAAGAAAGCGGUUAAAGUCGUUGAGGAUCGGCGGGAGAGGAAUCCAACGGCGAGCGUUUUGGUUUUAUCCGACGGUCAGGAUCAACCGGAGGCGGUUUUGAAAGCUAGGCUAAGCUCCACGCGCGUGCCGUUCGUCGUUUCCACCACUCGCUUGUCUCGUCCAAUGAUCCCUGUUCACUCGGUUUGGAUCGCGUCUCCAAGCGCGUUGCAGUACGCGCCUCUUCGGGACGCGUUCACGGAGCGAGUCGCUGCUUUGUUCAACGUGGUUUUGCAUGACGUGAAGCUUAAUCUAGGUUUGGUCUCCGCAUCCCCGUUGACCGAGAUCUCAGCGGUUUACUCUUUAACGGGCAGACCCGAGAGUUUCGGAUCCGGGUCGGCCGUUGUCGUCGGGGAUCUGUUCGCGGAGGAGGAGAGAGAAUAUCUCGUUGAGCUCAGAGUACCGACUUCUUCGAGCGGGUCCCACCGUGUGAUGUCCGUACGGUCUUCGGUCGUUGACCCCGCGACGCUUCAGCCGUUUCCUUGUCCGAACGAAAAACGGUUUUUGAUCCCGCGGCCACAGACCGUCCGAUUCGUCUCUGCUAGCAUCGAACGGUUGAGGAGUCGACACUCUGUCUGCCGCGCUGUAGCUGAGUCACGUAAGAUGAUUGAGCGUGGUGAUUUAGCCGGAGCCUAUGAGGUUUUAACAGCGGCUCGGUCAAACGCGUUGGAUGAGAAUGAUAGCUUAAAGAGCUUGGACGCUGAGUUAGCCGAGCUAAACCGGUUGAAACCGAGAGACGGUACAGCAAACCGAGCCGAAGAGGAGAAAACCGAGCAACUAACGCCUACUUCGGCUUGGAGAGCCGCUGAGAAAUUGGCGAAAGUGGCUAUCAUGAGGAAGCAUUUAAACCGAGUCAGCGACAUGCACGGCUUGGAAAACGCCAGAUUUUAAGUUGAUUAUUAGUUGGUAUGUAAUUAUUUUAAAUAUUAGUAACCAAUAAUUGAGUAAGAUAUCAUAAAUAAAAUUAUAGAAGCAUGAUUUUUAGAAAGGGACCCUAUAGGUGCAUGACAGCGACAAGCAGUAGCCGACGGGUGUGGCCUUUUUUGUAAUGCAGAGAUUGGUACAUUGAGAGAAUUAAUUGGUCUUGUAGCUUUUAUCAUCUCCCUUUUUGUAAUUUUCAGAAAAUCCAAAUUUGUGACAGAAAAAGUUGGAAGAAAAUAAAUGAAGUUUGAAUUUUUUUUAUAUACUAUAAAAGUGUAGUGGAUAAUCAGAGAGUGGAUGCAAUGCUGGACUUCAAAAUCAAAAGUAAGUUUGUACUUAGUUUAUAUUAUCGUGCCGUUUAAAUUUCAUGAACUUAUUAUACUUUAUAUCUUUACAUACGAAAGAUCAUGAUUAGUCAUGUGAUCAUCAUUAUAGGCUAGCAUAUUGUUAUAGAAAACUUUAAAGGUUUACCAGAAUAAAAAAUAUAUUCCCAGUGGUUGUACUUGUAUUAUAAUGUAUGUCUUGUGACAACAAUGAAAUAUAGAAAACUAAUGAUUAAUAUCAUGAGAGACCCAAAAAAUUGAUUGGUGGUGCUUUGCUGUAUUUUUAGCUCAGUAGGGCCAAAUUUUGUAAAACAAAGAUGAGAGAAGUAGGUAUUGCCAAGCCCGUUAAGAUAAAAGAUUGAUGUUGGCCCAUCAAUCCUUAACCUUUCAUGCCACCACUCUAUGUCCGAUAUGUCAAAAGAUAUAAACUAUCUACCAGCAAGAAACAUAAAGACCCACAAAUAAUUUAGUGAAAAUAACAUUUACACUACACUAAACCGGCCCAACAAAAUGCCCUUUUUCAAAAAAACAAAAACAAAAUGGACAUAUUCACCAAAUCAUGUAAUUUAAGACUAGCCAGGAAUUAAGAAAGUUAAGCCUUUUUCUAAACAUUUUUGUUUUGCUGAAGCCUUUUAAAAUUUUAAUUUAUUUCAUGCUGAAUACCAGUUGAUUUUUAUUUUUUACCAGUGGACGGCAGAUAAAAUGUACUACCUCCAUUUUAAAAUGUAAUAUGUUUAAAAAACAAAAUGUUUCUAAAUAUAAGAUGUUUUCAAUAAUUUAGGAAACUUUCAACUUCAUUAAAAACUGUACACCCAAUUAUAUUUUAUAGUGUAUUUUAUAAUUGGAUAGCCUAAUUUAAUAUCUGUUUCUGAAGAGAGAGAGUAUCUGUUUAUUGAAAUUUUAUCAUUAUUUUCUUUCUGAAUGUAGUAUUAGUGGUAUAAUUAUUUAAUUUAAUUACUCAAAUUUUAAUUAUUUGUAAAGUUGGUCAACUCUAAAAGACCCACGUCUCAUAGAUAAGGCACCUGAUCUGGUUGUGAUUAGGUCUGAAACUUUUAUCCGAGAUCCGGAUUCGGUCCGAGAUCCAGAUUCGAUCCGAGAUUCAAUCCGAAUCCGAUCCGAAAAUCCGGAUAUCCGGAGAGGCCGAAUUCGGAUAGUAAAAUGUUGGAUUCGUCAAAUCCGGAUCCGAAUCUAGAUAUCUUAUUUUUUUAAUCCGGAUAACUGGAUCCAUAAAUUUUAUUAAUAAGUAUUUCAAAAAUAUUAAUAUCUAUAUAUAAAAAUUAAUUUUAUUGAAUAUGUUUUUGUUUUUAUAAUAGUAUAUAUAAAUUUUAUGUAAAUUUUGUAACAUUACACAUAAAAAUAAUUAAAACAUUAUAUAUAUAUAAAUUAUUGUUAAUAUUUUAUAUAUAUUAUAUUAUUAUUUAUUUAUUUUAAAAAUCAAAAUCUGGAUCCGGAUAUCUGCUGGAUAUUACAAUUUUCAGAAGGACACUCGGAUAUCCAAAAACGCUGGAUCCAAAUAAGAAUAGUAAAAUUAUGGAUCCACCGGAUAAGGAUUCGGAUCCGAAUACCUUAAAAUUAUCCGGAUACCUGAUCCGUCCGAGGUCUGGUUGUGAUAUGCGAAAAAUUGUCCAACGUUGAAAUUCGGAUCACCGUCCCUUGAAAUCGACUUCGCAGAUCAAAUACUGACACUUGGCUUUCUAAAAGGUUAUCUAUAUCUAAUUUACUCGAAUUUUAAAGUAAACUUUUCCUAACUACAGCCCACGAUUAAUUAUUUCUGGAUAUUUCUUUUUGAUGACUUGUGGUUUGCAACCAGCGGUAUAAACAAUAACCAUGUUUAUAUUUAUUUAUUACGCUAAAUACAAAUGAAAUGCCAUACAUACUUACAAGUAAAAGAUACGGGUUUCAACUUCCGCGUAACAUUAUAAAUAAAUUUAUAGGGAAAACAAUCCAUUUUGCAUUUGAAGUUCAAAUAGUCUUCACUCACUAUUUUUGUCUAGAGAAAGUAGUAAUUUUUUUUUAUCAACUGGUUACUUUCAUUAAAAUAAAUCAAAACAUAGAAUUAUGGCCUCGGGCCCAAAUAAGAAACAAGACAUGAUUUAGCUAAAUAAUCCGCUGGCCCAUUACAAGCCCGCGGGGUGAAGGUGAAGGAGCAUGAGUGGAAGGGGGAGGAGGCGGAGAACGCCAGCGAGUCGAUGUCCGAUAAAAUUCCAUAGAGUUCCGUCGAUCGUCUUCUCGUGGUGAUAGCUCUGACGAGCACUUGAGAAUCUGUGCGUAGACAGAUGUUGGUGAACUGGAGGGAUGAGGCCUGGAUUAGCGCCUCUCUGAUUGCUAGGGCCUCAGCCAUGCAGGCGGAGGAGAAGUUUGCUUGGGGCGUGGAUGCUCUGUGAAGUUCCUGGUCGUUCGGUCCGUAAAGAUCCAACUCAAACCGGCUGCUUUUCGGUCUGAUCGCCAUGCGGCGUCUGUGUUUCCAAAAUAAUUAAAUUAUAUUACUACUUAAGUUGUUUUUAUUACAUAUACACGCAUAAUGAGUUUAACAGUUGAUUUGAUAGUAUAUAACCUAGUUUCCCUCAUAACUGGUCGUAUCAGUAAAUCAACAAGGCCAAAAUCAGAUUAUAUUUAUAAUACAUUAACAAAUAUUUCCACUUUAGCAUGUUAAAUUAUCCACAAAAUUAUCGUAUAAAAAUGUGCCGUACCUUGAAUAAAAACAGUAUAUAUUAUUUCAAGUCAAACAGCUGAAGACAUGAUCAAUCAUAAAAAUCGAGCUUAAAAUAUGUUUGUAAUUUGCACGGAUAAGAUUUUGGAAAACGACAUUAUACAUUUGAAAUACAAACAUUGUGAAGAUAAGAACUUGAUGAGCAAGUCUUAGCAAUAUUCAAAUGCUAACCAAAGAAUAACUCAGGUUAAAGUAAGGUUUACUUGGGGUUGAGUUAGCAGACUUUGGACCAAAGAGAAGGCUCACUAUUGGUGUAUAGGUCUGAGCACAAAGCAGGACCGUUUGUCUCUAUGCGUUUGGCCAAGACCAAGGUUGCUUCAUCCAUAAAUAGAAACAUUGGUCCAGAGAGAGAAAGUAGAGUAGAAGCGAGAGUGUGUGAGCACACAAGAAGCAUUGUAAGGGUGAGAGAAACAAGAUGUAAAGGCGUAAGCCUUGGGUAGUUUCUAAGGGGUUUUACAGAGUGGUUUCCUUAGCCAUUCUUAGGAGAAUCACUUGUAACCUCUUGUAAUCCCUUUGUUCUAGUGGAUUCCGAGCAUAGUCUCGGCGAGAUGUAGCGAUCCUCGUUAAUGGGCGUGAAAUCGUUAAAUGUCUGUGUGUUUUCCUUCUCUUAACUCUCACACUCUCUUAUCCAAAGCUCUCUCUGUUUCAUUCAUCUCAACAUAAAUCUGUUCUGUAUCUUUAAGUUAACACAACUAGAGUCUUGUCUGUUGAAGGAAAUCUUAACAAACAUAUUUUCAUACUGUUCUACCGGGGUGUAUUAGUUGAAUGUUACAAUAGUUACCCGAAUAGUUUCACGAUUACCAACGUAAGACAUGAACAUAUUCAUCGGUCAAAACGGAUAUAUGUAAUAUGCAAAUUGAUCUACGGUAGAUCAUCUACCAUGUGCAAGCACAAGUUAACUAUGUGGAUAAACCAACGCAACGUCUAGUCAUCUUACCAUAGUAGACUAAUAGUAUAUAGUAGUUGUAAACAACUGUCUUAUCUACAUUCUACAAUCAUGUAUACACAUUGCUACAUGUGUAACGUGAUAAUCAUCAUUUAACUAAGUCAAACCACGUUUAGGCAAGUUAAUUGAGACGCGUUUUCUGAUAGUCAAAGGAAGCCUAUAAAACGGCUUCUUCUUCUUUUCCAUCAUCACCCAUUAAUCUCUUCUCCUUUCAGACAAAUCUUGUUUUUUGUUUUUGUUUUGUUAUAUAUUCUUAUUCUUCCACAAAGAAGAAGACAUUCCGGUAUUUACAUUUUCUUCAUAACUCUUUUUAAAUUCAUAUACGUUUAUAUAUUUGUGUGUGUGUGUGUAAAAAUUGUGUAAUAUUUGUGUGUGAGCUAAUUGUAUAUAUUGAUAUAUUCAUCCCCACGUUAGCGGACAUGGCGGGAAACGGAAACACUGACGGAGAAUUCAGUUUCUCGGCUGCGGCUGCGCGUGAUGCGCUUCCUCGGAUCACCACGGAGAAGGGAGCCAAGUCUACGACGUCGAGUGACGUGUGCCACGACGACACCGCGUCACGAGGCAACUUUCAGACCAUCGAUCAGCUCCACAGUCUCCAGAAGAAACGAUCUGCACCGACCACUCCUCUCAAAGAAGGAGGUGGCGUAGUGAUGGGAACCAGUGGCCCUACCACUCCUGUCUCCGGUGAGAGUAUGCUUCAAUCAGUCAGGUGUGUAAAUUUGUUAUUAAUAUAACCCAAGGUCCUAAUGUUUUUAAACUUUGUGAUAUGGAAAUAAGAAAUGUAAUCAAGAAGUCAACAGAAAGUUGGAUCUUAAUUGAUAUAUUUAUAACACACAAAAUGGAGGAAUAACAAAUAUUAUACGGUGUACGUGAUUUAUAAAUCCAGUAUAUAAUAUGAUAAUAUGAAAUAUGGGAAAACAAUGACAAUGAACAUAUAUAAUUUGUUGAUGAAUCGACAGUGCAUCGUUGGCUUCGUUGACGAGAGAGACAGGACCGAAGGUAAUCAGAGGAGAUCCGACGUCGGCGGCUAAAGUGGCACACGUGCCACAAACUCCUACGUCAGUUCCGGCUGCUGACGUCAGCGACAGUUCUCUGAAAUUCACUCACGUCCUUCACAAUCUCUCUCCCGCAGGUAACCAUCCAAAACGCAACCCAUCUUCAUUAACAAGAUUUGAUUACAUAUUUUACAAAACAAAACGUCACAUUUUGAAUUUUAUGGUUGCAGAAUUGUACGAGCAGGCCAUAAAAUAUGAGAAAGGAUCGUUCGUGACUUCCACCGGUGCGUUGGCCACUUUGUCGGGAGCCAAAACUGGUCGGUCUCCUAAAGACAAGCGUGUAGUUAAGGAUGAGACAACUGCGUCCGAGCUCUGGUGGGGAAAGUAAGUCCCUCUCUAUCUUAAACUUUAAACUAUGAUAUAAUUUAUUUUUAACUUAACGUUGACUUUUACAUUAUAUUACAUUAUUUUUAACAGAGGCUCACCAAAUAUCGAAAUGGAUGAACAAAGUUUUUUGGUGAACCGAGAAAGAGCUGUUGAUUACUUGAACUCUUUGGACAAGGUAUAACUCAAACAAACAUCAAAGACUGCAUGUUGUCAAGAAAAUUAUUUGCACUAUUAGGGAUAAAUACAAACAUUUAUUUAGUUAUAUUUAUAUUAUAUCGUCAGGUGUUUGUGAAUGAUCAAUACCUAAACUGGGACCCAGAGAACAAAAUCAAAGUCAGAAUAGUAUCAGCAAGAGCUUACCAUUCACUUUUCAUGCACAACAUGUGUAUCCGUCCAACACCCGAAGAGCUAGAGAAUUUCGGGACACCUGAUUUCACGAUCUACAACGCUGGAAAAUUCCCAUGUAACCGUUUCACUCACUACAUGACAUCAUCGACAAGUGUCGACAUAAACCUAGGAAGAAGAGAGAUGGUGAUUCUAGGGACACAAUAUGCUGGAGAAAUGAAGAAAGGACUCUUCGGUGUGAUGCAUUAUCUGAUGCCUAAGAGAAAGAUUUUGUCUCUUCACUCCGGUUGUAACAUGGGAAAAGAUGGAGAUGUUGCUCUCUUUUUCGGUUUAUCUGGAACCGGAAAGACUACAUUGUCUACCGAUCAUAACCGAUAUUUGAUUGGAGAUGAUGAGCACUGUUGGAGUGAGAGUGGAGUCUCGAAUAUUGAAGGUGGUUGUUACGCGAAAUGCAUUGAUUUAUCGAGGGAGAAAGAACCUGAUAUCUGGAACGCUAUCAAAUUUGGAACUGGUACGCACAUCAUUAAAACAAAAAUUCUUUUUACAAAACUUUUUUGCCCUAACGUAUAGCUCACGUUUCACAUUUUGGGGACAGUUUUGGAGAAUGUUGUGUUUGAUGAGCAUACAAGAGAAGUGGAUUAUACAGACAAAUCAGUGACGGAGAACACACGUGCGGCUUAUCCUAUUGAGUAUAUCCCUAACUCAAAGAUACCGUGCGUUGGACCACACCCUAAGAACGUGAUCCUAUUGGCUUGUGAUGCUUUUGGUGUGCUGCCGCCAGUCAGCAAGCUGGAUCUUGCUCAGACUAUGUAUCAUUUCAUCAGUGGAUACACUGCUCUCGUAAGUCUUCUAUCAUCAUCCAAGACUCAGCUAAAUAAGACGUUCAGGUUGAUGAGAAACGAAUCUAUGGUUUUGUAGGUUGCAGGAACAGAGGAAGGAGUUAAGGAGCCAAGAGCGACUUUCUCGGCUUGUUUUGGUGCUGCUUUCAUUAUGCUUCACCCAACCAAAUAUGCAGCUAUGUUAGCCGAGAAAAUGCAAGCUCAAGGAGCCACCGGUUGGCUUGUUAACACCGGCUGGUCUGGUGGAAGGUACAACCCAUCCAUCUCUACUUCAAGCUCUCAGAAAACCACAAAAAACAUGUGUCAUUGUUAUAACUUUGAAAUGUUGAUAAAUUUGCAGCUAUGGAUCUGGAAGUCGCAUCAAGUUGGCGUAUACAAGAAAGAUUAUUGAUGCUAUACAUUCGGGUAGUCUCUUGAAUGCAACUUAUCAGAAAACUGAGAUUUUUGGUUUGGAGAUUCCAAAUGAAGUUGAAGGAGUGCCUUCUGAGAUUUUGGAGCCUAUGAAUGCAGUAAGUUAGAGAGAUCAAAUUUAUAUUUUAUUUAACAUGAGUCAGAAUAAACCCCAUAUAUUAUAAAAACUAUGAAAAUUGACAUUAUUUGGUUAUGUGUGUUUUGGUGCAGUGGGAAGACAAAGUGGCUUAUAAGGACACAUUGUUGAAGUUGGCUGGUUUGUUUAGAAACAAUUUUGAGACAUUCACAAGUCAUAAGAUCGGAGAAGAUGGAAAGUUGACUGAAGAGAUUCUUGCAGCUGGUCCAAACUUCUAAAGUGAUGAAGAUUAUGAUGAUGAACCAACAAUGUUUUCAAAAAGUACAACAACAUAUAAAAAAAAUAAAGUGAAUAAAGGAGAGAGUCGACGAAUUUCAAGAAAACUCCAUUUGAUUAUCAAUCAUAUAUUUUUCCAAUUGAAGUGAGAACUAUAAUUAUUAUUUUCUUUUCAUGAAUGUUUGUUUACUCACAAAAUAAGUUUACAUGAUUUGUUCAACCAAACUAAUCUAAGUAUCCUUUUUUCAAAUAGCUGCAAUGGCAGCAAGUAUUUUUUUGGUUCUUGUAUUGUUGAUCUAGGUUUCUUGGGAUUUAACUUGGAUUCAAAUUGUUGCAAAGGUAACAAUUAUGAAGUGUGUAUGAAACAAUGAUUGGUUUUUAACUUUUGAGUUAAAUGUAAGAAACUGAAACAGUGAAACCUAUCAUCCACAUGCAAAAUAUCUAUAAAUCAAAAGUCUUCAAUGUUUUUCUGAUGAGAUCUUUUGCUAACUCUUUUCCCUUUUCAUGAAGCAAUCUCUAGUCUACAAGAUGCAUUUAUGAUUUCUGCAUCAUAAAUAUAAACCACACCAACUUGUAUUUAUCUGGUUUCAUUUGGGUGUUUAUGUCGAUUUGUAUAGAUUUAUAUGAAUCUUAUACUUCGUCUAGGUUUCUUAUUGAAAUUUUUGGGUCAAACAUACAAAACUGUUGCUAUCAUAAUGUUUGCUUCCAUCUGAGCAGCAAGGUUUUGGUUUUGAUCAAAAAGUUCAAGUAUGAGACGACACAGCACCCUAUGCAUGAUAACAUAUAACAUAUGGCUAUUGUACUAAAUUUUGAUUUAGUUUACUGGUUAAGUUUGUAAGUAUUGAUGAUGAAAGAUCCUACAUUUCUUUUAUCAAUUAGCAGGCAAUAUGCUUCAGUUUUGAAAUGUACAAGUUCUUGUUUUGUUAAUUGUAUAUUGCCAGUUUGAUCGUAUAUAUUGAUGUUUUGUUUAUUGUGUGUUAAGGAUUUGUUUGAAGGUCUAAAGCUUAUAGAAAACAAGAUGGUAAUAUCUUUUCUUCCAUCUAGUUUUGUUAGGCUACAUACAAUGAGGGUGUUUUUUUUGUAACACAAUAUUUUCAUUAAAACAAGUUAAAACCCGAUGUUUGAAACAGAUGACACAACAGCGAACAAAGCUUGCUUAGCAAGAGCAUCAACAUCUUUGUUUCUGUUGCGAUGAAUCCAAACAUAGAUAAAAUCAAAAGUUGACAUAAUGCACAAAAUAUCUGACAAAAUGCCAUACACUUCUGAAAGAAGCACAUUUGAUUUAGGGUUUGUACGAUUUGGACUGAGUCUGAGGAAACUUGUAGGCGUUGAAUAAGUGCAAUGAAAGUGUUGAAAAAAAAAUGACAUGGAGUUUUUGGUAUUGAAUCUUUUCAACAUUUGAAACAAAAUUAAAUGGGACCCACAUUACUGUUGUGUUAACUUUGUAUACUUUUACGAGACCAGAAAAAACAAGAAAGUAUUUAAAAAAACAAAAAGAAAGAAAACAAAUAAUUGGUACAAAUAUAUCUGUUUUAUUGGUUCACACAUUUUUAGAUUUUUAUUUCAUCUUAUCUAUCUAAGAUCAAUUAUUUUUUUACUAAAUUAUAUUCUUAGAAAAUAAUAUUUAUACCAUAAUUCAUAAAUUUUUGUGUUCUAUAAAAUAAGAUUUUUUUUUAUUUGGAAAUAAAAAUAUUUUUUUUGUGUUUUUGUAAGUUAUAAUUAUUUGUUUUAAUAUGUGGAAAAUAAAAAAUGAUGUGGAAUGUUGAAAUGGUAAAAUAGGGUGUUGAAUAAUCUUAACCAUUGUACAUUGUCAUAAGUGAUAAGACUAUAGUUUGAGAAAAAAAUCUCUUAUCAAUGUUUUUUUUUGAGAACUAAAUCACUAUUUAAUUUUGAAUUGUGUUUUCCUUUAGAUUAAAUUUUAUUUUUGAAUUGUUUUGUCUAUGGAAUGUAUGAAGAGUGAUGUGGCUAAAAUCAGAAAGGCCAAGGAUUGAAACUAAAUAACGUGUGAAAUAAGUGAACAAAUCCGCAUUGAUUUGCCGGUUUUUUUGCUUAAUGAGUGACAGCUUAAUUAUACUUUACAAGUUGGCGUUUACUGAUUAUACUAAUUACUAUUGUUUAAUACUACCAAAAUAAGUAUAAUCUAACCUCCACUAUCUUUGUCCUUGGACCGACACAUUUCCCUCCUAAUCCUGUUCAAACCUAAAAAUUACCAAUUCAUGAAAUCAACUCCUAAUCCAAUUGUGUUUCAUGAGUUUUUUUCUGAAAUUUAUUGGGAGUAAAAAUUAUAAAUGCUAUAUACGGAUAUACUUGUGGAAGAUCUUAUCAAACACAUUAACCUUCUAGCGACAUGAGGAAACGUUGAACUUUAUGCAAAAGGAUGUCAUGAUUAUCUCAUGAUUACGAUACAACAACAUGUUUUAUGGAGUAUUAAAUUAUUAUUAGAUUAGUCAUUAGUGUAACAAAAAGAGGGUUUAUACUUGUCACGAGAGUCUUAUCAUAGAAGUAGGAUUCACCUUCUUUUGCAUAGAAUACUUCCAGAAAGUAAAUGAAUCCUAAAAAGUACCAUCAGGGAAAGAGAAGAUAAAAUCGUGGAAGAAAGAAAUAUGCCUUGAGAUAUAUAUUGUAGUGAUCUUCCUCUUCUGUAUCUUUACCUGCUGUUUGACAAUUAUUUUCCUCCUCUUUUCACUAUUUUUAAAGCUGUUUAGUAGAUCAUUCAAUUUUAGUCAAUCUUGUACGUGUUAUCAUCAAAAAUAUUUUCUAGAUGGAUUUCAUUUAUUAAGAUAAUUACUUAAAUCAAACUAGAAUGCAUAUGAUAUAAUCAUGGAUGGAUUUCGCAGAUCCUUGAAUACUAGGUUGAAAAAAAAAAUCAUGGAUGGAUUUCGCAGAUUCUUGAAUAGGGUCUUUUCAUAGCUUGAAAACGAAAAUAACAUAUAUAGACAUGACUUUAGAAUAUCAAAUCCAAUAUAUUUUUUUCGCUAAAAAUCGCUCAUUCAGCAGUACGUCUUAACUCCUAACUUAAAGCAAACCACAUUAUUAAUAUAUGUUUUUAACAUAAUUACUGAUAUAUGUUUAACACAAAAGUUUUGGUUAUUAUUGAAAUUUUAAGACACUAAAAAGAACCGUAGGCUUAUUGAGCAAAAAAAAAAAAGGGGGGGGGAUUGAAUUAGCGUAAAUGUCAUAUAGAAGUAUGGAAAAUUCGCAAUAACAUUAUAAAAAUCUCAAAUAGUAUAAUUUUUUCUAAGUUUAACAUUAUAGAUGCCAUGAUCCACAAAGUUUAUUACUAUUCUUAUGGGAAAUUUGGAAAAGAAGGGAUGGCCUACGCUGCAAGACCAAUUCCUGUUUCCUACUAGUGUUGUUGAAAUCUGAAUACAAUUUUUAUUUUAUUUUUAUCACCCUUAGCUUCAAAGUUCAGACUUUAUUUAACCUUUCCAUAAAUAAAGAUAUUUUACCCAUGAUGGUUCAUAUUUUAUUCCACAAAAGCAUAUAAACACAGUGAAUAAUACCUCAAUAAUUUGAAGACUUUAUAUUUCCAAGUGCUUUGACUUUUAACCCUUUAGUAACCAUCACAAGUCAAGUCAAAUUUUUUUGUUUCCUCUAGAAGCUUUGGCUCAUUUAAACUUGAAAAAUGAACCCAUUCAAAGUUACAUUUCAAAUCUUCUUUGUUUGUUUAUGAGUAUUCAAUAGUAUUUCACUUGUUUUGCAAUAUACUAAAUUAUUAUAAACAAUACAUCCAAAUGGACCGAUAUUUAUUUUAAUCAAAGAUUAGGAGAAAAAAAAACAAUAUUAACCAUAUACGUUUGUAUAAGAACGUCCAAAAUUGUGACGAUACUUAAUAAGAGACUGUGGGUUUUCUUGUUCCUUAAUCUCAGCUGCCGUGGAAAAUGUGUUAAUUAGUAAAUUACUAUUAAGUUAUGCUAUGUUCUUAACAUACCUAUCAAAUCUUUGAUUAAAAUUUAAUUAUGGGUCCAUGAGACAGUCGUCAUUAUUAGGUUCAGUAGCUAUACUGCAUGAUUACUAAUUAAGUAGCUAUAUUUUUAUAAGAAUUAAACAAAUCUAUCAAUAUAUCACCACUUCAUUAUAUUACCUUUUAGCUAUAUUUCUAUAAGAAUUAAACAAAUAGAUCGAACAAAUGUAUAUAUACAUGUAACAAAAAAAGUUAAAUCCAGAUUUAUUAAAGACACAGACCUAACUCCCCGAAUGGAGGUACAGCCCACGGAUAAACCCUUUUCUGGGCAUUCAAAUGAACCGAAAGCAAUAACUCAUAUCCGUGUGACCAGCGGGGUUCGAACCAGAAUUCGCCAUAUUGAGUUUUUUCCUUCAAGCGCCACUAGACUACCACCACUGGUUCUAUAUACAUAUAUUUUGUGUUAAAAAAAAUGUUCAUCUUAUAAUUCCUUUAAAAUUCGUUAGAUGUAAAUUUUCUCCGAGGGUUGGCAAAGUUUUGUUCACCAACCAUAACGGAAUUCCCUCUCACAAAUUCCGAUAUCUCUAUUACACCUUUCAUUUCAUCUCUUUUGGUACAUAUCAAUAACUCAUAUCCUUUUCAAAAGGGUAAUAUUAUAUUAACAAGUGAUUCAUCGAUCAUGCACCAAAUCCUAUAUAUGUUUGGUGAUGAUUUUUGACAGUUAAUUUCAUGGAUUUGAUUAUUUAUCUUGAAUAUUUUGGUAUACUAUAGAUAAGUUGUUUGUAUGUAUCAAGGAGCGUUUAGUUACAAUUAAUUAGCGAACAGCAAAGGACGUUAUACGAUGCUACUCUUUUGUUAAAUCCACGCUUAAUUAGUUUUGAUCUAAGAAAACUUUGUAUGCCAAACGUUUUUUUAUUGGUAACGACGAUGGUCUACAUCCUUUAGCGAACUUCAAAUAGGCGAUACAUGAAAAUACCAGUGUUCUCAUAUAUUAUUUUCUUGAGAAGUAUUAAUAUAUAUUUUGAUCAGUGAGAUGUUGUUCAAUACGAGUUUCUGUAUAUUUAUAUUUUUAGAUGGUUCACACAUUUCAAUCACCAAACAUUCGAUGUAUUUGUCUCUAUCUCGACAACAUGUAUAUACUCCUCUGUACUAUAUAUACUACAACAUCAAUUACUAAAAAUAUAUUAAUAAUGUAUAUAAUCGUACGUACUACGUACAAGUCUCAUUUUGACACUAAUUGAUUCAAUUUUUGAAAAUAUUGAAUUAUUUUGUUACUCUUGAUGACCAAGUCUAUCACAUGCAUGUAAUAAAAGUACACAUAAUCGGUCUUUCUUCUUAUUCGUAAGCUGCCAUGCAAGUGGGCCUUCAAGCUUCCGUGAAGUCUUAUGUAAUAAUUACAUACACACGCACACGCGCACACACGCUAUAUAUAAGUAUUUAUGUAUAUGCAUAUUAAUUAAUCCAUAUGUAACUCCAUUAUAAUCAAAUCGAAGGUAUUUGUGAUUUUGCAUGCCAUUUACUAUUUAUGUUAAUCAUACUCCUAAACCACAGAUCAAAGACUAAAUAAUAAUUAUAAAAUCCAUUACUCGCUAGGACAUGAAUCAUGAGGAAAACCUAUAUAUAGCGUGUAAUAUCUAAUGAUAUGCUUGUUGCUCCACAAAAAAAGUGUGUAAUAUCAUACAAUAAUCGUACAUGUUUAAGCGUACAUUUUACUAGCAACACAGAAUGGCGGAUAAAAUAUAAUUACAAUAACUUUUGAUCAAAAUAAUAAUAAUAAUUAUUAUAAUAACUAACUGCAAAAACUCUACAGUGAUAACACAACGAUUAAUUUCCACUCUUUCAAAAAAAAAAAAAAAAACUCAAAAGUGAUUAUAAAUUUAGAACUAGAUGCAACUCAUACAAUAAAUUACAAAAUAUAUUUCAUAGUUUUCAAUCUUGCUCUUCCAUCCGGAAACUUAUUUAGUAAUAAACUGUUCUAAAGUUAGAUGAAUACAGCCUAAAAUCGAGAAUAUAGAAGGAAGAGACAAAAGAGUCAAAGGAUGGCGGCCGGCUAAGCAAACAUUAUAAUUGACGGGGUGUUUUACAUAUAAUUGGUGGGGUUUAUAUUUAACAAAUUUUCCUUAAGACUAAAUAUACAUCAAUUAGUAUUGAAUCUCUAGAUGCUGAUGCAGGAGCAAAGACAAAUGAGAAAAAACAUUAGUCUCCCCCUUCUCUGUCAUUCGUUUCUAAAUUCUACUAAUAUUUUAUCACAUAAUUUAUAUCAUUAAAUUUCCAAUUCCAUAAAGUAACUUUUAUUCAUUUUUUAAACCCUAACUUUUGACAUCUUCAUCACAACUAUCUCCUCCAGCUAUUAUAUACUCUCUCCUUUAAUUUUUUCUUCAUUCACAUAUACUUUUCUCCAUUAUACACAUUUCCAAGUAUGUAUAUAUAAAAACCUCACAUACACGCACCAUCACACAAACAUCCUCCUCCUCCUCUUCAUCAUCAACAUAGUUGAGAAAGAUAAAAAAAUAAAGAGGGAGAGAGAGAGAGAGAGAAAGAAACACAUCAAGAGAAAGAAUCACGAAUCAAGAGGAUGGGAAGAGCACCGUGUUGUGACAAGGCUAACGUGAAGAAAGGGCCUUGGUCUCCUGAAGAAGAUGCAAAGCUCAAAGAUUACAUCGAGAGUAGUGGCACAGGAGGCAACUGGAUCGCUUUGCCUCAGAAGAUUGGUAUAUAAUUAUGAUUUAAAAUAGUUUGAGACGGUUUGAAUAUUCUAUAGCAAAUAGAACUUUCGUGUACAUAUUUUCGCGUUGAUAUUUUGUAUAUAUUUUAUAUGUACAUGUAUAUAGGUCUAAGGAGAUGUGGGAAGAGUUGCAGACUAAGGUGGCUUAACUAUUUGAGACCUAACAUCAAACAUGGUGGCUUCUCUGAGGAAGAGGACAACAUCAUUUGUAACCUCUAUGUUACUAUUGGUAGCAGGUACUAUACUCUACUUGCGUCAAGAUUAUUAAUUAAGACACUUGUUUUGAAUUAGAGAACCAUUAUGUUUAUAUGUUCAAUGGGGUUUUUUUUUUAAAAGGUGGUCUAUAAUUGCUGCACAAUUGCCUGGAAGAACAGACAACGAUAUCAAGAACUAUUGGAACACGAGGCUGAAGAAGAAGCUUCUUAACAAACAAAGAAAAGAGUUCCAAGAAGCUCGGAUGAAGCAAGAGAUGGUGAUGAUGAAACGACAGCAACAAGGACAAGGACAAUGCCAAAGUAAUGGUAGUACGGAUCUUUAUCUGAACAACAUGUUUAGAUCAUCACCAUGGCCAUUACUGCCUCAUCUUCCUCCUCCUCAUAGUCAAGUACCUCUUGUGAUGAUGGAACCAACAAGCUGCAAUUACUACCAACCGACACCGUCUUGCGCAUUAGAACAAAAGCCAUUGAUCCCACUCAAGAACAUGGUCAAGAUUGAAGCAGAACCGGAGAGAUCAAACCCUGAUCAUCAUUAUCCGGAAGACUCAAUGACAAACUCUUUUGAUCUUUCCUUCUCUCAGCUUUUGUUAGAUCCUAAUUACUACCUGGAAUCAGGAGGAGGAGAAGGAGAGUUUGCUCUCAUGAGUAGCAGUACGAACUCUCCAUUACCAAACACAAGUAGUGAUCACCAUCAACAUCAAAAAGAGAUUACUCAAUGGUUUGGGAGUAGUAAUUUUCAGACAGAAGCUAUCAAUGAUGUGUUCUUAAACAACAACAACUUAGCGAAUUUUGAAACCAACGACGAGAACGCAAAACUAUAUGCAAACUCAUCAGUAGCCGGAGCUGGAGCAGCGUUUGCCGGAGGAACGACGAGUACAUCGGCUGAUCAAAGCACAAUAAGUUGGGAGGACAUAACCUCUCUUGUUAACUCCGAUGAUGCAAGAUACUUCAAUGGGCCAAAUAAUGUGUAAUUUUUUUCUGCAAAAUUUUAUUUUUACUUAUAUAUAUAAAGAGGUUUUUGUAUAAGCUUAUGACUUAAGAGAGUGGUAAAAAAAAUCACAUGGAUUGAGAUUAAUAUUCUCAUAUUUGUUUAUUUUAGUUUCAACUUAGCUUUAUUCACGAAAAACAAUAUAUAUGAUCUUUUGAGUUUUUCUUUUUGAUUAAUGCUUUUAUAAAUUUGAAAGAGAUUCUACCUUUUAGCUUCUUCCUUUUUCCCUAAUAAUUAGGUCUUUAGAAAAUCUAUAAAUAUUUUCAAAUUACAAUACAUCUGACACAUAAGAAGAAAGAAACAACUAUGAAUAUAAAUUUGAAAGCCUAAAAGAGGAUUGUCUUUUAAACGCACCAACAUCCACCAAUAUAAAAGUUCUUAUUUUUAAAAGAUAACACUGUUAAUCAUCUUAUAUAUACGACAUGGUCGUGUAUAUAAUACACAUGAAUUGUUGGGUGCCUAUAGUAUUCAUAAAGAAUCCAAGGAUGAUUUCCUUCCCUGUUUCCUAUGAUCAACUCCACUGGAGUAUAUAAUCAUGCAUGUAGAUAUGCAUGAUUAUGAUAAAUUUGUCAAUAUUUAUAACAGUAAAAACAUUUAUGACAGUCAAAUUUGCUAAAUCAGGUCAUAAAUAACAAUCCAAAUUUUAUUGUUUUAUAAAUUAAAUCACCAAUGACUUCGAAUACUUUAUCAAUUAAAAAAUAUAAUGUUGUUUAGAAGCAUAUAUAACAAUAUAUUAAAUAAAAAAAGUAAUGGGUUUAUGUUAUCAAAAAAAAUUAUAAAUUCAUUAUAUUAUGAAAACUAUAUAUAUGGACCAGCUUUAAAAUAUACGAAAAUGGCAGACCCAAUCUAAUUACCUAAAAACAUAUUUGUCUAAAAUAAUCAUAAAAUAAAAUUUAAAUUUUAUAUACAUAUUUCAAAUCAAAGUAUUAAUUUAAAUUAAUUUAUAUCAAAAAUUGAUUCAAAAAUAUACAUAUAUUCAAAAAUUGAUUUUACUAAAAUGUUUUUAUAACCAUUAUAAAAAUGUUUUAAAUAUAUUUAAGAAAAAUAAAAUACAAAGCAAUUUCAAACACCAACGUAAAUUAUGAUUUUUAUAUUUCAUAUUAAGUUUUAAAAAUAUAAAAUAUAUGAUUAUUUAUCUGAUGGUACAUAUAAAAUACUAUUAAUUAUAUGAUUACUUAUAUGAUGGUAGGUAAAAAACACGAUUAAUUAUAUGAUAACACAUAUAUAAUAUUUAAUAGUGACAUGAAAAAAAUAAAUAACAACAUAUUUUUGCAAUAUUAUAUCUUCUAUCUUAUUAAAGUAGAAGUAUCUUUGGGAAUGUUUGGAAACAAGAAAUUAAAUUUUUUUUUGAUGUCCAUUAUAUUCUUAUAAAUUAUCUGUUUGUACCAGAUUUAAAAUAUAAAAAAAUGACUCAAUCUAAUUACUUUUUUUGUGCAACUGGUCAUCUAAUUAACUAAAAACAUAUUUUGUCUAAAUUAAUCAUUAAACAAAAUUCAAAACAAAAAUUGAUUCAAAAAUAUAUAUGUAUUCAAAAAUUGAUUUUUACUAAUGUAUUUUCCAGUAACAAUUAUAAAAUUGUUUUCAAUAUAUAUAUAAAAAUACAAUACAAAGGAACUAAUAGAUUGAGUAAACCUUAUUUCUAAUUUUUUUUAUGGACCACCGAAACAGAAUUAGAUAUACAAUACUAGAAAUAACUAUAAUAUUUGAGUUACAAUAUCAAAUAAACAAUGAAACAAAAAAUUAAUAUAUGAAUGUAUUAGUAUUCCUUUAUUCGUAUUACAAAUGCAAUAAUAGUCAAACAAUAAUAUAUAACGAGACCAUAAUUUUUAAAAUCCAACAAUUACCGAUUAGUUAUGAAUUUAUAAUGUUUUUGCAAAUUAAAAGAAACACCCGCAUGAUCUAGUAUUUAAUUAAAAAGGACGCAGCAAUAUGGACACGUACAUGGUCGGAUCUAUAUGGCUUCGUCUGAUAAGAGAUAUUAUGACAAACACUCAAAUACACAUAUGCAAAUGGGUAUGCACAACUAUACACAUGUUCAUUUUUCUCAACAAAAUAUAUGCUAGUUGUCAUUUAUUAUAUACUAGAUCUCGAUUCGCGCUACCGCGCGGAUUUUUGUUUUCGUUUAUUCUUACAUAAAUAUUUUGUUUUCAAUUCUAAAUUGGUAUAUAUUAUAAUAUAUAUGUGUCUAUCAAUUUUUAAAACAUAAUAAAUUUACUGUAUAUUUUUUUCAUUGAAUAUAUUGUUUCAAACUUUCACAUGUAUUUGUAUCUUCUUCAAUAUAUAUAUUUUCGGAUUAUUAUUUCAUUAUUAAAAUCGUAACUAUAUAUAUAAAGAUUAGUAAAAUAUUAUUUUUUGUCAUAUUGAAAGAUAUUGUAACAUUUCACAAAUUUAGAAAGUUUUUAAAAACUUAAAAUUUUCGCUUCAUAGAUUUAUAUUAUCGAGUAAAUAAUUAAACAUUUAGUUUUUUUUUUAAUUUUUAAAAUAAACUAUAUAGUUUAAAUUUGUUUUCAUUGGUUUAAGGUAGUAAAGAUUAAUCAUUGUUAACUAAUAUUAUUUUUGUUAUUUAAAAAAAAUCUUUAUAAUUUUAAAAGUUAACAUCGAUAAAUAUUUAAAUAUUUAGCAUAUAGAGGUAUAGUAUUACAACAUUAGAUUAUAUCUAUUUAAUUUAUACUAUCUAUAAAUUCAAUAGAUCAUCUAUUGUUUAAAUCCAAUUACUGAUAUCCCAAUAAAAUUUUUUGGUAGACCCAAAAUUUAAAUGAUAAGAUUAGAUAUUAAAUGUAAUAUGACUUUCUAGGAAUAAGUCCAUUAUGUCUAUUUUUUUUUAAAAUCACACAUGAAUCAAACUUGUGACUUCUGUUUUAAUAUAUAAGACUAGAUCUCGACCCGUGCAACCAUGCGAGUUUUUGUUUUCAUUUAUUUUGUAUAAAUAUUUUGUUUUCAAUUCUAAAUUGGUAUACAUUGUAAUAUAUAUGUGUCUAUCAAUUUUUAAAACAUUAUAAGUUUACGGUAUAUUUUUUUCAAUGAAUAGAUUGUUUUAAACUUUCACAUGUAUUUGUAUCUUCUUAUAUAUAUAUAUAUAUAUAUUUUGGAUUAUUAUUUCAUUGUUAAAAUUUUAACUAUAUAUAUAAAGAUUAAUAAAAUAUUGUUUUAUUGUCAUAUUCAAAAAUAUUGUAACAUUUCAGAAAUUUAGAAAGUUUUUUAAAAAUUAAACUUUUCGCUUCAUAGAUUUUUAUUAUCAAGUAAAUAAUUAAAUAUUUAGUUUUUGUUUAAUUUUUAAAAUAAAAUAUAUAGUUUAAAAUUUGAUUUCAUUAGUUUAAGGUAUUAAAGAUUAAUCAUUAAUAGAGAAUAUAUUUUUUGUAAUUUAAAAAAAUUCUUUAUAAUUUUAAAAGUUAACAUCGACAAAUAUUUAACAUAUGGAGGUAUAGUAUUACAACAAUAAAUUAUAUCUAUUUAAUUUAUACUAUCUAUAAAGCCAUUGAUAAGAGUAGAGAUUAAAUGUAACAUGAUUUUCUAGGAACAUGUCUAAUAAGUCCAUUUUUAAAAAAAUUACACAUGAAUCAAGGUUGUGACUUCUAUUUUAAUAUAUAAGAUAUAUAUAUGUGUGUGUUGGAAACAACCAUUAUUGUGUAAGAAUGAUUAAAAAUAUACUGUUAAUAAAUAACGAAUAAAUAAAUAUAUGAUUCAAAAAAAAAUCUAACAAUGUAGAAGAGUUUUUUGUGAUAAUAAAAUGAAGAGGAGUUGUCUUACCAAUUCAACGAAAGAGUACGUACAGCUUCGAAACUCUUUCUAGUCAGUUUGGUUUUGAAGAUCACAAAAUCAAAUGAUGUCAUUCAAAAUUCUCUUUCUCUGAUCGAGUUUAGCACAUAUCUUUGCCCAUUCAAACCUCCACACGAAAUCAUGUUCACUUUCACACUUCUUUUGGUAAAAGUUUUUUUGCACCCAUUUUUAUCUCGAGUGAACAAUACAAUGUUAUAUCUUUAUAUCUACCAAUUUGAAAACAAUAUACAUAUACACAUAUAUUUAUAUUUUUUUUUUUGGGCAAACAAUACUUAUAUUGAAGCUUAUGUAAUAGAGUUUUGGAACAGAAACAGAGCCUCUUUGGCUAAGCCAUCAGCGACUACAUUACCAUUACGAGGCAGAAACUUAAACAGGAUAGAAGAAAAGGAGUUACUCAACACACCAAUGUCAUGGAGAAUCCCUUGUAAGGCGAUCACAGAGGGAUUAUUUAAAACAUGCAAAAGAGUGGCAAGACUCGACUGCGAAAGUGACCCCUCGCCCUGCUUCAGCAAAAGACUGCCCCAUUGCGGUGCCUCAAACCCAGUACCCCUUGAAUGCAGCUCUGUGCUAUUCUGAUGCAGCGUGGAACAGCGUCUCGUGUAAGGGAGGAAUGGGAUGGACAAUCUCAGACUCCGACGGCGCAACUCUCCUGCAGGGAUCACUACCGCUCGAGUUCGCAGCCUCUCCACUUGUGGCCGAAGCGGUGGCGCUAAAGGAGACUUUAAAAGCUGCUAAAUCCAACAAUCUCAGUCACCUGAUCUGUUUCUCAGAUUCAAAAGGACUGAUCAAUCUGAUCACAGGAAACACAUAUAUUUAUAUAUUAAACAAAAUUACUAAAGAUGUUAUGUACAUGCACUAACUACACACAGGGAAAACGGUAAUGAUAUGACGACCUGCUAACCCG
Molecule: long non-coding RNA, 91296 nt
Filed under: Brassica rapa (field mustard)
Lineage: Eukaryota; Viridiplantae; Streptophyta; Magnoliopsida; Brassicales; Brassicaceae
Description: long non-coding RNA (BRAP_LNC001659)
Source: RNAcentral